This 111875-nucleotide long non-coding RNA is filed under the name Cucumis sativus (cucumber). RNAcentral describes it as "long non-coding RNA (CSAT_LNC001000)". The record is from RNAcentral. Lineage: Eukaryota; Viridiplantae; Streptophyta; Magnoliopsida; Cucurbitales; Cucurbitaceae.
CAGUGGGACCUUGUCCUAGCUCAAACAGAAUUUGCAUACCAUCACAUGAGAAACAGAACAACAGGGAAGUCUCCAUUUGAAAUUGUGUAUACUAAGCUACCUAGACUAACUAUUGAUCUUACUAAUAUACCUCAUAAUGUUGAUCUUAGCUUCGAAGCUGAAAAUAUGGCGAAAAGAAUAGCAAAGCUCCACAAAGACGUAACCACCCAAAUGGAAUAGAUGAACCAAGCAUACAAAAGUCAAGCCGAUAAAUAUCAAAGAUUUAAAGAAUUCAAGGAAGGAGACCUAGUAAUGAUACAUCUUUGAAAAAAGAAGACUGUCGGCUGAAAAAUACAAUAAACUACCGCCAAAGAAGUUAGGACCGUAUCCCAUAAUCAAGAAAUUCGGAGAUAACGCGUACAAGAUUUAUCUUUUCGAUCACAUACACAUCAAUCCUAUCUUCAACAUGGUUGACAUAUUUGAAUAUUUCUCUCUCGAUCAGCUACAUUUCUCAAACUAGAAUUCGAGGACGAGUUUACUCUUCUUAAGAGGGAGGGAUUCUAAUGUGUUGUUAGUAAUUAGUUUGUUCCUGUUGUUAGUUUGUUAUUGUUGUUAGUUUGUUACUGUUAUUUGUUUUAAGUAAUUAGUUUGCUAUGUGCUGUUAGUAAUUAGUUUGUUACUAUUGUUAGUAUGUUACAAUUAUUUUUAGUUGACCAUUGGGUUUAAUAUAAAAACCAUAGUUUGUUAGAUUUUGGAUAAUAAUAAAAAUUUCCAGAAAAAGACUUUAGUCUUCUUGAGUUUCUUAGUCCAAGAAUCUGAACUUACAUCAAAUUUUCUCGGCUGCAACACAUGUGAGAAGAUGAAGAUGAUGACAGCUGUUGCAACAUGUCGAAGAUGCAGAUGAUGACGGAUGCUGCAAUACAUCGAAGAAGAUGGAGAUGAAUCCUCUCAGCUGCAACAAGUCGAAGAAGAUGAAAAUGAAUCCUCUCGAAUGCAACAUAUGUGAGAAUGAAGAUGAAUCCUCUCACCUGCGACACGUGGAGAAGUUUGAGAUGAAUCCUCUUGGUUGCAACACAUGAGAGAAGAAAAUCCUCUCAGACACAACACUUGGGAGAAAAGAUAGAGCUCUCUAAUUUGACUUUGCCCCAUUUCUUUUCUUUUGUAACUGCUUAUGAAUUUCAUUUUCUAUUGAGAUUAAAAAAUCACGAUGAAGCAUAAUUUUUUUUUUGUGCGACUGAACUUAAAGUAAAUUGUAAGUUGCCUAUGUACCCUUUUUAUAACAUAGGGAUCAAAUCAUAACGUAAUUCAAUUGAUUUUUUUUUUUUUUUGUCAUUCAUCUUUUAAGCUCCUAUGGACUAGGAGCAUCAUGCAGUUUAAACUCUUGCGAUAAGGAGCUUUGCACAUUUAACAACUUUUAUUUUUAUUAAAAUUUUGUUCACCUUCUUCAUUUGUAGAAUUGGUCAAUAUAAUAAGUUUAGACUUCACGAUCAAGGGACCUUCUAUGUUUAUGUCAACAAACAUCUUCCUCUUCAUGCGUGAUGGGACAUGAUUGUGAAUCUUCUCGUCAUUGUUUUCUCCAUGAAGUGAUUUUGCCUUCAAAGUUUUCAUCUCUUUUUCAUGUUGAUCGCUUGUCAUCUUUAGUUGAUCAAAAACAGAUGUUGAAGGUUGAUCUUUCUUCGAUAUGGAGAUAUUAGUCUUUCGAAAACUGAAGUGCGAGUGGAAGUACAUGUUGGACAUUGGUUUUCUACUUCUUUCGUGGCCAUACUCAAUCUUUGAAAGACUAAAGAUCGAGUAGUUGAAGGCUUGAUACGAUCAAAGAUCGAAGUCCUUUGCUUAAUUUCAUUUGAGUUGUCGACUUCUUUAGAAGAUGCAUAAUCGUUGUCGAUUUCAUUUAUACUGACAGCAUGACAUUCAGUGACUUCUAAUACUUCCUUGGGAUGAUCAUCAAGAAAACUUCUUGGGAGAUUCUCUCAAAGUUAUCGAUCGUUGAGGUCGGAGGAAGUGCUCGUCUUUUUCUUUGACAGGGUUAAGCUUCCAUGUCUUUUUGUUUCUUUUUCCUUCUUUUUAUGGGAUAUGUUUCCUUUUGCAUGCUUUUGAUGGAAUGUCGACUUCUUUUGAAUGAAAUUUGGUUGUCUUCCUUUUUGACGACUCAUAACUAUCCAUCAUUCGUCACCAUCUUCAAUAGGCUUUUCUUUGUUUUGGGAGUCUGUCGUCACGAUCGUUUGUGGGAAUUGGACAACUAUAGGUUCAAAAGUCCCAAACUGAAUUAAGCUUUUCUUUUGAUCAUAAAGUUGUGUUGAUGGUGGAACACUUGAAGUCAUCUCAACCGCAACAUGAUUCGUCUCAACUAAUUCAUCAAUAUCCAGCUCGAUCUUCUUUUCACGGGCCAACUUUAGACUCAACUCCUUCAACAUGAAAUACUUUCCAACAAGGUGACUAAUGACCCGAUAGUAGUUACAGUAUUUAGGAUAAUCUACUUUUUCCUGUUUGUUCCAGUCGUUUGCAUUCUGGCAACUGAAUAAGUCGCUUCUCUAGUAGCUGCUCUAACAUGUCUGCAACAUCAGAGUCAGGAAAUGGAUAAACUUUUUUCUGUCUUUCUUUAAGAGUUGGGCAUUGCUUUUCCUCACCAUCAUGCUUUCCUUCAAUUUUUGUUUCUUUUCUUUUAAAGAAGGAUUUCAAAGGAGUUGCAUGAACAAGCAUAGACUCAUUUAUGAGACUAUUUGCAAUCUUCUUAGUGUCAUCAAUUUUAUCCUUCUUACUCCUCAUUUUUGGAACCAAUAAAUCUUUUGCUCCUCUGCAUGUGAUACUUAGUUCCAUAUCAUGGACACGACUCGCUAACUCUUCAAACUAUAGAGAAGUUUCCAAAUGCAUGCAUUGGGUGCACAUCUCAACUGCAAACAUUUCUAUGAGCUUGUCUUUGCAAUCCAGGCUUAGAGCUCUCCAUCGAUUUAUGUAGUCGAUGAUUGGUUUCCCCUUUUGUUGUUUGGUGUUUGUCAACUCCAUCAUGCUGACGAUACGUCGAAUGCUGUAGAAGCGAUUGAGAAAGUCCCCCUCAAGCUGCUCCCAACUAUCAAUGGAUUCAUGUUUCAGGUCGAUGUACCAGUCAAAAGCAUUUUCUUUCAGAGUUUGAACGAGUUGUUUUACCAAUAAAUCUCCUCUCGUACUAGCAGUUUCACAUUUUUCAAUGAAGUGAGCAACGUGUUGUCUUGGGUUACCCUUUCCAUCAAACUGUUGGAACUUGGGUGGUUGGUAUCAAUUCGACAUUUUGAGAUUGUCGAUCCUCUUCGUAUAUGGUUUGGAAUACAAAGUGAGAGUUUGAGCAGGUCCACCAUAUUGAGUUUUAAUGGAGUUUGCAAUCAUCUCCUGUAACUGCUGAACAUACAACGAUGCAAUUAAGGUUGAAUUUUGUGGUUGAUUUUCUUGCAUAAUUGUCUUUCCUUUGUCAGUAUUCUUGACAGUAUGUGUAUGACUUGAUUCAGCAGCAUCACGACGAUCGAUGUAAUUCUUGAGAGAUUAAAUCUCAUUAUCCCUUUCUUCAACGACCUUCAUGAGCAUGUUGAUCUUCUUUUCAAGCUCAGUCAUUUUGUCUUCACUUGUAUCCACGUUAGUCAGCAUAACCGACAUUAUAUUUAGAUGAGGCAUCUUCUCAUUUGAGUGUUCAGAGGAUGAAAUUUGUUCCUCAAUCAUAGGAUUUUCUUUGAUUAUAAUUCCACCUUUUGGUGGCUUGGCCAAUUGUUUCCAAAUUUUCUUUACGAUCUCAAAUGAUGGCAUUUCUUCAGAUGAUUGAAUCUCCCUUGAGCGGCUGCAAGUAUUUGGCUGCUUGCCGAUGUCGCUUGGAACUUUGGAAGUGUUGUCUUGAAAUGUCAUGAUUUCUUUAUAGGUUAUUCAAAAGAGAAAGAGAUGAAAGGUAAAGUUUGUCCCACCGGGCACACGAACUUGCAUGUCUUGAGAGCUUGUAGAAGUUUGAAUCUUCAAUUCUUUAGGGCUUCAAUACUUCAGAGCUUCAAUUCUUCCUUCAACCAAAAGAUCCCCAAAAAUGAAUGACAAGGGUCUCUAUUUAUAGAGAAAUUUUAUGGGCUUUAGGUGGACUUAGGCUCAUUUACUUGGUGGGCUUGGACUUGGGUCCAUUUGCUUGUUGGGCUUGGACUUGAGCUCAUUUGCGAGUUGGGCUUGGACUUUGGUUCAUCUGCUUCUUGGACUUGGACUUGAGCCCAUUUGUUUAUUGGAUAUGAAUUGGGUUGGGUUGAGCAAACUUAAUUAUCCAAACUCAAACAAAAGUUUAAUCAUCACCAUAUUUACUGCGGUGAUGUGAUAUAAUUUAAUUGGUCAAAAUUUCUUGCUCAAGAACAAUGAUUAAUAAAUCAUUUAAAAUUAAAUACUAUAACAAUAAAAAAGAAGGAGAGAGAAUAAAAAUAGGUGAAUUGAGGUUUUAAAAAAUUAAAUAAAAAAAGAAUCCAUUAAAUGACAAAAAAAACAACCCCUUUUGCCUAAAUUGUUUUUAAACCAUCCCUUUUUUCCAAUUUAAAUUUAAAACCACCAUACUUUUCUAAAUCAUCCCGAGUCUAACGUAUAACUCAAUUCAGACAUGAGUGUCGUUAAUGGUGAAAGGCUUGGAAGGUUUUAUGGUUCAAAGUUUUUCUAUUUUCUUAUUAAAAAAAUAAAAAUUUAGCCACCAUGAGCUUAACUCAACUGACACAUGUAUGUUCCUGUGGACAAGAGGUCCCGGGUUCAAAUCCUUACCCCAACAUUUAUUACAAUACCUUUGCAAAAAAAAAAAAAUCUAUACAUUUUAUAAAAAAUGAUUUUCUAUUUUGUGUACCCUCCCAAACAUUUGGAGGGCGUUUGGGAAGGGUCAAUGUUAUGAUAGUGUGUAUUUGAGGGAAGGGUCAUGUAGGAAGGGUUAUAGGGUGGGUAUGAUAAUACGUGUUUGGAGAAGAGUUAGGUUGGAAGGAUUAUUGGGUGGUUAUGAUAAGAUGAGUUUGGGAGAAGAGUAUUAUUCUAACUUCAAUACACAAAUUUCGUAUACUUAAUUGACCAAAUCAUCUUAGUUUUUGUAAAACAAUUUGUCUUACUUUCUUUAAAUACGACUUGAAAGUUUUAACAUUUUUUGAAGUAAUUGUUACGGUUGAAUAAAUUACUGUUUUUCCUUUUAAACAUAAAAUAUUAUCAAUCUUCUUCUUACCUAAACAUUCUUUUUUUUUUUUACUUUACUCUUUUUAAACAAAGGAUUGUUAUUUCAUAAGGCAACAAAAAUGAUAAAAAAAAAUGUUAUAAUGAAUUAAUGAAAGAUAUAAAGAUAAGGAAGAAGAAAGAGAAAAAAAAGUACAUUUUAGAAAAGUAUGAGCAUAAUUUGGUAAAACUUUUAGAUUUAAAAUUGAAUUCAAAUAAAUCUUAAAUCAAAUCUAGCUGUUAAAUUGAUUUUUUUAAAGAAUUUUUUAUACAUUUAAAGUUUAAAUACGUUUUAAAAUAUUUAUUCAUUUUUCUAGAUGAUUUAAGGAUUCUAGAAUUAUUCAAUUUAAUAUUAAACCAUCUAAUUUGAUUUUGUUUUGAUUAUUUUAUAAAUUUAAUCAAAUUCAUUUUUUAAGAAAUUCAUUUAACUUAAGUUUAUCAUAAAUAGUGUAGAUAUAGAUAGAAUAGUUUUAAAAUAAAUUAUUUGAAAACAUGUAAAAUAAAAAAUAAAAAAUAAAACAAAUAAAAGACAUGAAAGAAUAUUUUUUAAAAAAAAAUUAAAUAUGAGGCUGAAGGCAUAAACUAAUCACAAUUAAUAUUUAAUUAAAAUUAAUUUUAUAAAUAAAAUAAGUUAAAAACAAUAUUCUUUUUAAGUUUAUUAAUUAAUGUAAAAAAUGACAUUUGAUAAAUAAAUGAGUAAAAUUUAAAAAAUAAAUGAAAUAAGGGGAGUUGAAGAAAUAGGGUUUGGGUAGUUGAAGAGGGAUUGAGAAGGAAGAGAGAGAGGGAAGAGGGGUUAUGAUAGUCCUAAAACAAAAAUUAUGAUAAUCCUUCCCCCAAACAAGGGUUGGGUUCAUAACCAUAACCCCAUAGUAAUAACUCUUGGGCCACACGGCCCCUUAAAGGCCACAAUGAGUGUACGAGACUACAUGGUGAUGAAGUUGGCUUAUGUGUUGAAAGGAGCGUAUAAUGCUUAACAACCUGAGCAACAAGGAUGAAUCAAGAUACUCUUGGAUGCUGAUGAUUCAAUAGUCUAAACGCGAAGUUACGUGACCUAGUGUAGAGAGUGAUUCAUAAUCCUUGACAAAAUGAAAUGAUUUGUUAAGCAUAAAGAAAAGUUUAUGUGAAAUGAAAUGAUUUGUUGAUGUGUUUAAAUGACUUGAUAUUACUUUUGCGAAAUGUUUAUGAAAACGUAUUGCGAAAGGUUUUGAUAAAACCUCACUAAGUCUUUUGACUGACGUUUUUUUUUUAAAAAAUCAUAUCUUACAGGAUCAGACGUUUAGGCCAAUAAGAGAAGAAGGUUGAACAAUUUGCAACGAGAUGACUUCGUGUGUUUUGAAAAUAGUUAAGCAUAAUUUAUUUGGUCAAAGUGUUUUAUUUAUGCAUCAAACACCUGUUAUUAAUAAAAUUAAGUUACGACUUCCCCUGUGUUACAUUAUCUUUAUAACUUAGUAGUUUAAAAGGAGUUGGGAAUAAAAUUAGCAAUAAGACCUAUAGCAAAGUUUAAGCUAAAUCACGUCCUAUCCGCUUUACUUCCUGCAUUUUGGUUGUCUUACAGAUUGGGGUGUGACACAGCACUGGUCGCCAACUGCUCAAGAGAGUAAGUAGCAACAACAUAGUUAAACAUGCGCCGAAGAGAGUUUGGAAGCAAACUUCAUUUUGGUGUUUUGACUCUAGUCAUUUGUGUCUAGAAAGGAGAACAAGUGUGGUGUUUAGGGUUUAAGAGGUUGCUCGAGUUAAAUAUAGAGUCAAAUAUGAUGCUUAUAAGUAAGGAAACCUAGAUGUAUAUCGCUUGGUUUAUCUUUACUAUUCUCUAAAUUAAUUACAAAACACAAUUCCAUAAUCUCACAAGUAUCAGCCCCACACGUAGAUGCGCUAAGUGUGUUUUGUAAUAAUUAGAGUGGCUUGAUACUCGUGAGAUUAUGGAAUUGAGUUUUGUAAUUAAUUUAGAAAAUGUGAUCAUAUUUAGUUGUGAAGUAUACCAAAAUCUACCAUUUUAAUAAUUUUUAAUAGUUUUAGAGUUUCUCAAGGAGAUGUUGGGCAACCUUGUUAGUAGAAAAACUUUGUUACAAGUUCUUAAUAUUUGCUUAAGUGAGAACAAUUCUUUUCAGUUCGCGGUUAUUAGGUUUGAAGAGGAUAUAUGAUCAUUCAUAUAGAUUUCCAGAAGAGAAAAUAGCUUUGAAAUCAACACUCUCUGACACAUUAUAAGGACAACUUCAAAGCAUCUAUUUCUUAACCUUACUUUCAUGUCCUCAUAAUUAUAAUCCCUUUGAUUCAGAUGUGAUAUCGAUUCAUUCAUUUCUUCCUCCUAAACUCAUGGUGUUACACCUUCUAUUGAAUUAUGCCAAGUAUAAAUCUAUUGUUAUCAUUCUUUAUUCUCUUUAUUAUCUUGUUUCCUAAUUCUGCUGGCACUUAUGUAUAAAUUGGGGAUUCUAACACUUGAAUAAGUUAUCUAGAAAUUAUGGAUUUACACUUGGCAUAAUUCAAUAGAAGAUGUAACACCAUGAGUUUGAAUAAGCUAACAAAAAAAAUUAGCUUAAAUGGUCUAUAGUACAAAGAUAAGGUUGGGUACCUUAUCCUAAUAACACUAUGGAUACGACUCACUUUGUAUUUGAAACAAACGCAAUGAUCGAACGCAUUCUUGUAAGUGACAUGCGAGUGAAGUUAUCUUAUGGAAUAAGUUUGCAUAAGAUCAGAUCGCGAAAUAGUAACCACUAGAUAUAACUCUACUAACUAGUUAGGUUUCUAUUUUAUUAUGAUGACCUAUGUAACUUAGCCUUAAUCCUAAGUGUAUUAUGAAUUCAUAUUCAUAAAGCAUUGUCCUUUUAUUUGUACGGAUGACCAUAAACAUGUUGUUAAUUAGAUGAGCACUGGUAUUUAUGGACUAGAAGUAACCUAGGGGUAAAACGGUAAUUAAACAUAGAUGAUGUUAUGAACACUUCUGAAGGACUAACUUACUAUAUUUAUAUCCAUGAACACAUAAAUAUAUCUACACUGAGAAAAAUUUAGUUGUGAAUCUUUAGUGGAGUGUACACAUAGUUAACGAACAUUGAUUAAUAUGGUAAUGAGUAUAGCCAAUUAAUCUCAUGUCGUUGUAGUUUCUAAUCUAUAGAUCCAUUAGGUCCCCUUCCUAAAUUGUAAAGGAUAAUGAGAGUUAUUUAUAUUGAUUGUAAUUCAAAAUGUUCAAAUUCACUUUGUGAAUUAGUAUAAUGUAUGGUGAUAAAUUAUAAUAUAAAAUUUAUAUUUUAAUUAAACUUUAUUAUAUAAAUUUAAUUUGGAUAUGAUUUAAAGUUAAUUUAUGAGAAAUAAAAUAUUUAAAUGAGUUCAAAUAUUAAUUUAAUGUGAAUUAGGUUCAUAUUAAAAUUAUUGGUGAUGACAUAAAUUUAUAUUUGAAUAUGAUUCAAAUUUGAAUUAAAUUAAAUAUAAGAUAUUUAAUUUAGAAAUUAAUUAAUUGGAGAAUUAAUUUAUAGUUUAAUUUUAUUUUAUUUAAUUAAAUCUGAUUUUAUUAAAUUAAUUAGAUUAAAACUAUAAGAUAUAUGAGAUAUAUUCAUUAAAUAUGAUUUAAAUCAAAUAUUAAAUAAUUAAUUAAUUUGAUAUUUCUAUUAAUUUAAUAUUUUUUAAAUCAAUAGAAUCUCAUGAUUAUCUCAUACUCAUUGAAGAAUAGAGAGUUAUAAAUACACAGAAGAAAAUAGGUUUUUUAACCUGAGUCUUUGCUUACGAAUUGUCUCAGAAAUUCUCUCAAAACUUUUUUUCGUUCCAAUUGGUUUCCACAAACCAAUCUCAUCUUAGACGAUAGGAAGGUCUACGAUUAGUAGUAUCCCCAAUUCGGUGAUUUGCAGAUUUAGAGACAUCAUCGAAAGUAAGUUACUCUAUUAUGUAAUUCUAUAAUCUAAAGUUUGUUGAGCAUGUUUAACAUGAGUCUAAAGUAUAAGAAAAUUUGUUUAUGUAAUUGUUUGCCAUGUACGGUAUUUUAAGUUCUAAAUUAAAUUGCUCUAAGAUCUCUGUAAAUUUUUUUACUGUCAUGGGCUUUAAUCCCUUCAUGGUGGUCAUAAGAUGAGUAAGAAGUGGAAGCAAAACUCUUCUUAGGGGACUUGGGCUUGCAGCCCCAACCAAGAACUUUUGACUAGUCUGAUCGUCUACCCAAAACAGUCUUGCAUAUCUGUCUUCAGAGAAUGGUUGAGAACCCUCUGGGACGAGCUAGGACUAAAGUUCCAGCAUUUGAUACUACACAAUACAAGCUGUAAGUUGGGAGAUGAUAAGAAUUAAAAUAGAAAAUAUAAUAAAAAGUUUUCAUAAACUUGUAUGCACAUAUGCUGCUGCUUGCGAAAUGAACUCGUCAGUUCUACCAGUGCGUUUCUCAGUAACUCAACACGGUCGAUCGAGCAACCGCAUUCUACAGUGAGCUCAACCUGUCGUUGAAGGAAUGACUUGGAUUCGCUUCUAUGGUUGUAAGGUUGCUUCGUUCUAGCAGCCUUACAAACCUUUGAUUCUUCCUACAUUCAAACAAUGAUCAAAAUGUUAUUUUCAAACAACAAAUUAAAUGAAGUAUUGUUAAUUGAUUUUAAGUGGAUGACAUAAAUCACCUGAAAUUGUGCGGUCAUGUAAUGAUGUCAAAGAAAGUGUCAAUUUUGCCCGUGAUUGACCAAUCUGAGAGGUGGGUUUGCACAUGCUUCUUUAAGGUUGAUGUACUUCUUAAAAUGUUGGUGGGUGUUUCCCCUGAAUUGCUAUCACACUUGAGCAUCUGAUGUUCAACAAACCAAUUAAGUGUUGGAUCUUUGAGAUCGAGCACAAAUCAUUGAUACAAAAGAAAUAGGUUUGAGAUUAGUCUUUUACAUAUAUAGAUUCAACAUAUAUAUAUAUAUAUUAAAAAAUUUACAAACUUACUGUUAGGCCGCCUUGACGACCUCAAUGUGCACUUGAGGUACAUAUGUUCACCUCAAGGCUUGGACAAAAACGUGUCUCGCGUUAACAUACCAAUUGUGCAAUUGAAAUGAGGGUUGUGUCGCAUGACAUGCAUGUCCCAUUCUAGGGGAUGAAAUAGGGAUCCUUCCAUUAUAUUGUACAUACCUCUCCAACUCAAUGUUAUAGGAGUGGAAUCGUCUCCUCAGAGUGAAUGUGGGAGGGGGUUAAGAGGGAUCUACUACAAAACACAUUUAAUUAAAUCUAGUAACCAUAACUACAAGUGUUUAGGGUAACAAGACUAACCUGAAGUGUCACCCACCAAAGAAGAUCCUUUCGCUUUAUCUACGCGUCCAAGUUUAGGUACACAUCUACCUCAUGAAUACCAAUGGAAAAUGACAGCAUAAUUUUUGUAAACAAAAACCAGCAAACGUUAAACAAAUUUAAAUGUCAGUAUUGUAAAUGACCAAAUCUAUAGAAAAAUGACUAAUGUGUAUACGUGAAGAAGAUAAUAUUAUUCAUUGUCGCUUGAUCCGCUUUGAUGCGAUGAUAAUUGUUCAUCAUCAUCAUCUAUGAAGUCAUCUGCGACAUGAUGCACAUCCAAUCUUUCCAAUACACAUUAAGUUGAUCAACUUCAGUCCUGUACAGAGUGACCUCCUCAAUAAUAUGUUCGUCCACACGAUGUUCGACGAUGAUUUCCAAUACAUUAAGUUGGUCAUUCUCGAUAUCUUCCAUUUUUGGCAUGUCUCAUACACGUUUAUUUUGUACCACUUGGUACCAUUUUUAGGGCCCUCGAGGUAGAAUACUUGAUGUGCCUGGAUUGCGACAAUCAUCGAUUCCUCAACAAACAAAAAACGAGACAUAUUUAUUGAUUUUUAGCCUAGUUCCACGUGCGCCCUAUGACUUUUGUUGGUGUCUGUGUCAAACCAUUUACACUUUAAUACCAAGCAUGUAGUUUAAAUGAAUAUUGAACGUGCAACACUUCAUCCAAAACAUCGUAGAAAUUGUUGUCGGCACCUUCACUACCUUCAUCGACUACCACGACUCCACUGUUUUGUGUUGUAUGUCGAGAAUCACGUUCGAAGGUGUGAAAAUGUACACCACCGAUAACACAUCCACUGUAAGAGCGAACCUCAAGUGAAGGUUCUAUUGCAAGUGAAAAGAAAUCUUGAGAAAGGUUUGAACUCCCACACAUUUUUGUUAUAGCCUAAAAUGCAUGUACAUGAAUAGUUAUAUAUAAAAUACAAAGUAGCACAUGUACGAAUUCUUGAAUUCAUUUACUCUGUAUACCUGAGCUUUGAACCAAUCAGGAAAUGUUCAUGGAUGUUUUUUAAAAUUUUUAAAAAUGGUAUCACACUGACAACAUAUCAACCUUAGGUGUUUCCUAAAAUACAUAAUUGUGAGUUUUAUGACAACUGUAACAAAGACUUAAGAUAUUGAAUGGAAGGUAUGAAUUGAAGUUAGAAAUGUGUACUUGCGGUAGUCUGCUAUUUCAUCCACAUUGUUGAGGAUGUACCAAUGAAAGAGUUGGUUCUCUUCCUGUGAUAUGCUUAAAAAAGGUGACGCUCAUAAUGGUCGUACCUUUUGAACGAACACUUCGAACUAACCAAUCACCUCAUCCUCUGGAAUUCUAUCAUCCUUUUGUUCAUCUCUAAUAAAUCGGAUCUCAGUCCCACUGAGAUACCUCGAAUAAAAAGUCUCUGAUUCGUUCAUCAGAUAUCCUUCUGCAAUAGAUCCCUCAGGACAUGCUCUAUUACAAACAUAUUGUUUAAUGUGCGGAGACUUCUUUUAAUGGAUACAUUCAACUGUAAGAAAUCGGACCAACAACCUUGGUUUCGUAUGGUAAGUAAACGAAAAGGUGUACCAUUACGCUGAAAAAAACAUGUAAGAAUAUUAUUUUCAAUUUGCACAGUAUGAUUAUGAUAUAUGCCUGCAAUCUUCCCAAAUCACUUACUCUUAUCGUUCUGGCGCACAAAUCAUGAUAAAAACUACAUAGUUCAGUAAUAGCAGUGUAGACAUUUCUCAAUAAGAAUGGUCGAACACCAAUUGAUAUAAGUUGAUGUAACAAAAUAUGAUAGUCGUGCAUUUUGAAACCUAAUAUUUUUCUCUCGCCUUUAUUCACACAUCGUGAAAUAUUAGAAAUAAAUUCGCUUGCUGCUAGUCAACGUAUAACUCACAUGUGAUUUCACCAAUCUGUUACCAACUUCUAUCAAAUGUAAAUCCUUUCUUAUUAUUAAAUCUUGUAGAUUCAAUCAAGCAUUCGUGGUAUCCUUGGUUUUUCCUUCGAUAUUCAACAACGUACCGACCAAGUUGUCAUAAACAUUCUUUUCAAUAUGCAUUACAUCAAGUUUGUGAUGAAUAAGUAGUCUCUACCAGUACGGAAGAUUGAAAAAAAUACGUUUCUUAGUUCAAUCAAGAGCACCCUUUCUUUUCCUAUCUUUUAACAAAGGAUGCUUACUCAUAACUGGAAACUCCAACGGAUCUAGUUGUUCCAAGAUUUUUUUGUCAUUCAUUACCACUAGAGGUGUUUUACUCUAUACUUUUUCAUUAUGUAGCCUACUUCUACUCCAAAUGUGGUUAUCUAAAAGAUAGCAUCGAUGUUCCAUGAAAGCUAUUUUUCCUCUUAUCUCAAACAACGAUAUAUCUCCCAUGCAAAUGGGACAUGCUUGAUACCCCUUCGUAUUCCACCCAGAUAGGUCACCAUAUGUCGGAAAAUCAUUCAUUGUCCACAACAAGGUUGCAUAUAGCUGAAAACACUAAUUCAUAAGACAAUCAUACGUACACAUACCAAAAGUCCAUAACAUUUCAAUUCCUAAAUCAAUGAUUGUAUGUACACGUUAUUUUCCAUACCAGGAGAUUUUGGACAAAGAAUGAGCAAUGACAUGAAGAAGUUUGACUCUUUCAUGCAUUUUCAUGGGGGCACAUUGUAAGAAAUUAACACCAUAUGCCACAUACUGUACGAGAUACUCAUAUGACCGAACAUAUUAAAUCCAUCUAAAGCUAACCCCAAAUGGACAUUUCGUGGUUCUAAAACAAAAUCAGAAAAUUCAUAAUCAAAGUGCUUUUAUCCCUCUACAUCAGCUAGAUGUCUCAACACAUCAUCUGUUUCACUCGUUUAUCCUUAUGUCAUCUCAUGUCUGUCGAGCAUUCUUGCGAUACAAACAACCACUGUAAUCUUGACACUAACGAAAAGUAGUGCAAUACUUUUUGUAGAAAAUUUUUCCCUGAUCUCUUAGAACUAACCUUGUACCGAGACUCACCACAAGUCAGACACUGUUGCAAAUCUCCAAACUCCUUCUAGAACCAUACACAUUCAUACUUGUAGGCAUGAAUAGUUUCGUAUUUCAAGCGCAACUCACACAAUUUUCGUUUUCCUGCAUAGAAUGAACUACGUAUAUUGGUACCACAUAUUGGAAACACAUGUUUUAUCAUCUUUAACAUCGUGUUGAAGAACUUAUUGCUCCAACCAUUGAGGACCUUCACGUGCAUCAUCGCGACCAAAAAAUUUAGGGAAGAAAAUUUUGAACGGCUGGGGUAUAGUUCACAUCUUGCUUGGUUUAACAACUUCUUAAAUACCACAUUUAUUCUAUUUUCUUCUAAACCUACCUCACUAUUAAAUGACAUGUCAUUCUCCAAACCUUUCUUCAUCUCUUCUACAUGUUCAAUAUCAGCUUGCAAAUCAUGCAACAUGCCCAACAUUUCAUUUUCUUUAGAAAAUGUGUUACUACUAGUUCCUUGAUCAUAAGGAUUACAACUACUCGUUCCUUCAUCAAGUCUAUGCAUAGCUCUAUGUAAAUUCAUAGUCUCUCCAUGAUACAUCUGGUAUAUGUAGAAGGAGGCCAUUUCAGUGGUUAAUAGAUGUCACUCCACACCCUCUAAUGAGUCCCCAUUCGAAUUCAUACAUCUAUUGCAUAACCUUAUUUUUACAUAAUUAUUGACAUGGUAUUUUGCAACCUCUAAAAAUUGGAAAACUCCUUUUUUGUACUCAACCAAAAACUUAUUCCUAAAUUUCAUCUAACUUUUGUUCAUCUCGUUAAAAGAACCUAAAACAUAAAUAGGUUGGAUUAGUUUUAUAUCUCUCAUCUCAAAUACUUCAACUUACUCCACGAACAAGCUAUAUUGUCCAAUCCCCCAUCUUGCACUAAAAUUAAGUUUAAAUCUAAACUAAGUUUAAAUCUACCUAACAGUUCCAACAUACCUAACACUUCAUAAACACUUAAUUAAAAACUACAUAAGAAUCCUCAACACUACUAACAUAUUAGAAACUAAUUUUGACAUAAAAAACUAGGCUACCAUAAUUGCAAGAUAUUCAUAAAAUAACGCAACCACAGAUUAUGUCAAUGUUUUCAAUUAAAUAUCUGACAUUUUCAAAAAUUCAAAUUCGAAUUGAAUUUAAAUAGAAAUUCAUAUUCAAAUUAAAAUUAAAAAUUCAAUCUCAAAUUCUAAAAACAUACAUUACACAUACAUUAUAUAAUAUGAAUUUACACAUACAAUCUCAAAUUUACACAUACAAUCUUAGACAAUCUCAUACAUUCCACAUGAAAACAUACACUAUAAUACAUUACCCAUAAAAUCUCAAAUUCAAAUUACACAUAAUAUCAAUGCACACAUUACAGAUACAUUUUUCUAAUACAUACAUUAUAUAAUGUUUACAUUUACUUUUAUAAUUUUUUUUAAAAAACUAACCUUGCUUUGUAGGAUGGUGGGGGUUGACGACGAGGGAGGACAAAUGAUGGUGGACAACGGCUACACUGACAGUGAAGAUGAACGACGGUGGAUGAACGACGACUUGUUCAUUUUCUUUCUUCUUCGUGCAUUAUGUGAACACAUAACAACAAAUAGAUUUAGGAAUUAUCGACGCAGUUUGAAAACGUCGGCCAAUAGACCUUUUCUCGACACCAUAAAGAAAAACAUUGACAUUAGUCGAAACUAAGGUCAGCGUUUCACUAAUGGGGUUGGAAAAAAAUUAAUCCGUAAAAUUUAUUACUAACUUUCCCCGACGGGGUAAAAGUGUAAGUUGACAUUAGUUUAUACUGAUGCUGAUGUUUGUACAGUUACUUCGGGAAAAUGUUAACAUUUAAAUAAUUAUUUAACUAUUUCCCGACGUCGUCCUCCAUUGCAUCAAGGAAAGCACAACAAUUACAUAUUUAUUUCAACAUUUUUCGAUGUUAUUGUCCUCAGUGUUGGGGAAAGUUUAAGAACAAAAUUAAUAUUUGACCUUUCCUCAUGUUGUUUUAUUGUGUGUCGGGGAAAUGUGGAUGAUAAAUUUUUAAAAAUGAAAGUGACGGAUCAAGCGCGACGUUUUGAAUUGUGAUGUCGGGCUUGCUCCUCUAAGUCGAUGCCAUAUUGCCUGCGUCGGUAUUGGUCAUUUGUGCCAACAUUUUAAUUUUCAACGUCGGUUUCGAUGUCAAAAUUUUUUUGAUUUCUUGUAGUGUCGUCCUUCAUGCUUUAAUUGUAACCUACCAGUGCUAAAGUUUCUUAUAGACGUAGGGCGUGUUUAUGAGCAAUAGUUGGAGUAGUGACUUUUUUUUAAAAAAUAGGUACAAUUGAUUUUGUAAAAUUGAUUUCUAAGCCAUCAAAAUUUUGUUUGGUUCCAAGCUUGUGAAAACGAUUUUCAAAUAUUUAUAAAAUUAUUUAACCAAUUAAUUAUAAUAAAUAUGUUUUACUAAUUUAUUUAUAUAUAUAUAUAUUUUUUAAAAUGUUUUUUAUUAAAAAGUUGGUCACAAACCGUUGCUGAAAACUGUAGUUGGAAACGAUGGUUGAUGGUAGUCAUCGAAAAAUGAUGAUUAGAGUUUGGUAGCACUGGUCACUGAAGCUGAUCAAAAGGUUGGCAAUGGGGCCGCGAGGAGACACUCCUCGUCCCCGUGGGGAAUCUCCAUCCACAUCCCUGCCUCAUUCCCCGUUUUAGGGAGUCGAGGUUGAAGAUUAGGUUUUUGUGAGGAAAAAUUCAUCAUUUCUAUUUUUUUAAUUAUUUUUAUUUAAAAUAAAUUCAAAUUAAUAGUAUUAAAAUUUUUAACAUUUUUUCAUUUAAAUUUUAAUUAAAAAGUUAAGUUAAUUUAAUUAUUUAAAGAAAAAAACUAACAAAAAGAAAUUGUUUUUAAAUUUAGGCAACAAAAUAUGCUAUAAAUAAAAUACAAAAUAAAUAUAUAUGUAAUAAAAUAAAAUAAAAAAGCUCUUUCCCAUGCCUCAUCUUCUUUAGAACAAUAAGAAAGAUCGUUAGAUCGUAUUUCCGUCAGCCUAAGUUUCAAGUCAAUUGACUUUGAUUCUUAUGUUUCAACUCCUUGAAUUUAUUUACAAGGUUCCAUAAGACAAUGAUAUUGUAGUCGAAAAGAAAAAGCCUAGGUUAAGACUCCUUUUGAGGUAAAACAAUAGCGCUUCCAAACGGAGAGGAGGAGGAACCUUCUAGGUAGGCGCCCUAGAUCUGAGAGGUGAAAAGCUCGUCUUUAAGGAGAGGUAGCAUUUCUUGAAGUUGAAGCUGGCCCUUGUGUCUUGAAAGAGAGGGUUCACUCUUCCUUAUUAAUUUCCGCCCAUCCUUUUUCUAAAAAGAUAUAUGAUGUCGUGAAUAACUAAGACAAAUCCCAUCGAGAACGAGAAGGGUUAAAAAAUUUGAGAGGCGAACACCUUAACAAGUAACGUAACAAUGGACUCUAAUUGAGAACAAUUUUCCACAAUUUUCACAAACUCCUUAGCAUAGAAUUGAUCGUUUUCUAUAAUUUUAUUCAAAUAAACACCAUACUCAAUCUAUUUGAUGUUUCGCAAACUUGAUAGAAAUUUUUUAUCUUAGCAUUAGUAGAUAUAUACAACGAGGUUCUUAUCAUUAGUAAAUUGAGAAAGGUUGUUAGCAUUAGAAAUGGUAGCAAAUAUUGCAAAUACUAAUAAAAAUAGGUCUAUACACCAUACCAUUGCUUUGAUAAGUAUACUUCAAAUAUAUAAUGUAGACUCGUAAAAGAUUAAGGAAACAUUAAUCAUAUAUUGAAGUCCUUGUUUUGAAGAUACCACGUUCAUAUGUAAUCAAUGCUAAAUUUAAUUUCACAUUAUUAGACAUUAAUAAUUGCAAUGCUUGAACUAAUACAUUAAUGCCACUAUUUUAGGGUGAUUAUGUGGUGGUUUGUUUGUUGUUUUCAUAAUAAAAAAUAUUGAGUUAAAAUCAUCAUGGUUUACAUCCUUUUAAAUUCGUUUAAUUUUAGUUUUUGUAAUUUUAAUUUUUCUUAAAGUAAACUAUUAUAAAAAAAAAAAAAUAAUAAACCAUAAAAACAACACUAUUCAGGCAGUGAAAUAUAAUGGGUGGAUAUGUUUUCAAAAAUUAAAAGCAAACAAACAACAAUUUCUUUAAUUAAAAUCAACCAAACAACUUGAUAUAUGAAUCGGUAGUUAUUCGAGCUAACUAAAAUAAAUAAAAAAACAUGGAGAUACUCUUUUUAAAUCGUUAUGACGUUCGAUUAAUCUUGUUUAUAACAAUUUUUAUUUUAAUAUUUACAAAUAAAAUAAAACAUUAUUGUCUACUUGUGAUAUAUCGUGAUAUACAUAUAUCACGAUAGACAUAUACAAUAGUCUAUUGUGGUUUAUGGGACCGUGAUAUUUGUACCUUCCUCAUUUAAAAUAUUUAUUUAAAAAAACUAUAACUAUUAUUAUAUUAUUAAAGGGGAAGGAAAAAAAAAAGUUAAAUAUGUAUUUUUGGAUGAGCCGAUUCCGAAAAUCCAGGCCCAAUUUAAAUGUAAAACUGUCGGAGCAAUUGGGCCGAGGUGGCCCACUUUGUACUUCAUGGUUGAGCAAAAUGCAGAGAAUCGGAGUUUUUAAACGCAUCGCCUUGAAUGAACGAAGAAAUCCAGGUAGUGGUAAAAGGAGGCCAUCUCGACCGCCCAAUUCAGUUCGACCUUCGCCGGUGAUCACCAUGUCCUCCACCCUACGAUCCUCCUCCGUCACCUUCUUCUUCUUCUCUUCCCUUCUCAUUUCCUCACUCUCCAUAGUCCUCGCUUCCGAGUCUGAUCACAAGGUACACAUUUCCUUCUUCUUGAUCUCACCAUUUCUUCCCCCCUCCAACUCCCAUGAAAGUCAAAAUGGUGAUGUUAAUUAGUUUACGCGCCAUUGUAUUGGUUCUUCACUGUCUAUUUUAGCCAUUAAAUUGUCAGAUCUUGCUAUCUUCUUUUGUAUUGACCCAGAUCUGUGGAAUCCCGCGUUCUUUUAGAUCUGGGUUUUUGGUUUAGUGGUUGUAGAAAUUGGUAUUUCUAGGUCUUGGAUGCUUGGGGAUGGGAUGGGGGAGGGGGAUUUUGGAUACCUUGUCUGAUUAUUUAUAUUUUUAAGCUCUCGGACUUCAUGAAUUUCGUUGGAUGUUCGUUUUAGUGGAGUGUGGAUGAUGCUAAGGGUUACGAGAUCUCAAUCUCGUCUGGAGUUGUACCUAUGCUAUCUUUUUUGCGUCGACAGUCUUUCACGUCCGAAAUGGACCUCUGAAGUGAAACGAAAUGGGGACGUACGAGAGAUCUUGGGUGUAUCACUAUAUUUUAUGCUCGUCGUGAGCCUGGAUGGUCGUUGAUAAUUGUCUUAAUUAGAUGGGAUAAUCAAAUUCAUACUUCUACGUCUUGUACUGGGCUAUCUUCGAAGUGUUAUAUGACCAGACAAAAUGUCUCAAUAUGAAUUAAAAAUCUCUAGCUGAUUGCCGAUCAACGCUCCACUGACAUUAAAUUUGGAUGGGAGGCUACCAAUCUGAUUUAUUGAUGCGUGUCCUAUGCGCUUUGAUUCUGACGGAUAGGAGAACUAUCAUUGUGUUUCUUGCACAUUGUUGUAUCCGUACUACGUUGGCAAUACUUUUCUACAUAGAGUAUCGACCCAGUAUUGUAAUAAGAGUCUAAUGGAUCCAAAUUUUGGGUUUCUUUAAAGCGUAAUAAGAGUCUAAUGGUAUCUGGCUAUCUGCCUCCAGAAAGAUUAAUAGCUCUAUCAGCUUUGGAUAUUUUUUAUGCUAUUAAUCAUUUUGUGUUAUUUCUGCAAUCACUUUAUUCUGCUGUUGCAGCCUGUGGUAAUUGUAAUUUUGGAUCAAACAAAAUUAUUGCCUUUAUGUAUACUUCAAUAAUCAGUUGCAGCUAUUUCAGAGUUCAGAUCUGAAAUAGCCUCCAUAGUCGUUUCUUAACUUAUCUAGGUCAAAUUUUCAACCAUGGCGUGAUUGUUGUCACACUGUCUUGUAUCUGACAUAUUUUCUUCCGUGCUUUUAAGAUAAUAUUAUUUUUACGUUAAUCUAUUCCUUCCAUUGUUCCACCCUUUUUCUAUUUUUCCUUGUAGUAUCUACAAGAUGAGUCAGUAACUCUAUGGGUGAAUAAAGUUGGUCCGUACAACAAUCCACAAGAAACAUACAAUUAUUACAGCCUUCCAUUUUGUCAUCCAUCUGGUCAUUCUGCUCACAAAUGGGGUGGUCUUGGCGAGGUCCUUGGAGGAAACGAACUUAUUGACAGCCAAAUUGAGAUUAAGUUCCAAAGUACGCCAACUUCUUUUCAUGUUGGAAGGUUGAAUUUAGGCCUUGUGGUGAUCAUGGAUGAACUGUUGCAACUACUUAACUUUUCUUUUUUGCAGAAAAUGUGGAGAGGACCACUAUUUGUCAACUGGAGCUUGAUGAAUCAAAGGUCAAGCAGUUUAAGGAUGCAAUUGAGAAUGGCUACUGGUUUGAGUUCUUUAUGGGUAUGUUCUACACAGGUUUCUUGUAUUAAAAACUUAGAAUUAGGGGCUCAAAUAGAGUGAUCCAAAUCCAAAGAAAUACUUAUAUCUAGAACAGAAAUUUGAAAUUUGGUGAACAGACUGUCACUAGAAGAUUUGGAGGUCUAGUAUUUUAAGACCGGUGCUCUGACCAUGCAUGAAGACACUAGAAUCUGUUUGAGUUUCCAUAUUUUUCUCUUACUUAAUUUCAUAUUUCUCAUGAGCUAAUUUAUAUGCUCGUGUAUUCUUUUCUUGUAUGACCGGUAAGCCCCAAGGGAAAGGAAUUGCAGUUUCAGCUUCAAAUCUAUUAUUAAAUAUUCGAUACAUGUUCUUAUUUUGUAGUUUCUCUCUGACUGUUGUACAUAACAAUUCUUGAUUGAAGUGUAAAACUUAAAUUUUGACUUUCAUUUAUUCGACGAAUGAAUUCUUUUCUACAGUUUAUUUAUGUCUAUUGGUUAUGCAAAAAAUUGUUGCAAGACCUACACAUAUCUCAUCCAUACUUUCUUCUGAUGUUUUAUUUCAUGAUGCUGGAUGGGGAAUAAUCUUCAGAUGAUUUGCCUCUGUGGGGUAAGUGCUUUCUCUUAUUACAUUUUAGUUUGAUAUCUUGAUCAACGAAAAAUUUGGUGGUCCAAAGUGAUGCUUAUUGCCCCUUUUCAUUUAAGGCUUUGUUGGUGAGUUGCAUCCUGACAAGAAUAGCAAUAACGUGAAGCAUGUCCUUUACACGCAUAAGAACAUCAUCAUCAAAUAUAAUAAAGACCAGGUUUGUUUUCCACCUCCUGAUUUGCAUAGUUUUUUAAUAUUUUUUUUGGGGGUUGGCAUUCAAUAUAGAUAUGAUUUAACAACUAAAUUGUGAUUUUUAUAGAUUAUUCACGUGAAUCUCACCCAAGAAAACUUAAAACCGUUAGAGGUUGGGAAGACACUGGACUUGACAUAUGCUGUGAAGUGGAUUUCGACUAAUGUCACUUUCGCUCGACGAUUUGAUAUUUAUUUGGACUACCCAUUCUUUGAGCAUCAGGUAAUGGAUGACCCUCCUUCUCCCUUAUUGUGUUAUUUUCAUAUCUUUGCCCUAUAUCUUGAGAUUCUUCCUUCCAUCUAACUUAGUAAAUUCUUUAACUUCUUGUGGUAUUUUGUUACAUGCCUGUGUUCACAUACCAUAUCGAAAUAAUUUUCUGGCAUUUGGAAACUUUGCAGAUUCAUUGGUUCUCCAUUUUCAAUUCAUUCAUGAUGGUCAUUUUCCUCACUGGUUUGGUCUCUAUGAUAUUGAUGAGGACUCUUAGAAAUGACUAUGCUAAAUAUGCACGUGAAGAUGAUGAUCUGGAAACCCUGGUCAUACUUUCUUCCCUAUCAUAUGUUAUAUGCUAGUUUAAGCUUCAAUGUCUUCAACUGUCAUUUUUCUCUAUCUUAUGACUUUUUGUUUUCUUUUUGUACCUUUUAUCUUCUUUUUCAGGAGCGAGACGUUAGUGAAGAGUCUGGCUGGAAACUUGUGCAUGGGGAUGUUUUCCGGCCUCCUCGUAACUUAGUAAUUCUUUCAGCUGUUGUUGGUACAGGUGCUCAGCUUGCAUUGCUUGUUCUGCUUGUCAUCCUAUUGGCAAUUGUUGGAAUGUUGUAUGUUGGGUAAGUCAGGAAAUCUAACUUUUGUAUGGAAGUGUGUCUGACAUUUUAAAUUAAGGUGUAUAAGGAAACAAAUUUAAGUAAUUUUUUUUGUAAUGUUUUAAAAGUUGUGUCAAUAAGCACUCAUCACAACCUGCUUAUGACCGCUCCAUCUAACUACAAACAAAGGGGAAGAUUGCAAGUGACACUUUUGUUGCUUUUCUAUAUACAGGAGAGGAGCAAUUGUCACAACUUUCAUUGUAUGCUAUGCUCUUACGUCAUCCAUUUCUGGUUAUGUUAGUGCUGGGAUGUACUCACGCAAUGGGGGUAAGUAUUUCUACUAGUUUAGUGACUGCACUGAUUUGUUAACUUUAGGCUUCAGCGCAAUAUUGAUUUGUAAAACUACCCAACAUAUUUCUUUGAGGUUAUAAUACCAGUAUACUUUAAAGAUUUCUUUCAGCGGCUUCAGCACUUGGCUUAAUUCUUUGGCCCUUUCUAACGUUGUUAUCAUGACAGGUAAAAACUGGAUAAAAUCAAUGAUCUUCACAGCAUCUCUAUUUCCAUUUUUGUGCUUUGGAAUUGGAUUCAUCUUGAACACUAUUGCUAUAUUCUAUGGGUCUCUAGCAGCCAUUCCUUUUGGUACGAUGGUUGUGGUCUUUGUCAUUUGGGCUUUCAUUUCUUUUCCUUUGGCUCUUCUUGGUACGGUAAUUGGACGUAAUUGGAGUGGUGCCCCUAACAAUCCAUGUCGUGUGAAGACUAUUCCUCGUCCUAUCCCUGAGAAGAAAUGGUACCUCACACCAUCUGUUGUAUCCAUGAUGGGAGGAUUGCUGCCUUUUGGCAGUAUUUUCAUAGAGAUGUAUUUUGUCUUUACAUCCUUCUGGAACUACAAGGUAGUAUUGUCUUGUUUCUUGUUGGAAGUUGAAAAUAAUUUGGAGUUUAGUAGUUAAUUAACUGUCAGUGUAGUAGUUCAAAACUUCAGUACACUGCAUGCUAAGUAACAUAACAUUUAAAUAAUCAUUUGGUUACUUUUAUGUCAUGUUUGGAUUAAUUAUAGAAAAAAACGUUUAUCCAAAAAGUCAUUUUUAUUUUAACUCUUUUGAUAAAACUGUUUAAAAUAGUCGUUAAUUGUGUCUUGUAAACUAUUUUGAGAGGUUGACAUUUCAUUUCUUCUCUUUCCAAAAUGACUUAUUUUUAAACUAAACACUUAAAAAAGUUAACAAAACACACCCUAAAGCACUUUAUGGAUGAGAUGCUUGUUUCUUCAAGUUUUAAAAUCAAUUUAGGAAUUCCAACAAGACGUUCUAGGAUGUGUUGGCAGUAUUGGAAUAGCAACUUACUAGCUCGGCCUAUAACUUGUUGUCCCCCUAUCCACAGGUGUACUACGUAUAUGGAUUCAUGCUGCUGGUUUUUCUAAUUCUCAUCAUAGUUACUGUCUGCGUGACCAUUGUGGGAACAUAUUUCUUGCUUAAUGCCGAGAACUAUCACUGGCAGUGGACUUCAUUUUUCUCUGCUGCUUCAACUGCUGUCUAUGUCUACUUCUACUCGAUAUACUACUAUUAUGUGAAGACCAAGAUGUCCGGCUUUUUCCAAACCAGCUUCUAUUUUGGAUACACUUUGAUGUUCUGCCUUGGGUUGGGAAUUCUUUGUGGUGAGUUUUACAAUUUUACUGGCAUAUUCAAGUUAUUACGUGCUUUCUCGUUCACCUUAAAAGUGGCAUCUUCAACAAUUGAACAUGAAGAAGGCUUUGUCUUUCUUAGUUCUGUCUAUGAGCAAAUGUUGAUGGUCAUCUGAGAGCCAAAUUUCUUGCUAUGUUUUGAUUUCUGUAUAUUUUUGUUCAUGUUUCUUUUCUUAUGACAUAAAAUUUGAAUUGUGCAGGAGCUGUUGGUUACUUGGGUUCCAAUUUGUUCGUACGGAGGAUCUACAGGAACAUCAAAUGUGAUUAGGGGUAUUUUUGGAAGCAGAAGACCUACGCUACCUUGAAGCAUUUUCAUAGUGGAGGCAAUAACUUCGAGAAGCCCUUGACACAUGGGAGGCCUAGCAACGCAGUAAUACCUGUAGAAAUUAAAAGAUUUUGAGAUGGGGACAUGUUCUUAGCCCUGAGAUAUUUUCUUUUUGGUAAUUGAUGCGUUUUGCCCAAGCUGUAAUUGAAUAUCUUGAUUUAGAGUUUGAGAGAUUGCUUUUCAUAAUGUAGAAAAGUUGACCAAAUUGUUAGACCCAUGUCAUUUUUAUAAUAUUUUUUUUUUUGUCUUCACACAUCAUAAAGAAAUGACCGAGGUCUAUUUCUAUAUUAUGGUUCUAUUUGAAAUGAUAGUCGAUGGAUUGACACUCAAGAAUUACUGAAGGAGUAAGACUGGCUUUAGGAUAUGAUUUUGAGUUUGGCAGUUUGGGAUGUAGUUGUGUGGAGGAAGAAACUUAGAAUAUAAGAAUCCCCAAAUUACUGAAAACUUUGUGACUUGAAUGAAAAAGCAAAAAGCAAAAAGAAUGUUUAUUGUAUAGUUUCUUGAGAGAGAGACUUAAAAUGAUGUAGAAGAUUAGGUUAAGGCCAUAUGAUUCUGUUGAAAGGUAGAGGAGCGUGUGGAAGCCAUGGCCUCUCAUUCCCAUGGUCCCAUGAUUGUUGAUAAAAUGACAGAGUAUUAGCUCGUAGCCUUUCAUUUCAUUUCUUAUCUACAGGUGUGGGCUCCUCUUCUACUACAAGCUGAGUAAGGCAUACGAAUAAGAUCCAGAAGUCAGUGGCCAUUCAUCUUGGUAGAGCAGCAAAAUGACCAGUUCACCAGCACUUUCCAGUGUGACAUUGAACACCUCGUUUCUCCAGAAGCAGCCAACAACAAGGAUAAGGUUGGUGUUGAACUUUGGCCAAGAUUUGUUUAAGCUGAAGGGUGGCAGCAGCCGAGGUGGGCGAGUGAUUGCAAUGGCAGAGUACAACGUGAAGUUGAUCACACCAACAGGAGAGACGGAGUUCAAGUGCCCGGAUGACGAAUACAUUCUUGAUCGAGCUGAGCAAAUGGGAUUUGAUCUUCCAUAUUCAUGUAGAGCAGGGUCUUGCUCUUCUUGUGCAGGGAAAGUAGUAUCAGGGAAGGUGGAUCAGUCAGAUGGGAGCUACCUUGAGGAUGAUCAGAUGGAUGAAGGUUGGGUUUUAACUUGUGUUGCUUACCCGCAGUCAGAUGUUGUCAUUGAGACACACAAGGAGGAAUAUCUAUUUAGUUAGUUAGUUAAGUCUGCUUCAAGAUCUAGUUAUUUAUCUCCAUGAAAUGAUUCUGGCUUGCCUUCAGGUCCUUAAUCAGAUGUCUCAUGGAGUUUUUUGAUCACUUUUCUUAGUUUUACACCAACAUUCUAAAACCAAUUUAGGUUAGGAUUUAAAUUGAUAUAUUUGUAAAAAUUUUAGAUUUAAAUUGGUACAAUUAUUUAGUUUAGGGUUUAGAUUGACAUAACUUCAAAGUUCAGGGUUUAAAUUGAUGCACAUUAUCUUAUACGACUCCAAAAAUUUAGAGAUAUAAAUUGAUAUUUGUUCUAAUUUUAAAUAACAUCACUAUGCAAGAGACUAUCGAUAACUAAGGUCCUCAUUUCAAGUAGAGAAUACCUCACUAUUGUAAUUAGAGCGUAAAACACACCACUAACAUAAUUAAAGUCUCAACAGAUUUUUUCAAUAAAAUCCAUAGAGGGUUCAUCCUUAGUUUACAUCAUAUUCGCAGACAGCUCGUUGAGAGCACGAAUGAUGUCUAACGAGUUCGAUUAUACCCACAAAAGAUGGCUGUUGACAAUAUAACCUCCCCUUCCAAUACGUCAAUGGGCUUAGUGCAAAUAGAAGAUCUUUGAGAGUCACAAACUGCCCACCCCACCCCUCCAACCAUCUAUCCUAACUCCCACGCCUCACUGACCUUAUUUCCAGAAAGCUGAAGACUUAUCAUUCAUCUUGAAGAUGCAAUGAAGAUUGAACUUCUCAUCAUCGCUAUGCAAGGAAUGAAGCUAAUUUUUGUAGCUCCACAAAACAAUAAUCACCUUCGUAAGAUCCAUAUUUCUCAGUUUGCCUACGGUCCUCGCCUAAAGGUCCAUCGACAUCGACUACCAAUCCUCUUUGCAAGAGAUAAGUGAACCAAAUGAGAUUAGAAAAGUAUUGUUCCCACACUUUUUGAGCAAACUAACACAAACCACAUAUUGUGGCAUGCGGUCUCCUUGUCUUUCCUGCAAAAUAAGCCAAAAAGAGUUCAUAGAAACUUUAGAAGUUGUGUUAUGAAGUAACUACGUGUUGGUUUGAUCUUUUGUAAAUUGACUAAAAUUCAGAAGAAACAUAGAUAGUCUAAAGGAAAGAAAAAUUGAAGUUUCACUUAAUUUCAUGUUUGAGAGCUAAAUUACAUUGUUAAAUAACUUAGGUUAGGCUAGGAAUUAAAUUGCAAAUGAUUUACCUUUAGCUUUACUAAUGAAAUUAAGUGACAUAUGCUCUUUAUUGGUUCAUGAUAUUUCAUAAAGUUUUGAAGUUUUUGCCAUUUAAAUUUGUGGUUUUCAAGUCUGUCCUUAAAUCCAAUUCUUCUAAAGGUUUUUAGUUAGGGAAAUACAAAUCUGAGAUAAUUUGCCAUUUUUUCUUGUUUUGGUGUGGUUUUGAAGCAUUAUUUUGAUCACAUUCUUUUAAAGCUCAAAUAUAUGUUUUGGUUCCAUUGUUUAAAAUGCUUCAAUUUAAUAUUUAAGAUAUGUUUGGAAUUUUAAUUUAAAGAAUAUAAUGUUUGGUAACGUCUGGAAAUAGCUUUGAAAUGUAUUUUAAAUAGUUUUUAUUACGUGAAUUUAAUAAAAUUAAGUUUUUUUAAAAAUAUUUUUUUAUUAAUAUAUGCAUGUAUUUAUUUGUUUCGAAUGUUUUUUAAAUAUAGAAAAUGAGCUAAUUUUUUUUAAAAAUAAAUAUAACGAAAUUAUACUUUCUAUAGACUCAAAAUAAUCAACAAUUACUUCAGUGAUAGACAUUGAGAGAUCGGAGUCUAUUAUUGAUAGAAAGUAGUUCUUCUUUCUUAUUUCCUUCUUCGUUAUGGUUCCUUGUGUGCAUUUUUAUCCAACAAGUUCCAAAUCUUUGAAAGAAAAGAUUUUUCAAAGAGAAAAAUUGUGAGUUUAAAAUUAUUUUUAAGGCCAAUAUCAAUUUACAAAUCUAAAUUUUAGGUCAUAUCAAUUAAAACUUUGAACUUUAAUUGUCACGAUGCCAUGUAAAAUAAAAGGAUCAAAUUCUCUUCUCGUGUAUGGAAAUUGAAAUCAAUAUAAGAUAAUUUAGUAAAUAAAGAUACUACUUUAAUUAUCAUAUAAAAUAUCAAUAGUUUCAAUCUCUUGCUUUACCACGGUUGAACUCAAAACAAUAACAAUAAAAAAUUCAAUGGGACAACAUGAGCGUAAAUCCAACUUGUUGUCCAUACAUGGGUGGAUUUAUUAAGGAGUCGGGACUCCUCUCACAUUCUCGAUUUUUGUAUUUUAAUAUUAAUUUUGAAGUGUUAGAUUGUAAUAUAUAUUAAAUAAUGUUUUACCUUUACUAAAUUCUAGUUUUGGUGUAAUAACUAUGCUCUUCUACAAAAUCGUAAGGUUUCGGGGUUAGAUAUUUGCCUAUUAUAAUUAUUUUUGUCAUUUGCUGCAUUCGAUAAACAAAAACUUAGUCGACUUGCUCAGUUUUAUCCAAGAGAAUUUUCAGCUAUUGAACUCUCUUGAGUUUGUUGAACUAAAAAGCAUUGGUGAUCUUGUAGUGAAAAUAGUUGUUACAAAAAGAGAUAAGGUCUACCCAUUAUUUUAUCCAUUGCUCACAUUGACAUUGAUUUUACCGGUUGCAACAACUACUUAGAGAAAACUUUUUUUGCUAUGAAUAUUAUGAAGACUCGACUACGUAAUCGAGUUGGAGAUCGAUAGAUGAAUUAUUGUCUUAUAGCUUAUAUUGAGAAAUAUUUCUUGGAUAAGUUGAUAAUAAACUUAUCAUAAAUCGAUUUUAAAAUAUAAAAACUCGUAGAGAAUAGUUGCAAUACGUAUUAAAUUAAUUAAUCUUUAAAGCUACUAAUAUUUUUUAAAACAUUUUUUAGUGUGUUUGUUAUAUAGUGUUCUUACAUAAAAUUUCUAGAUCCACCAUUGUGUUCAUAUAUAUUUCAUUUAACAUGUGUUAAAAAUGAAAAAGUCAGUGAUUUGAAUUUUCUCAUUCUAUCGAAUUAAAGAAAACUGUGUGUCAAUUCAUUCAAAUUUGAUAAGAUUCAUCCACUUCAACCCUUCUCUAUUCAUUACUAACCAAUGCAAAAAUUCAAUGACACCAAAUUGAAGUUCCACCCUUGUCUUAAGAAGAAUGUUUACACAAUGUCCUAAUCUUUUAAUGCAGUGUGUUUUUAUUAGUUUCAAGAAUUUAGUGGAUCCACUUAUCAUAUAAAUGUAAAAUAGAAAAUACUCAUACAAAGUCAUCACUAUGACACAAGUAGUCACCAAUAGACAAAAUUCUUUUAAUGAAUAAGUUAUUAUUUCAUCAUUUAGUUUCCAAAACUUAUAUAUUUUGAGUAAUUGAGAUUUGAAUUUAGGUUUGGUUUAAUUCCUUCAAGUUGGGAGAGUGACAUUUAGUUCUUUCUAAGUUUUGAGUUUUUAAAUUGUUUUUAAGUAAGAUUACAACUAAAUGAUAUAACAAAAUGGUGACGUUAUAGUUAGAUAUGUCGUUUAGACUUUUUUUAAAUUGCUAAUUCUUGUCAAAGAAAGUUAGAUUACAAGGUUUUUAUAAUACAAUAGGAUUGGAGGAAUUUGAAUCACAAGAUUGCAUAUUCAGUUAAACUACUUUUGCAAAAAUGAAAACUCAAUGAUGGAAAAAGAGUUCAAAUCUUGUGUAAUGUUCCAAGUUUAGGUGUGAGUCGUGAAUGAAUUAGGAUCAUUUCUAAUUGAGAUAGACUUAAAAACAUAAGAUAAUGGUUAAGAAAAACCCAAAAGAAUUGAAUGUUUCUACGUAUUCCAAGAAUGUGCCUUCUUCUUUUGGAUGACUCAAUCAUAUAAACUACAAAACAUUGGUGUUAGUUUGUGAUGCCAAUAGCGUUAAAUGGUAGAGACAAAGAGUAAUGUCGAGACCAUUAGACAUCGAAUCUAGAUUCCAAAUCCUAGUAAAUACUCGGGCUUGGGACAUCUCGAGACCAAAAGUAUAUUUUGUUUAUUGAUUAUUAUUGUAUUUUAAAAAAAUGGUUUAUGAAGGCAUUAGUACUCGGUAGCAGCUGUUGUUCACAUUUUGAAACCAAAUCUUUGGAAGGAUAAGAAUCCACAACCAUUACCAUUCGUUGCCAAAAGAUAAGGCGUUAACUCACAUCCACACGCUCUCUAUUUCACUCUCCACGUUAUAGCCACACGACCCAAAAAUCCUCUUUAAAAAACCCUCUCCACUCUCUCAAUUCCAUUUCAUCUCAUCUCAUCUCCAAUCCAACACAAGAACAAUAAGAAAAAUGAGCAGCACCACUGCAAUCACCUCCCCAUUUCCGGCCACCUCCUUCAUCCGUCGGAAUCCUACCGGUGGAGUGAGUUUCAAGCCAUUUCCCAACAUGGGUGAGUCUCUGUACGGGCUGAAACACCGCGGCGGACGACUGGCGAUGAAGGCAUACAAGGUGAAACUCAUAACCCCAGAUGGAGAGAAAACGGUUGAAUGUGAUGCUGAUCUUUACAUUUUGGAUGCGGCUGAGGAAAGUGGGCUUGAUCUUCCUUACUCUUGCAGAGCUGGGGCUUGUUCUUCAUGCGUUGGGAAAGUGGUAUCAGGGAAAUUGGAUCAAUCUGAUCAGAGUUUUCUUGAUGAUGAGCAAGUGGCUGAAGGUUGGGUUUUAACUUGUGUUGCUAGGCCUGAGUCUGAUCUUGUAAUUGAGACUCACAAGGAGGAUUCCUUUGCUGGUUAAAACAGAGGAACAAGAAGGGAUUAAACUUAUUUUUUCUUUUUAUCUUUUCUAUCUUUGUUGAUGAGAGUAAGCAUAAUGGACAUUGUUUUCUUAGCUUGAUGAUGAUGAUGAUGAUGAUGAUGAUAUCUCUCUUUUAAAGUGUUUGUUGAAAAUUGUAUUGUUCAUUACUGGUUUAAGUUUAUUUACAACUCGGGUUUUGUUUAUCUGUUGUUGGGUUCUUAACUUUCAUUUCUUUUUGGCUUCUUUACUUUCAUGUGAAUGAUACUGUCUUUUAGCUUCACGUAUAUCACUUUAGCUCUCCAUUGUAAAUCAUUUUGUUUAUUGUUUUAUUUAUAUGUUGUUGGGUGGUUGUUAUUUAUUUCUCUUUGAUAUCCAAGUUGUGAAUGAUACUAUAGAUUAAUCCAUCUUUAUUUUGGGGAAUGGUAAAAAAUAGUCCAUUUUUUAGGGCAAUAUAUGAGUGAAAAGUUCAAUUUACCCUCAACGAAAUUUUCCUUCUCUUCACUUAAAUCACAACAAACUCAAUUUCUUCUUCCACUUGUUAUCUUCUUCCUCUAACCUCUUCCAAUCGUGGAGGACCAAUUUCAAUUUGAUCUUUUAGGGCUUUCUUCUUCCUAAAGGACAUUAAGGAACAAAAUAUUGCUGACAGACUAAGAUGGUGAGGAGAAUUGUGGCUUGUUAAGAGGUGAGAGGAAGAAGGAAAGAAGAAUUACUUUUCAGUUGUAGUUGCUGUUGACCGUCGUAGGGUGUUGAGUCGUGAGGGGAGAACCAAUGCAUGCGUGAGAUAAAUGAAGAGAAAAAGGGAACUUUAUACAACUGCUUACACAUUGAUCCAUAGAAGCAAUUUUGAGGCGUACUUUCAACAGCCUAAAAAUGAAUAAAAUUAAGUCACCCAAUUUUAACAAUAAAUUUAUUUGGUCUUUAAUAUUUUAAAAGACCCUAUUUUUAGUUCUCAAUUUUUAAAUUUAUUAUUAUUAUUUUAACCUGCCAUACUAAAUAACAUAUAAUAGAUUUUUUAAAAAUUAUAUUUCCUCUUCAUAUUAUUUUUAGCUUCAAAAUGUGAUGUACAACUAAAAUUACUUGUACCUUUUGAUCCUAAGCUAAGAAAAACUACUUAAAAAAAAAAAAAAUAGAGACAAAUAUGUGAUUAAUGUAGAAAAUUUGAAUUCAAUAAAAAAAUCACAUGGUAACAAAAUUCAACAAAUUUAAUUUCAAAAACUACAAAAGUUAUAUUACCAUUAAAAUUAUUUAAUAAUGAGUUUAAUUUCAAAAAGUUUUUUUUUUUUUUUUUGGAUAAAAUGUAUUCCAAAAUGAAGGUGGAAAAUGGGAGAGAAUUAAAAGUCAUUUUAUGUUAAUGUUUUAAUGUUUUAAUGCUUAAUGUAUUCUAUAAGAUAUAAUGCAUUAUAAAACAAUCUUGUUGUUCACACAAUACUUUCUAAGAAAUUUAAUUUGUGGAGUUGAACUUGUGUUGAUGUUGAUUAUAAUGAGAUGUGGUUUGUUCUCUAGUAUUUGAUCAUCUGAUUCUCUCUCGGUUGAAUGUUUAUGCUUGAUUUAAGGAAGCAAAGCACAUGAUGUUCUUGAAGUUAAAGUCUUGGAAGAAAGUUUGCAUCUUCAAAGGGAGCUUCAAUCUUCAAUGAUAGUCGACUUCAAGAGUUAUGGAGUUUCUGUUGGGAUUUAUGUCCUAAUACUCGUAGAUUGUAAAUAUAAUUCAUUGACCGUUGUUAAUAAAGUGUUAUUGUAAUAAUUGUUAUUGAUUAAAUUAUUAGUUUUGUCUUAAUAACUCAAAUCCAAUAAACUAACAUGGUAAGUUGUUUAAUGAGUCUUGAACGGUAUGCAGACACAUAUAGGAAUCAAUGUUCAAGAUCAGCUUAAAAUGUCUAUAGUAUAGGGAUAAGACCGAGGAGCUUAUCUUGGUAACACUAUGCAUAUGGCUAUGCAAAUUUAUAUUUAUUAUUUAAAUUAAAUAAAUAAAAAUGCAAUUCAAUUUUAAAUAAAAGAAUUUCUAUAUAGAAUUAUAUGGGGAAUGGUGAUUAGAAAACACAAAGAUCCAACAUGUUCGUGUAGUUGACAAGUGAGUAAGGAUAUCUUAUCCAAUGAGUUUACAUAAGACCGGACCGCGAAAUAGUAACUACUAGAUGUAAUUUCGUUAACUAGUUAGAUUUCUAUUUCACUAGAAUGACCUAGGUCACUUAGUCUUAAUCCUGAGUGUAUUAUGAACUCUUGUUAGCGAGAGAUUGUUCUUUGAUUUGUACGGGUGAAAGUGGUCACAUCGCCGACUUAAUAAGCUGAUCAUUUUUUAGAGACAAGAUCGAGCGAGGUGCUGUAAACAUAAUUACACAAGAUGAAAUUCACUCAUUCCCUAUUUUAAGGUAAGUAGAUCAGUGUUCUCUUAAACGGUGUCUCCAAGUCUUAAACAAAGGGUCUUACCCUCUCUAUGGCACGAGAGGGGUUUCUGUUUACUGGUAUGACCCUAAACAAGUUGUUCAUUAAAGGAGCACUGAUAUUUAAGGAUUAGAGGUAACUCAGAGGUAAAACAGUAAAUUGAUCCAGUUGGUAUUACAAACACUCGUGAAUGACUAACUUACUGUAAUUGGUCUAUAUUCGUGAACACAAAAAUAUAUCUACAGUGAGAAGAGUUUAGCUGUGAGUCUUUAGUGGAGUGUACGCAUAGUUAAUGAAUAUUGAUUAAUGUGGUUAAUGAGUUUAGCCAGUUAAUCUCAGAUUGUUGUAGCUUCUGAUCUAUAGGUCCAUUAGGUCUCCUUCCUAGCUCGUAAAGGGUAAUGAGAUUUAUUUAUAUUGGUUGUAAUUUGAAAUGUUCAAAUUUACUUUGAGAAUUAGUUUAAUGUAUAGUGAUGCAUUAUAAUAUAAAAUUUAUCAAACUUUAUUAUAUAAAUUUAAUUUUGGAUAUGAUUCAAAAUUAAUUUAUGAGAGAUAAAAUAUUUGAAUGAGUUCAAAUAUUAAUUUAAUGUGAUUUGGAUUCAUAUUAAUUAGGAGAGAAACUUAUAUUUGAAUAUGAUUUAAAUUUAAUUUAAGUUAAAUGUAAAAUAUUUAAUUUAGCUAUUAAUUAAUUAAUAGUUUAGUUUUAUUUAAUUAAAUCUAUAAGAUAUUGUAGAGAUAUUCAUUCAAAUAAGUUCUGAAUGAAAUAUUAAUUUAAUUUAAUUUAAUUAAUUAUAUUAAUAUAAAUCUAUAAGAUAUUAGAAAGAUAUUCAUUCAAAUAAGAUUUGAAUAAAAUAUCAAUUAAAUAUGCUUUAAUUAAUUAUAUUAAUAUAAAUUUAUAAGAUAUUGAAGAGAUAUUCAUUCAUCGAAUGAAUGAAAUAUUAAUUAAAUUGAUUUAAUUAAUUAAUUGUUAAUUAAUAAGUAGAUUUGAUAAUAUAAUCUUAUGAUUCUCUCUACUCUUUUUUCUAUUUAAAAAAGGAAAGAGAGUUAUAAAUAUCUAGAAGAAAAAAGUUUUCUUUAAAAAAAUUGAUCAAGAAAAAAAGUAAAGACUUUUGCUCUGCAAAAAAAAAAAAAAAAAGAGCUUCUCUCAACUAUCUCUAAACGUUUUCUCAUCCCAAUUGGUUCCUACAAACCAAUUUCAUACCAGAGGAUAUUUUGGGAUUCCCAAAUUAAAUUGUCAUAGGGUUAUCCAUUCAAUUUCUUUAUAGUCCUUCUAGAGUAAAUUUUUUUUCCCUACAAAUGAAGAUAAUUCCCUAUUUAUAGAGUUAUAUAGUGGACUUUAUGGGCUUGGGUCUGGUUGGUCCAUGGAUCAGAGACGUUUGUUUUCUUCUUCUUUCAUGGCCACACUCAAUCUUUGAAAGAUUAAAGAUCGAGUAGUUGAAAGCUUGAUGCGAUCAAAGACAGAAGUUCUAUGCUUGGAUUCUUUUGAACCAUUGAUUUCUUUUGAAGAUAUAUGAUUGUUGUCUCCACUAUAUUAAUAGUAUGACAAGCAAUGAUUUCUAAUACGUCCUCUAGAUGAUCAUCGAGGAAGUUUCUUGGGUCCUCAUCUCCAAUGUAGACAAUUCUUCGAACCGGUCUUUGCAAUCCAUGCUUAGAGCUUUUCAUCAGUUUAUGUAGUCGAUGACUAGCUCUCUCUUUCGUUGUUUGGUGUUUGUCAGCUCCAUCUACUGACCAAAUGCCUAGUGCUAUAGAAGCAGUUAAGAAACUCAUUUUCCAGCUGUUAUCAGCUGUCAAUUACUUACGACUUCAAAUUGGUAUACCACUCGAAGGCAUUUUCUUUUAAGCUUCGAACGAACUGACUGAUUGGUUGGUCUCCUCUCAAUCUUGUCGUUCUCGCAUGUUUCAAUAAAGUGAGCAACGUAUUGCUUUAAAUUAUCAUUUCCGUCGAAUUGUUGAAACUUUGGAGGUUAGUACCCAACAUGCAUUCGCAAGUCAUUGGUUCUCUUGGUAUAUGAUAUGUAGUACAUAAGGGAAGUUUGUGGUUAUCCUUCAUAAUGAGCUCUUAUGGAGCUUAUAAUGUAAAACUCGUACUAAAAACAUCAAUACAUUACAUUAUAACAUCAAUAACAAGGUUCGUUCUACACAACAUUGGCCAAUUGAGACCCUUCAAUAUCGACCUAUCUAUCUAUUCAACACUUGGCUAUAGAAACCAUAAUGAAACCUCUAAAUUUGUAAACCAUUAUGGUGCCAAAAAAAAAAAAACAAAACAAAACAAAAAGAUAGAAAACCAAAAACUUGGGGGAAAAUGUAGGACUAGUAAAUAUAUUCAUUCAUAUCAGAAAGAUUAUCACAACUUUUUCCUAGAACUUGAACCAUUUAAUUUGGGGGAUGGGCUUGAAGACUCCUUGAAUGCAGAGGGGCAUAGGUCACUAACACUGGAAAAUUGCCAAAAAAGGAUAUUUGUUAAGAGACUAAACACUUUUGGGAUCAAUUUUUAAAAAGUUGAGUUAUGGGACAAAUAAGCAUGUGAAAAGUCCAACUUACUAUUUUAUUAAAAAACCCUAAAAAUGAAUAUUGUGCUGCAUAUUUGUGAUUUCUUCACUUCUACCUUGCACGCAAAUUCUCUUUAGUGAACUAAGACUGUGGAUGAACUACAACCAUGAGAUUCCAUUGAACGUUGUCCAUAGAGCUUCAUUUUGAAACUCAUAGUGAAAUUUUGAAAUGUGCGAGAUACAUGCGAGAUGAUUUUGUGUAUGUUUAGUAAGUUUAUUAGGCCCUUAUGGUUUAUCUCGCACACACCUCACACCUAUCUCGCAUGUUUCAAACUGUCACUAUGAGUUUCACAAUCAAAUUGCUACCCCUCCUAAGUCAUUUAGAGUGAUUUUGUCCAUGUUUAUUAAAUUUAUUAGACCCUUAUGUUUUAUCUCGCACACAUCUCGCACAUUUCAAACUUUUACUAUAAGUUUCACAAUCAAAUUGCUACCUCUCCUAAGCCAUUUAGAAUGAUUCUAUGCAUAUUGCACACAUCUAGCACGCAUCUAGUAAGGGUUUGAAUAAUACAUUAAAGACAAUGAAAGAACAAAAUUAUUCUCAAUCACAUUAGUCACAUACUCUGUAUCACAAAUGAUCAACUUCAAGAAUACAAUUAAAUGGUUUGGCAUAAGCUCAAAGAGAUACAAAACGGUAACUCCAAUUCUUGUAUUGUCUACCCUAAACCUAAUUACACCAUGUAUGUCCAAAUCUUUUGCUUUUAAUAGGGCAUCAAGCAUUGUUUGAUACUUGCUUUCCACCGGUUGUUCAAUCUUCAACUAAAGCAGCCAAAUUUUAAGUAACAUAUAAGCAAUAAAAAUGAGGAAAAAAAUAUAUGGAGAAAACUAAUAAAAAGAGCCACUCAAAAAGUUCACAAAUUAAUGGUUUGCUUCUUCUUUAUCUGAUUCAUCUCUUAUUUGCUUCUUCAACUAUGCAUUAUUUUAUGUACCCUUUUCAAGAUAGUACCCUUUUGUAUUCACUAUUCCUGGAUCAAAAUUUAAUUUUUUAAUGAGUUGAAUAUUCAUUUAGUUUAAGGAUCUAAUACCAUAUUAGAUAGCAUGAGGCUUCUUUCAAAAUUAAUUGGUAAUGAGAGAAUUGACUCAUCUAUAUAUCUUAUAAACAUUAUGGAGCCCUUGAUUAGAAUCAUCGUAACUAAUGUGGGUAAAAACUUAAUAAUUAAGGAUGGUAAGCCAAGUUAGAGAAACAUAUAUCAUCCAAGAAGCUUGUUGCCCAACCCAAAAUUUAAACCAUUUAGAACAGAACUAAAUGAAGUUGAAGGAACAUGAGUUAAAGCUAUCUCCUGUAGGGCAUAUUGUACACCUGAAAUAUUUAGUAUUCUUGAGACUCAAAUACCCGUUCAUCUAAUGGUAUUGAUGGAAGAAGUUUUUCAAGUUUAGAUGAUAGUUUUACAAACAUGGAAGAUUUAGUGCUCUCUGACUAGAGUAAUGCAAAUUAAGUUCAUAAAUAAUAGAAUUGAAUUAUCAAGUUAGGAAUUCAUAUGAAAAACAAUGAAUUUUGAGCUCAAAACAAAUAUGAAAAUCAAAAUCAUUCACAUUCUUACAAAAACUCGCCAUCCACCUGAUAAUCUAGUCAUUGUUGAUAAUCCUUCUUCUCAAACACUGCAACAUCAAGUUCCACAAUAUUGAACAACUUAGUAACAACAGUAGGUACACCUCUAAAGAAAAUAGGCCUACUUCUCCCACACAUGCCCUUCUCCACACGUUCAACCCUCGCCGAUGUCUCAUCCCCUGAAUCGGAUUCCUCCAAGCAAGAAACGUAGGGCAUUCCAGGGCAAUCCAUAGUCGUAUAGAUUGUGAGGAUGGAAAACGACAUCAACUCCAUAUACCUCCUCACCGAAAUCCAAUUUUCACUGCAAGAUCAUGUCUUGGGACUUGAGUGAGUCAUGUUCCACAGUGAAAUCACUGGAACUACCAUUGCUUUCGUAGUUUGAAUGAAAAAUGGGAAAGGAAAAAAAGAGAAAUCAAAGGUUUUGUGAAAAUGAGGGAAAAUGGAAUAACAGAGGGAGAGAUGAGAGAAAAAUGAAAAAUAAAAUUAGGGAAGUGAGGAAAUGGAGGGAGAAGGAGAAGGAGAAAGAAUUCCAUAAAUCGAGCUGAUUGCCCUCUUAGCCUAGAUGUGAGUCUUCUCCUCUCCUCCUUAAGCCAUUUAAGAUUUUGGUUAGUUUUAGUAAAUAUUUUAUUGGAUUUUGGGUUACCCAUCAAAUAUCAAUUACCUUGGUUUUAAAAUAAUUCAAUUUUGGUUAAAGGUGAAUUAUUUUCUUAAUGUUGGAUUAUUUCUUGAAGAUUUAAUUGGCUAAAUUUCUUAAUUGGAGGAUUGGAGCUAUGGAAUUUACCGACCAUUCAAGUUUGUUUUAGUUUCAACCUUAGCCUUGAGAUAAGUUUGGAUACUUUUGUAAAUAAUUGGGUGAUUGGUUGACAAAAUUAAUAAUUUUAAUUUUGUUUCUGUUAAAGACUGUGUUAAUUGGAAAUUGAUUGUCAACAGAAUUUUAGCUAAUCUCGAGGUAAGAGAUUCUACUACUAGACCUUCUACAGUAGAUUAAAGAGCUUGCAUGUAUUUUUCUCUUAUUAUGCAUUAAGGUAGCUAAGAUGCAUAAUGUGACUAUUGGGGAUGACUGAUAUAAAUGACUGCAUAGAUGACUACAUGGACUAUCUUUAUAUAUGACUGAGAUAUGUUAUGAUCGGGAUAUGUUAUGAUCGAGACAUGUUAUGAAUGAGACAUGCUAACUUAGAUAUGUUAUCAUUAAGAUACGAGAUGACAUAGAUAUGAUAUUUAUGAUAUGCUACAUGUUAAAGACUGAGGUGUUCUGUUAACUUUGUUUGUUAGGGUCGUACUCAUAUGGGUGUCCCUCGGGAUCACCACCAUUAUUAUGACUCUGUGUGUUCGAUGAGACCACCAACCUGUCAUGAUAACUUUUAUAACUUUUAUGAGUGAUUCGAUGGGGUCACUUACAACCCGAUUUUCUGAGGUGUUCCUUUGGGUUCACCAAAGAUCAAAUGUGUUUCUAUGGGAUCACAAGAUAGUGUGUGUUCGAGAGCACGAUAGUUAUGGGUACUAUUUGCACAAGAUUUUCGGAGAAAUUUGGUUCGUGGAGUUGAACUUGAGUUGAUGUUAUAUUUUGUUGAUUUGAUGUGAUAUAGUUUGAUCUCUAGAAUUUGAUCCUGUGAUUCUCUCUCGAUUGGAUGCUUACGCUUGAUUUGGAGGAAGCAGAGCACGUGAUGUUCUUGAAGUUGGAGCAUUCGAAGGAAGAUUGAAGAUUGGAGUUGGAGUCUUGGAAGAAAACUUCUAUCUUCAAAGGAGCUUCAAUCUUCGAGGAUGGUCGACUUCAAAAGUUAGGGAGUCUUCUAGCUCUUGAGAGAAUUAGAAUUCUCUAUAGAUCUUUUAGAGUAAAAAAUUUUCAACUCUUACCAACAAGAAGAACUCUUCUAUUUAUAGAGUUCUCUACUAGGUUUUAUGGGCUUAAGCCUAGUUGGUCCAUAGACUCGAUCCAUGGGCUCAACUACACGGAUUUUGGUCAUAUUUAUCAUUUAGGCUCAAUUAAGUUUAUUUUUUGGUUCAAUUGAAAUUAGUCCAAAGAUAAUAUUUAAUUAAACCAAAAUAAUUAAUUUGAUCCAACGGUUAUGAUGAAAACAUGUGGCGUUAUCAUAAUUGACCAAUUUAUGUUUUCAAUUUGAAUUUGGGAUACAUAUUAAUUUUUUAAUUAGUUCCAAAUUCAAUUAUUUGCAUUUUUACCAUUAAUUUAAUAAAUGAUGUGGCAAUUUGUGAUUAGUCUCAAAAUUUUCUAUUCAACACCUACUUCAAAACCCUAUCAAAAACUUAACAGGCUAGACUAAUAGUAGGUCCGUUACUGAAUAUAUGUUUAUACUCACUUUUUUUUAUUUUUAACUUUUCAAGCAAAGGUAGAGGUAGAGGAAAGCUGGCGAAUGACAAGGGAAAAGUUUAUGUUGUUUCUGCUUUAUCUUUACAGUAUUUUGACUUUUGGUAUUUUAUUUAGAUUUAUCGAACCUAUAUUUUACUUUUAUGUUAUUUUAUUUAAAAGACAAAUAAGACAUGAACGAGUAUUUUAUCUAUUAUUUUUAUCUUUACAUACUUAUUUAUAAUUUAUAAAUGAGUAUUUGAGGUUUUUUUUAUUCUAUUAUUUUUAUUUUUACGUACUUUAUUUAUAAUUUAGAAAGGAGUAUUUGAGGUUUUUUUUUAUUGAAAGAUUUAGUAUCUUCUUUUAUUUUAUUUGUUUAGAAAAUAUUUAUUUAUUUUAGUAAUAAUGACUUCAGCUUAGUAUAAAGAAUUGAGUCGUUACAUUACUUAACACGAUGACAAAAAGAAAAAGGGACUAGACACUAUAAUAAAUAGUAACUAUUACCGUGAAGAGAGAUUUGAAAUAAUGACGUUGUAGAUAAUUUUAUGUUAUAAAUAGCUGUAAACACAAUUAUUAUAUAUGGAGCUCCAAACAUGUAGACGACUAUUCCACUCGCUUCAAAUGGAUGGCCAAACACAUCCUUAUAGUAUAACUUCUUAAUAAAAAUGUUCAUUAUGAUCUCAUUUGAUAACCAUUUUGUUUUUGGUUUUUUAUUUACAUUUUUAUUAAAUACAAUGGUUGAAUUCUUAAGCAAAUUAAAAAAAAAAAAACGUUUUGAAAGCUACUUUUUUAAUUUUCAAAAUUUAGCUUGGUUUUUUUUAAAAAUAGAACAAAGCGUGAAAAUAGUUACACGGUAUAGAAUAAUUUUGAAAAAAGUAAAAGCUCACAAGCCCACAAAAUAAAAAAAAAUACAAUCGCGAUUAAUCGGUCCAACAAGUGUGAAAAAUGAUUUUAUACCUAGUCUGAACGAUCUUGCACCAUUAUACCUAAUCUAAACGAUCUUGCAUCCUUGUACCUAAUGUAAAUGAUUUUGUACCAAAUCUAGUCAAUUUUAGAUUCAGUCAAAAUGAUCUUGCACUAAAGCUAAAUGAUCUAUUAGUGAGAGUCGUCUAUCACUAUCUAUAUGAAAUAGAUAACUAAUUGUUUAGAUAUUAGUACACGAUCAUCUAGAUCCUGUAACAAUAUCGUUUAGAUAUUCGACAAAGAAGAAAAAAAGAAAAUGAAAGAUUAAGAAGAGUGAAGAAAUUUUGAGAGUGGAAAUGAAAGAAAUUGCAAGCAAGUGAAAUUCUGAAGACAAUAGUAUAAAGAAAUUGCAAGCAAGUGAAAUUCUGAAGACAAUAGUAUAAAGAAAUUGCAAAAAAUAACUGAAAAAUCGUCUUGCAAUAAUCAAAAUAAAUUGUCUAAAGAAACAAUUAGUUUCGUGGAUCUUUUUUAUAUUGUUAUAUGGACCGUAAAUAUUUAACAUUUUUGUUAUACAAGUUUCUUUUUUCUUUUAACUAUUAGUAGAAUAAAAAUAACAAAAUUAGAAAGAAAGAAAGUGAGGUAGAAGUCUACAAACUUAAGGUACCAAAGCAGACAUAUUUUCGAAUCCUCCAUUUUCAGCUUAUCCCCAAUCCAGCCUUUCGUACGCUUUGAGAGAAGAAAAAGAAAUCGAUAAGAGACAUCAAUAAGUACUGAAUGUUUUCUUUCUUAUGGAUUAAACUUGAUGAUUACCAUCACGUCAUUGUUAAUCUCUUCCUAACUUAAUAUACAUAUGACACUGAAAUCAUUCUUCAUGGGCUAUAAAAAAAAUUGGUCGAUGAAGAUUGUUGUACCGAAUCAGUUCAACCUUACAAAAAGUGUAAAAACGUGUUCAUGUCCUUUUGAACAAGUCGAAAAGUGACUCGACCUUGCUAUCUUCGCCACUCUCUGCAUUAUUUUCUAGGCCAUUAGCAUGAGAAACUCUUGCAGAUUGUGAUAGAAAAUCCGCCAUGGUGGGGGGAAGUUCUUCAUGCCUCCUUAAGCUUGAAGACUCAAUAAUAGCCUCUAGUUGGGCAGUAGAUUGUACGGUCACCUGAUUUGAGGUCUCAAAAGAUGAGCUCCGUGACAACGUACCGGAAGCAAUGGUUAUUUCAUCUCGUUCAUCAACCAUUGAUUCAAGUGAACAUACUGAUCUUGUAGUGAUGGAAUGUGCAGAGUCACGUUUGGACCUCUCCUUUACUCUCUUGCACCAACUAUGCAAUGACUCUCUCACGCUCUCAGCCACCAAUGCUUUCUUACACUUGGAUCCCAUCUGAAGGUUUUCACAAAAGUAUUGAAAUUGUAGAAAACUCAACUUUUUAAAUUUAUAAAAAUCCAUUUGAAAAAUAUUAUAUCGUAAAAAAGAAAAGUUGGACAAACCUGUGUAACAAUUAUAUUAAGUGGCACAGUGCUAUAGCUGCACCAAAACUGUACAAGAACACUGCAUAGACAAGGAAUUGAACAAAUUGAUGAACAUAAAGAUUGCAAGAUUAGAUGGAAAGUCGAAUUAGAAGCUAAGAGGAUUGCAAAGAAUAUAUAUAAUAGAUUUAGUAUACCCAAAUCUAUCAACCAUUUUGGUUUUGUGGUAUUUAAUAGGGAUAUUUGGGAAUCUAAUAGAAAAACUAUAUUAUUUUUUUAGAAAAAUAAGAAUGAAUCUAUUAUAAAAAAGGGCCCUAAUAAUACCAAUCAUCACAACAAAUAUGCCCCAGUUUUGCAAAACAAACUAUCAAACAUUCAAAAAUCAUAUCAACAUGAACCAGGAAGCAGUAGAUGUACAAACAUGAAACAACAUAAAUCUUUUAAUUUCUUAGUAUAUCAACAUCUUGAACGAAAAACUUACCCUGAAGUCAACCUCGUGAUUAUCAUAAAGUCGUUCUUCAUGAAGCAAGAUCUUUCCUUAAAUCCCCACUGAAGUUAAGAAAUAUAUCCAACACUAUUUAAUUCCCCGUGAUUGGAAAGGAAACAACCAAAACACUUUUUUUGGCAAAUGUGAGCAAAGAAACACAAGUGAUUGAGUUUGAGUAUAUUCUUACCAAGGACCAGAUAAAUGUCGCCAUCUCAAAUGCAUUCUGCAAGUUCGAGUAAUAAACAAAGAAACAACAUCAAUCAUUUUUUAGAACUGAUGAUCUAGUUAUAUGGAAAAUUUGAUGCGUACUGGACCUGAAAUAUGAUGAACUGUAUUAACCGUAGUAAAAUCACAGGCUUUCCAAACCAAAACAGAUCGUCUCUUGGUUUUAUUUGAAUCCCACCUCUCUGUUCCAAAACUUCAAGAGCCAAAGAGGAUACAACAUGUUGAAGUUUUGUCCCAACGAGCAUAACAAGCUUUGUACCAAAACGAUCAGGCAGUUCGUCAGUUUUAGAACAAUUUGCAUUUUUGGUUUGGAAAUAUUGUAUAUCUAUAGAUGUAUCACACUUGAACACAGAUAUUACUUACAGCAGCCGGUAUGAAAGAAAGCCAAAAGUAGAUAUUUAAACCUGUUGUAUAGAGAUAACUUUAAACAGUUGGAAAAAAAGGAAGAAAUAAAACGUAUAUGGAGUCUUUAUAACAUUAUUCUGUCAUCAAAAGUCACCGUGAAUGUUGACAAAGAUGCAAAGAAUGGCGUAGCCCCAUAGCGGCCAGCUGCAUGAGAUGUAACUAAAUUCAGCCAUCUUAUUUCUUACCAAUGAAACAGAUUUAAUUCAUAAAUAACUGCAUACCUAAUUCCAAGGAUUCCAUGGAACUCGUCUUCCAUGCUCCGAACCAUGUACUUGUGGAAAUCAUAAGAGAUCGGUAAUUUGUGCUUCUGGAUGUUAUUAGAGCAGCACUUAAGUGAAGCAGUUUGACAUAAAUGUAAUGUAAAUGAGACAAAAAAUUGACCUAAUUUUAUACAUUGUAUUGCCCUUGUACGUCUAUCCUCAAAAUAAGAUUCAAAACUCCAAUGGUCUACCUUUCAAAUUUAUUUCCAAUUUGAUCAUCUUAGUAAAAUUAGAGUUCAUCAACUACCGUACUUGAGACAUCUAGAUCCUUAUCUUAACAGGAGUAAUUUGUAAGGAUUCAACUUGCUUACUUCACUAUUUCUUCCUUACAAUGGCCAAAAACAGAGGUAACCCUCUGCUAUCUUUAUUUAUAUAUAGCCAAAAUGAGUACAGAAAAACAUAAGAUUCAAGAAAAACAAGGAAUAAUGAAGACAAACCCAGCUUCCUCUAGGGAAAGACUGGAUAUUCCUCUAGGCUAAGCAGCCGCCAACUUCAGGAUAAAAAUAAAACCUACCUCCCCUAGACCUAAAAACCCUAUUUAUAUUCCUUCUCUCAUCUUUCUCUUAUUUCUGUGCCUGGGCCCCACCUGCACGAUCUCCUCCUCUUUUUCCUUCCUCAUUAUUAAUUUGUCCAAUUACUUUUCUGCCCCUCCUUUGAUAUGUAUGAAUAAUUGGAGGUCUUACAAUACCCGGGGCUCCAAGUUCACCUUGUCCUCAAGGUGAAACUGAGGGAACUGCUGAUUCAAUAGGUAAACUGAUUCCCACGUUGCUUCACUGUCUGGUAAGUUCUUCCAUUUGAUCAGCCACUCAUUGCCUCCUAGCUCCUUGUUCCACCUUAUUCCCAGCACGUUUUCCGGCCACAAUUGUAGUUCAAAAUCCUCAGUUAGUAUAGGCUGUUGUUGCUGGACUACAUGUUGUUUUCCCAACUUCAGUUUCAGUUGAGACACGUGAAAGACAUUGUGAAUGGCGGCCUCGGGCGGUAGUUGCAAUCGAUAAGCGACCUCUCCUAUCUCUUCAAUAACCUCAUACGGCCCAUAAAAUUUUGGGGAUAGCUUUUCACAUUUCUUCCGAGCUAGUGAUCUUUGUCGAUAGGGUCGUAGUUUCAAAUACACUUCAUCCCCAAUUUUGAAUUUGAGCUCCCUGCGGUUUCGGUCUGCCAUUUUCUUCAUUCUAUUUUGAGCUAUGCAUAGGUUUUCCUUCAGUGCAUUGAGUGCUAAAUCUCUCUCCUUCAACAUGACUUCUACGUCAUUGUUAGGAGAUUGCUUCCAUCCAUAUGACAGCAGUGGCGGGGGAGUUCUUCCAAAAACAGAUUGGUAAGGAGUAGUUUUGGUGGAUGCGUGGAAGGUUGUGUUAUACCAUAAUUCCGCCCAAGGGAUCAGUUUAUCCCAUUUCUUCGGUUGUUCAUUGCAAAAGCAUCUCAAAUAGGUCUCUAGGCAUCUGUUUACCCUCUCGGUUUGUCCAUCGGUUUGGGGAUGGAAUGCCGUGCUUCUCUUCAAAAUGGUGCCCAUGGUAGUGAACAACUCCUUCCAGAAAUUGCUAAGGAAGAUCUUAUCACGGUCGGUAAUAAUGGACUUGGGUAUUCCAUGUUUGCUGACCACUUUUUCCAAAAAAAUUGAAGCCACUUGCUUGGCUGUGUACGGGUGUUUCAGAGGCAAGAAGUAGGAGUACUUACUUAGGCGGUCGACGACUACCAUAAUCACGUUGUAACCUCCUGCUAUUGGCAGCCCUUCAAUAAAAUCCAUGGUCCAAUCCUCCAAUAUCUUGUCGGGUAUAGGAAUGGGUUGCAGAACUCCCGCAGGCUUUGUAGCUUCGAACUUAUUACGUUGACAAGUGUCACAUUCUUCUACAUAUCUCUUGAUAUCAGCCUUCAUUCCUUUCCAAAAUAGUUCCCCACUCAUUCUUUUAUAGGUUCUCAAGAAUCCCGAGUGCCCUCCUAAUAUGGAAUCAUGGAACGUGUGUAGAAGACUCGGAAUGAGGGAGGAAUUUCGCGGCAGCACCAUCCUUCCUUUAUAUAGCAGCCUGCCAUUGUUCCACUGGUAUUUCCCACCUUGAUCCACCUCUCCCUUAAGUUCGGCAAUAAUUUUCUGAAGUUCUUGAUCCAUUUCAACUUCCUUCGCUAUUAUCUCUAUAUCAACUAUGCCUGUGGUUGUCAUUGUAUUUAACUCCACCGAAUGGUCCUUCCUUGAGAGAGCAUCCGCCACCUUAUUCUGCAGACCCGGCUGGUAUAAGAUCUCAAAGUCAUACCCCAAAAGUUUUGUGAGCCACUUUUGGAAUUGAGGCUGAACUUCCCUCUGUUCUAACAGAAAUUUCAGAGCCUUCUGAUCUGAAACAAUUGUGAACUUUCUGCCCAGGAGAUAAUGUCUCCAUUUUUGCACCGAAAGGACAACCGCCAUCAAUUCCCUUUCAUAGAUCGACUUACCCUGGGCUCUUGGGGACAGUUUCUGGCUGAAGAAUGCGAUGGGAUGACCAUUCUGUGAUAAAACUGCACCUAAACCUACUCCUGAAGCAUCAGUUUCGAUUGUGAAGGGCUGAGACCAAUCCGGCAAUGCUAAUACCGGUAAGGUUGUCAUUGCUAGCUUCAGCUGGUCAAACGCUAUUGUAGCUUCCUCAUUCCAAUGGAAUGCAUUUUUCUGAAGUAAUUUGGUUAAGGGUGCAGCUAUUUCUCCAUAGCUUUUCACAAAUCUUCUAUAAUACCCAGUCAGUCCAAGGAAUCCCCUCAGCCCAGUUAUAUCUUUCGGCCGUGGCCAAUUUACCAUACUGCGAAUCUUGUCCUCAUCAGCCUCCACUCCUCUGCUGGAAAUCAGAUGACCCAAAUAUUGAACUUGGGAAUGAGCAAUGACACAUUUAGACCUAUUUGCAAACAAUUCAUGGUCCCUCAAGAUAGCAAAAACCAUUCCUAAAUGUUUCAUGUGCUCAUCUAUGUCCACACUAUAAACUAGAAUGUCAUAAAAAAAAACCAGGACACACCUUCGAAGGAAUGGUUUGAACACCUCGUUCAUGAGAGAUUGGAAGGUGGCAGGAGCAUUCGUAAGGCCGAAAGGCAUCACCAAGAACUCAUAAUGUCCUUCAUGCGUGCGGAAAGCUGUUUUCUCCACAUCUUCCUCCCUCAUCCUAAUCUGGUGGUAUCCAGAUUUAAGGUCUAACUUUGAGAAAACUGUCGCACCAUGAAGUUCAUCUAAGAGUUCUUCGAUCACGGGAAUUGGAAAUUUAUCAGCCACCGUUACUUGAUUGAGUUUCCUGUAAUCUACACAAAAUCUCCACCCUCCGUCCUUUUUCUUCACUAAGAGGACCGGGCUCGAAUAUGGGCUGCGGCUUGGACGAAUCACUCCAGCUUGUAACAUUUCUAACACCAAUUUUUCAAUCUCUUCCUUUUGUACAUGGCCAUACUUAUAUGGUCUUACAUUAAUUGGUUUCUGAUCGGCCACGGUCAGAAUGCGAUGGUCUAUGGCUCUCCUUGGCGGUAAACCCGUGGGCAACCUAAAGACAUCUGCAUAUUGCUCGAGCAAUCGCUGAACCAUGGGUAAUCCUUCUUCCUUUCCCUUCAAUUCAGCUUCUGUUUCCGAUUCUCCUUCAUAGUUUACUUCAUAGUUUUGGAAUUCCAAGAGGAAUCCUUGGUCCCCGGAUUGCCACGUUUUCUCUAAGGUUCUCAAUGAACAUUCUGACUUCGUUAGAGAAGGGUCACCUUUUAGGAUUAUUCUUCUACCCUUCAUCCAAAACGUCAUGGUUAGGGAUGGCCAGUGAACCUUCAUGGUUCCUGUCGAAUCUAGCCAUUGCAUCCCAAGCACCAAGUCUACCGUUCCUAACUCUACCGCUAGGAAAUCUGCUACGAUUGUUAACUCUUUUAACUUCACCUUCACCCUCUUGCAAAUCCCACUUCCUUCACAUUGGUUGCCAUUCCCAAUGGUAACUCCAAAACGAGUUCCCGGAUCGAUGCUCAGCUGUAGUUCAUCUACCAACACUUGGCUGAUGAAGUUAUUGGUCGCCCCGCUGUCAAUCAGAAUAACUACUUCCCUUCCGUUCACAUGUCCUUUUAAUUUCAUCGUCCCCUUUGAUGUAACUCCCGUGAUCAACCUCAAUUCAAUAGGGUUAUCCAUAUUCAAUUCCAGAUGAUUCAGUUCUAUUACUUCGCUUGCCUCAUCCUCUGUAUCCUCUUCCCUUUUGUGGUCUUCUUCCUCAUUUAGUAUAAGGAGCAUCAACUCUCUUUUUUCUCUCCCUUUACAUCGAUGGCCUGGGGCGUACUUUUCAUUACAUCUGAAACAAAGCCCCUUAUCCAGCCUUGCUCUAAAUUCCGUAUCCGACAGCCGUUUAAUUGGGGAUCUUUUUUCUGGUAAUCAUUUUUCAAUGGAAUAGUUACCUGCUUCAUCACAAACUCUGUCUUUUUACUUUCUGUCUUCUCAUUUUUUCCUUGAAAUUUGCUGCUGUUCUCAUUCCUUUUGGGCUCAACUAUAUCCAACUCUUCCAUCGCCAGUUUUAAUGCUAUAUUCCUAUCAUUCACCAGCUGAGCUUCCUUCAUACAUUCCUCUAAAGUUUGAGGGUGUCUGCUGAUUACUUCCGCUUGCAGUGAGGGUUCCAGACCCGUUAAAAACGCAUCCAGCAGAACACUUUCUGCCAUGUCCGGGAGGGGGGCUGAGUAUGUAACAAACUUCUUAACGUACUCGCUGUAUGAGCCUUCUUGCUUAAUACGGAUUAAUCUUGCCCCCAAGCUCUGCUGUCCUGUAUCAUUAAAGAAAUCAAACAUCCUUUCCUUCAAGUCCUCCCAAGAUUCCACCCUCUUUCUACGAUUACUCCAUCUAAACCAGUCUACCUCUUCCUGUCCAAAACUCACGACUGCUACUUUGACCUUCUCAGCUUCCGGUAAGUCAUUUAUAUCAAAAAAAUGUUCUGCUCGGUACGCCCAGGAUUCAGGGUUCAUCCCUGUAAACAGUGGCAUUUCUAAUUUUUUGUACUUACUUUGGUCUGCGCUGCUUCCACCCGACUCGACUAUGGUUCCGGCCUCUUCCAGUUUUCCCUUCAGUUUCAACCUGAUGUCGUCCGUAGUCCCUGCUUCUUCUGUUUUCUUAGCACCAUGGUUUUCUCUUAGCUCGUCUGUCAUUCGAUCCAUCGAUUUCUUCAUUUCCAGCAUCAUCUCCUUCAGACUCAUAAUUUCCUUUUCAGUACCUUCUACCCGUUCUUCUAUCUGUCUUUGAGCCAUCAGACGCGUGAUCACCCCCAGUGUGGAGGCUCUGAUACCAAUAUGUAAGGAUUCAACUUGCUUACUUCACUAUUUCUUCCUUACAAUGGCCAAAAACAGAGGUAACCCUCUGCUAUCUUUAUUUAUAUAUAGCCAAAAUGAGUACAGAAAAACAUAAGAUUCAAGAAAAACAAGGAAUAAUGAAGACAAACCCAGCUUCCUCUAGGGAAAGACUGGAUAUUCCUCUAGGCUAAGCAGCCGCCAACUUCAGGAUAAAAAUAAACCUACCUCCCCUAUACCUAAAAACCCUAUUUAUAUUCCUUCUCUCAUCUUUCUCUUAUUUCUGUGCCUGGGCCCCACCUGCACGAUCUCCUCCUCUUUUUCCUUCCUCAUUAUUAAUUUGUCCAAUUACUUUUCUGCCCCUCCUUUGAUAUGUAUGAAUAAUUGGAGGUCUUACAUAAUUCUUUUCUCGUCACUUUACCAAAACUUGACACAAUAUGCUUUUGGUUUUGCAUUACAAGAAUAAAAACUGCAGUUGCUCAAUGUACUCAGGGUUAGCUCUAGUAACCUUGUCAGAGCUGUUUUCCCAUGAGUUUCAUUCUUCCACACACGUGUUGGCUAUAUAAAUAAUGUCUUUCUAUAUAGGAAUGAAUCCCACACGGAGUACUCACUGUAAUGAAACCCAAACGGAGGGCCAAAUAGUCUGAUUUCUUUAUCGAACUCUUGAACUGACGUAGGAAACAAAGCUGCAUCAAAAACCAUCCUUAUAUUGUUAGUAUAGGGUAAAAAGGUCAUCCAAUGAGUCAGGAAAUUUUAGUCUACAAGUUGCUGAACUCAUCAAUUGACUUAGAUUGAAAUUGGGGAAACUUUCAUUAUCUCAUCGGUUCAGUUUGAAUCUUCGAACCUUUUAAUUUUCCUGAUAUUAUUCAAAAUGUGUUUUUUCUCUCAAUUUACCUGUAUAAAACUAGAGAAUACUAAUUUAUCCUUCAAUAUUUAGUAGUAAAAAAACGCAUUUGCAGCAUUUUCUUUCUUCUUCUAAGAUGGAAAAGGCAACCCUUCAUUCACGUAUAAAAUAUGAGUUACUUUCAGAAGUUUAUUUGUGCAAAAUUAUCCUAAUCUAGGCGAUAGCACAGCAAUAGAAACAUACAAAAAAAUGAGCAUCAUUUAAAAGAGAAAAAAAUACCAUCCAUAUGAGAAUACGACUCCUGCUCCAUGGAUGAGAUGUGUGAUGGAAAACAAACGUCGUUUGCCGCCUCAUGACCUUAUUUCUUUUAGCUAGAAUCAAAACAAUGCCACAAUAGGUAAGAAAAACAAUCUAAAGGAAAGAAUAUUAUCGAAUGAGGGUGAACUAAAUGAUUGAAUAGCUUAUUAAAAAGAUGGAGUUCGUUUUUGUAGUCAGUAUCAAGAAUACCUUUCCUUUCUUUGUUAGGUUUGAUUUUUCUUUACGCCCCUGUAUAUUCUUUUAUUUUUUUCAAUGAAAGUAUUUGGUUUGUCUAAGGACAAGAAGGAAAAGAGGGAAAACAAAAACAAAACAAAACCCUUAAGCAUCAAUAAACAAGGAGGAAAGUAUUUCCCUUUGUCCUGAAUUUGUAUACCUGGUAAAUUAUCUUCAGCAGCUAAUUUAACUUGACUUUCCCAUUUCCUCCAACUGUAUAUCUGAAAGAGGCUCAUAGAAAUAUAGUAAAGCUGGCAAUGGUUUUGAGAGAACAUUAUUUUACACAAAAAGAUACUCUCUAAGUCAACAAUAUUUUAUUCCCCAAGUAAUUAAACAAUGAAGAUCUACACAAAUGCAUUGAAGAUCGAAGUAACAUCAUUUUCUUAAGGAUAUCUAUAUAAAAGUUUCGAUAGCAAUUGGCUAAAUUUUGCAAAAUGCCCUUGCACUUUAGACCAUGUCAAAAUACCCCAAACUUUCAAAAGUUCCAAAAAUAUCCUUAAACUUUCUAAAAGAGUUCAAAAACACCCUUCCUGUUAGUUUGGAUGGAAACCGUUAUUAUUUUGUCUAAAAAAUACCCUUGAACUUUCAGAACUUUCAAAAAUACCCUUUUGACUUAUAAAAAAAAAGUUAAAAAAAUACCCUUGCUAUUAAUAUAUGAAUAGAAACCAGUAACGCCUAGUUGCAUAAAUACUUAUAAAAUUUCAGAAGUUGCAUUAAUACCGUUUACUUUUAUCUUACUGUUUAUCUACACCUCAUCACCUCUUCAAUUUUUUUUCCCUCCCCUACUUCAAUCUAUGGCCUAUAACUUCUCCAUUUUCUUAUUUUUUUUCGCCCCUCCUACUGUCCUAUUAACUAUUUAACCUUUUGUUUAUCUUAUUUUUUAAAAAGAAAAAUUGUGUCAUUCAAUUAAGGUAUAUAGAUUAUAACAAAAGGAAAGACCAAUAACGGAAACACCAAGGGAACCUUAGGACUUAUAUGCUUUCACAAGAUUAUACGUCAGUAGUUGAGUGUAUGAUAAUAUAGCCAAAUACAUUUUUUUUUGUAUUUGGAUAUUUACAGUUUUGGUAAGUUUUAAGAGGAGAUUUAUAUUUUUGGAGUUCAGUAGGAUUUUAUGCUUUAACUUGAAGUUAUGCUUUAUAUUCUAUUGUGACAAAAUUGUUGUAAGAAUUGGACAAUGAGAAACAAAAUGUGUAUCUAUAUAAAAAGAUGAUAUCUAUAUAAUUUGCUUUAAACUUGGUUCUAUUCGAACUCAAGAAAGCUUCAACCGAAACACCAAUGGUUUCCAACAACUAAGAGUAUUUUGUAUUAACGCUCAUUUCAAACAGCAGAAGCAGUUUUUAAAUUCCCUUUCCUAAUGUUAAGAAUAUUAAUGCACCUUUUAAAAGUUCAACAAUAUCUGACACGAAUAUUAUCAGUUUGUAUUCAUAACUGAUCAUAAUGGCAUUUAUUAAACAAGGGUAUUUUUUAACUGUUUUUGAAACUUUAAGGGCAUUUUUUGAACUUUUCAAAGUUCAAGGACAUAUUUCUAUAAAAAUACAAAGUUUAGGGGUAUUUUGUAUAAUUUAGCCAAUAGCAAUUUAAGUAACAUAAUAUCAUACUAAAAGUCACCUGUUCAAUAUUUGGUAACAUUAUUUUCUCUCACUCACUAUUGAUAACACUAGGUCAAUCAAUAUUGUUGUUGGGUCUUGUGUUAAUUACUUUAUUUAUUACACUGAUUGAAUGAAUUUAUUUAAAGAGGCACAAAGUGUGGGUCGUGUUGAUUUUUUAAGUGACAUGUUAUAAGGUUUCUCUUGACAGGAAGUUAGCAAUAAUGUUAAAGAAUAUAUAUAAUUUGAACUUUUCUGGUGACUUAACACACUUUAAACUAGUAAGUCACGUUAAUGAAUCAAGAUGAUAAAUGGAUCUCUAUUUGACUCUACGUCGAGAUCCAUGAUUGCAGUCUCCCUUGCUGUGAAAAUCCAAGAUUAUUCAAUCUAUAUUUGUGUUCCACAUUUCAAAUCUCUAAUCAUGUCAAAUAAAAUUUAAAAUUAGUAAAGUUUUGUACCUUACUCAUUGCCAGACCAACAGCUAGACAGCUAUAAAGAACAUGAGUGAUCCCAAGAACAAACAAGAACCGGUGAAGUUGUUCAAGUCCCUCAUAUGAAACAAAAGGCUCACGACCCUGAAAUCAACAGUUAGAAUUUUGUAACCCUUUUUUGUCUGUUUUUGUCUGCCGAAACAUUAAAACAAAAGAUAGAAGCAGAUGCUCAGUUACCUCACCACAUUGAUGCGGAAGAGCACUUAAUUCUCUUUGAGGAAUGACAAUUUCAUUAUGAGACAAUAGAGAACUUUCAAGCAGAAUAUGUUCAUUGGUGGCAUAAUCUUCUUCUGAACAAAUGUAGAAUCUACUGGUGAAAAGGGACGAGUUCACACAAAUUUCAGAUAUCCACCUUGCACAUUGUGCCAGCAUCAAAGAUAUCAGUCCAAGCAGCAUCAGCUCUACCAAGAAGGGAAACAAAAUUCAACGUGCAAAAAUUGCAAAACUAUAAACUCAAAGGCAUUCUAAUGAGAGAUGCUUGGCGUGUGUUCUUUAUGUCUUUUGGAAUAGAGAAGUUCAUUCGGUCUAUUUAAAGCAUGUUUAGAAAAUUUUAAGGUGGUUUAGUUACAUAAUCACUGGCCAAAGUAACAAUGUAUUUUAAGCUUACCUUCCUUAAUCUUCUCCAAAGAAGCAAACAGAGCCUUUCUCUUGGUCUUCUUCAACCACUGCACACAAAAUACCUCCAUCAAGAAAAUCUAUAACCUUCGUUUUUCUUGUCACUAACACUCAUUUUCUUUUAUUUCAUACAUUUAAAAAAAUUAACAAUUUUCACUUAUGUUAUUCCUCAAUAUUCUCUUGCUCGACCAAACUUGCUCCGGUAUACUAUUCUUAAUUCUCAAUAAUUAUCAGCUUGGUGUAAAUGUGAGGAGGGGAUGGUAGAACGAAAACAUUGCCUUGGUUAUUUGUUUGGUAGCUGAGGGACUAGCAAAAAUUUUAAUGCGGACCUUCUAUCUACAACCGGAAAAAUAAUCAGGAAAAGUAUUUGAAUACAAUAAGUGCAAGAUCCUUCUAGUGCUCGACAUUUUUUUAUUAUAGUGUCUACUUUUACAAUACAAUGAAAAUACUGAUUAACACAAACAAUUACACAAAAAUAUCAACACGUGAAUGAAUAUUUAUUUCUUGGGGAUCAGAUCACAUGUGAUAAGACUCAAAAGAUUUCUUAUAAUAUGGGUGUUUUUAGUUGACAUGAUUUAUGGAAAAAGUUCCAAUUACAGAAAGCCGUACCAAACUGUUUCCAAUAACAUAGCCAUUCGACGAAAAAGUCUCCUAUUCCUCAAAUUCCCUUCCCACAUUUGUAAGAGGGGAUAAAAAAACCAGUCAACUAAUCUUCCAAAUAAAGUGUUGAAAUGCCUUGAAUGCUCCCAAAAACCAAGUACUAAGUUUUUUUUGGUUAAAUUCAUAUUUGCUAUAUUUAUGCCAUUUAUAAGAUAUUAAUCCUAGCAUUUAGAGAAGCACUAUAUAAACUGUAUAAACUCUCUUAACGCUUGAGGUGUACAUGAAUUCUUAUUCUCUAAUACAAUUGUUCUCUACAUCUGCUAAUGGACGUGUCAAUCAGUUGCGGAUUCCAUAAAGGUAUCAGUCUCAUUCAGUCAUUCUCUAUAGAAAUGCAAUCAAACAGAUUACUAGCAAAACAGAGUAUAAUUUUGGCAUACCUUUCCAAACCUAUAGAUUGCCCGCUCCACCACCAAGCAGACAAAGACCAUGACAGUAACCACAGAAGCAACCGAGUAGGUAGGCGUUUCAGCCAGUGACCUUCCUCCUUGAAGUUCCAUUAUCACUGGCCUGAAAGAAAUGUGAGCGAAAAGUAAACCAAAUACCUUCCCGAAGGAAGGGGAAAAUGUUGGUGGGCGAAUGGACCGUCAGCGAAGACGAAAGAUCCAGGAAACUUGGCGGUGGGGGAGAAGAAGAAAGAGGAAAUGAUUUUUAAUGGAAAAAUCACAGGAUCUUCCAUGUUGUUUGCUUCUUCAACAUGUGCCAUGAACUACCGAAUACUAUAAUAUUCUAGAUUGCCUUCGUUUCUCCAUUAUUUCGAUCUGCGCGCUUGCGACUCGUGUAGAUUCGUAAAUAAUAAAGCAAUGUGCGGGCAGUGUGUUGCAUUGCAUCGACAUUGCUGCCAUUUUGGAUUCGAUCCAGCGAGCUCGAUGGCGCUCACAUGGUAUGGUGACAGUGGAGGGGGGAAGACUUCGAGUCAAAGCUGUACAUAAACUAGUCAACGAAAUUGGCCCACAUUCCACGCUCUUGUGUAGUCUAUCCCACCGGAUGAUUUAUUCGGACGACUGUUUGGAGUAAAGAGUUAAGUACUUCCACAAUAGUACUCAAUCAUAAUUCAUGGUUGUUGAAUCUUACUAUUGAAUUUGAUGCUAUUAAACACACAACGCUUUUUUGUUUGCACAAAACAAAUUUCCCCCGUCAUUUUAAAGGGAAUUAAAAGUGGCAUGUCAAAUUAUCUACUAACCCUUCAAUUCAAUCUGUGUGUCUUGGGGCCAUUGCCUCUCUGCUACUCGACAUUAUUUUAAUCUAUAUACUUAAUGCACGAUGCAAGUUCCUCGUUACACACGAUCCUCGAUCCCAACUUUUAAAACUUGUAUAUUUAAAAAAAAGCAUAAUGUUCAUUUCCUUUUUGUGUUAUCUCACAACGUUUACUUUCCCUCUCUAGCUCUUUGAUAGAUUUUUCUUGAAGUUUUUCGUUUAAUCUUCUUCUUUUGAACUCAUAUUCUAUUCAAUAGUUAAGAAACCCGUCGUUUGACCUUUGCUUCAUUAUUUACAUGUCGCUGGCUCGAUUCUCAACACAUGACAUUCGAACUCUGUUUCGUCUUCUACACAUGAGAAUCUCCAUUCAUUUCGUUUUUUGCAUAGAUUUUCAGUUUGUCAAAAAAAUGUCAGGGGUUACUUUUUCAAUUCGUUUUUGUCAAACAUAAUCAUUCAGUGUGCACUUGGUGAGUAUGCAUGUAACAUCAUUUAAACUGCAUCGUGUAACAUGUAAAAGGUAGCGAGGAUCUUGUAAUGUACAUUGAGAAGCGAGUAUUGUGCAUCGAGUAUCAAGUAUUUCACACAAUGGCUAAUAAUUUUUUCUCAUGUCCGUCUAUGAGUAGGCUAUUCAAAAUUUCGGUCAAGGAUCGUUUUUCAGGCCAAGCCCCAAGUUUGCUCUCUCACAAUGGGGUAACUACCAAGAUUGUUAAGGAGAAACUCACCCCAUUUAACUUUAUCUAUUCAAGAGGACAGUAUUUGGGCGAUUUAUGGACUGGACAUCAUAUUUAGUAGCUCAUCGAUGCGCUACAUCCUACUGGGGAGGAGGUGAAAGAUGAUAGACAAGAUGACAUGAUGUUUGAUUUGAAUGGAACUACCGUUCGAUUCACGAUGCAUGAUUUCUUAUUGGUGAUGACGGGACUGUAGUGGACAUUAGACUGUGUCAUUAGAACAAUCGAAUGUGAAUUGGAAGAUUCAGUAUUAAAAUACUACAACAAAUCCAUCGCAUGGGGUAUUCACAUAACUACCCUAAAACCGUCGUACAAGGAGAUGGAGUUUGAAAAUGACUUGACGUUGUGAAAAUGAUUGUUGUAUAUUGUACUGAGUUGGUCAUAAGGAGCAGAGAGAAAAUGGGGCAUAUAUCGACUUGAAGUUGUUCAUCCAUGGACUACUUUAAUAGUAUGCACUAGGAAACAUAAUGUGGCAGAAGACAUUUUUCGGACUACAAAUGGGAUUGGUUGGUAAGGUCGGAAGACAUAAGAAAAAAUAGAAAACUAGUAAGAGCAUAAUAUUAUCAAAUACAAUCUUCCGGAGGUUCGUCAUGCAUUUCAGGUAAUAAUAGCUACUACCAUAUGUGAAGACGAAGAUUGGGCCCUACAACAAACCCAGUAAUGGUGCCCUUUUCCAACAAGACCACACAGAGAAACAAUUGUUCCUUAAGCUCAUGAAGGACAUGGAGUGGUAAUUUGAAUAUGACGUAAGAUCAUCAUUUACUCCUUCUCAUAAUCAACAUGUUACAUAAUGAUCCUUAUCUCUCUUUGACACCCUAAGUUUUAUAGGUUAUCAACUCCUUUCUUUUCUCCAAAGGUCCCUUGUUAAUCACUCGAAGGUGUGCAUUCAUAGGUUCACAACAUUACCAUAUGACAUCUUCCUGUUAAUUUAGAUACCACAACUUUUCUAAAUUAUUUGCUCAUUAUGUUUGUUUAAUUACAAACUCACUUGAACCCCAACGAGGACGACAAUGUGUUUAAAGUGAUAUCCAACAAAAUAAAGGAAUAUGUCGCAUUGGCAUGACAAAAGGACGUGUACAUGGAUGUCAUUCUUAGUUUGGAAGAAAAUCACCAAUCUAGUUUGGCAAAAGUUGACUAUAUUUACGACUCGAUCAAUUACUGUCAACAUCGGAUGAUGCUAGUCAUUCGACAUCAACCAAGGUCAUAUUAUUGUGUACGACUUGUACCUGUCAUACAUAUCCUUGCAUGAUUUAAGUAAGUUAUUGAUGCAUGUAUUUCAUACAAUCUCAUCUCCUAUUGAGGUAUGUGGUAUACCAAAGACAAAGCAUGACCUUGUUCUUGGUCAUGAAUGAUAUACCAAAGCAACUCAUGCAAUAUACAAGAUCCUACCACAUCUUUGGAUUGUAGAAUUUUUGUUUUAAAACUUUUGAAUGCUUAGCGGCAGGUUCUAGGCUAGAUACUAUUCGACAAGAUAUGAUAUUAGAAUUUAGAUUUCAAUAUGUGGCUAAACUAUACGUCAACAUUUAUUUGAACUAGCAUUGUGUCAGGACUAUGUGUAAACUGUCGUUGUAAAUAACUUUGAAUGACAUGUAGAUUGUUAUAAUUUUUGGACACCUAUGUGAUAUUUUGUUACUCAUAUAAUGAUUGUAAAUGAACUAAUACACACUUUCAACUAACGAGUAUUGCAUGUCGUUCAACGAGUUCACAACAGAUUCAUCAUUUUUUUACUAAAACUUGAGCUUCGAGUAAAGAGUUUAUGACAAUGGAUAAAUUAACCGUGUAACUUUUAAGCAUCGAGUAUUGCUUGUUUAUGACAAUGAGUUUUUAGCAUAAUCUUUUGUAUUGUCUAAAGAAUUAGCUUUGUGUAUUAAGUAUUGCUUGUUUACAUGUGUGUUCUAUUAUGCACAUGUGUUAUGGUCGUGAAUAUGGCAUGCUAGGCUCUAAUUGAGCGACUAUUAGGCAACUAAAUAGGAUUAUGCAUUAAAAUGUGUACUUCUAUUCAUGCAUUGUUAAAUCGCUUAAGAUAGAUAUUAUCGUGCAAGUUUUUCUCUCUAACGUGCAAGUAUAAGCAAAGAGAGAUUUUUUAGUAAGUCCAGGAUCGAACACAAGGAAAAGCUCCUAUUUUAUCCUAUCAUGCUACUAAAUCAUGCGGUAUAAUCUAUACAGUAUGUCAUAUGAACAAUAUAUUUUCUAUCAUAACUAUGUACACUAUGGUGCUUUGGUGGUGCAAGAUGACAUGACGAAAUGAGGAAAAAUGAAUAGCAAACUCAUCAUAGACAUGAUGAUGAAGGAAUAGUCUAAUUAACUAAACACAAUGAACUAUGCUUAAUGAUUCGAGGCGAUAUAAAGCAUACUUUAACUUUGUAUUAGGGCGAGCUACCCCUCGGUGCCUUCGUCAUACUUGCUUACCUUUUAAGACCCAAAUACACAAAGUUAGACUAUGAUUUAUAUCUAAUCAUGUUAUAAGCAUUUCAAGUUGCCUCUCCCUAAUUAAGGCGCACAACCUCUUAGUGCUUUUGCCACACCCAUUGUCAUUUCUACAAUGUAUGUAAAGGAUAAAUUAGGCAGUAAGAUUGCAUUGCUACAAUCUUCCCUCCAAUCGCAUAGUUGAAUGUGUGUUCUCACUUGUCAGAUGAUCACAAUAAAAAAACUGUUGUUCUUCUCUUGAAUAUACAAUGUUCUUGACAUCUACACUUAACUCAACAAAGCUUAAAAGGCAGACACCAUGAUUCUCUAAGCAUUAAAAUACAUUUUAUUGCUAGCAAGCUAACUAAACAAAUCAAAGAAGGCAAGAAACAAGAAGAUUGGAGAAUGAAAUAAAAAGUACAAUGCAUGUAUUGAAUAAAAUAACUUUAAGCUUUUCGGCCAUAGAGUACAUAUUACAACACAAUAUGAUAUAAAUACAGAAGGGCAGAUAUUAGAGGGAACUACACCUUAGAGUAUGAUUUUCCAUCCUCUUUGGCUCUGAUUUUUGCUUGUUGAUGAGGGAGAAGAUGAAGGGGGGAAGAACUCUUUCUCUCUCUCUUUUGUUAUGGGCUCCCACUUAGAAACUCAGGGAAAGGGAGGAUGGAUGAUGAUGUAGCUUGCUCUCCUGCCAAAAUAAGCACACACCUUGUUCUGAAGUGAGAGGCUUCAUUUAUAGACAAGAGUUGAUGUUGACAAGAGGUUAUACGUCAUUAAUGCUUUCUGAAAAGAUGCAUCGACGCCGCUCAGGCUGUCCUUUUAUCAUUUUUCAAAUUUUUGAGCCAACCAAUUUUUUCUGCUAGUACCCUAAACGUCUAACUUGCUACUUUGUUCUUGCCUUAGUUGAAUGUGUCUUAUCGUGUGGACGUUAUAUUGCCAAGUUUCACUUCUUUUGCCUAUAAUCCUUCGAUAAGAGCACUAAAACGCAGUAAAACAAGGAUAACACUAUCUUUCAUGUUAUGUUAUUCGAAAGUUAACCAAAUCGCCUACUUUUUCCUUUGUUUUCUUCUAUUCGUACGCGUUUAGAUCUCAUUAUUUUACAUAAAAGAUUACAAUAUAACUUGUACUUCUAUAGGUUAUCAAGUACAUAACAUGAAGUAUCAAAUUUAUAACAGAGUUUACAACUUUUAUGUAUCUAGCAAGAAAUGUAUAGCAUCAAGUAUGGAGUAGCGUGCAACAAGUAAGGCUUUAUCAUGCAUUUUUUGAAAUGUAAGCAACGAGUAUUGAGUAGCGUGCAACGAGUAUUCCAUAUCGAGCAUCGAGUUUUUUUUUCUAACCUUUAAAUUAAAAAAGAAAAAGUAGCAAGUAUUAGGCAUCGUGUAAUAAGAAAGUUGUAUCUUGUAUUGAGUUUGAAGCAUUAAAUAACAAGUAUCGUCUAUUAUAGUAUAAUUUCUUUUUGAUUGAUUCGAACCAAUAGUUUUAACCAUAUGUUUUACAAUUGUUGUAAACUUGUUAAUUUAUGAGAUUCAUAUUUCACAAGAUGAUUAUGUGUAGCUCAAUCUUACAUAGGGUAAGUAGAUGAGCAAUUUCAUUAAGUGCUGAUUUUGGAACUUGAACAAGAAGCUUCACCCUCUGACCAUCUAAAAAAUGACUUAAUUUAUGGUUGGAUCACAAACAAAUUAUUCAUUAGAUGAUUAAUGAUACUUAAGAAAAAUAUCAUUACAAUUGUGAAAUGGACAUUUUGACUUAAACUGUAUUUACGAACAACUCAUGAAUUAUUGAAUUGUUUACAUUGAUUAUAUUUAUGGACACAAUUUAUAUUGAUUAUAUAAUGUCACAAACUUUGUCAAUCUUCACAAGUGUUGUAAUGGUUGCUUCGUAAAUCACUCAAGAACAAGGGCAACAAAUAAUAUAAUCGUUAACACAAGGAAAUAUAUAAAACCAACAAGAAUAAUAUUAACCAUAAGAAAUGAGAAAAUUGAUAACUUGUAGAAAGACAAAUUAUAAUAGCCUUUUACUUAGAGUAACGAAGAAGAAUUGAGAGAAAAAUGUGAUGAAUUACAUGAAAAAGAUAAACUAUGGAAUAUAGGAGUUGCAAAAGACAAAAUGUCUAGUUAUUAUCACGAUACUUUCAUGGCUAAACUCAUGAUAACGCGAAAAAAAGAAGAUGCAGAGCAAAGAGUGGUGUCAAGUGUUGAAGAGAAGCUCAUGUCAACAAAUCAUGCGAUGAAAAAGAUUUUACGCAAUGAGAAUCACUACAAGAUAAUUGAGUUGGUGAAGAUGUCAGCAUAAAUGUCAGACAACAUUUAUAAUGACACAAGGGAAGAACUGCAACGAUGCAAUGAUACAUAGGAGUUUAAUGUAAAUUGUACAUCAAAAUGCUGCUUCACACUCUUAAUGUUUAUAAAUAGGCAUCAAGAGCUCUAAUUUAAAUACAAACUUUUUGAGUUGAAACUAUCUUCUUUGAAGCUCUGCCAAAUCUACUACAAUUGUUAUUCAAUUUUCCUCUUUCUUUUCAUUAAGCUAGCUUUAGGUGAGAACUUGAAAAUUUGUGAGAUUAUAAGUGGAGUUUGAAAUAACCAUCUUCCUAGCAUUCGAAAAGACAACCAUGGAGCCAAAGAAUGCAAGAAAUUACCUUCUACGGCUUGACACAUUUAUCUUCCAUUCCAUUUGUAUUUUAUAUUUUUAUAAUAUUCGUAUUAUAUGAAUUUGAUGAUUGAGAGACCUAGAGUUGUUAUUGUGAAUGCAAUUAUAUUUCACUAUUCCUUUCCAUUUCUUUACGAAUUCACCUUUAUUCUUUAUGUAGUAUGAUUAAAACGAAGUUUGAAAAGAUUGUCUUUGAAAAGUAUAAUAAAUGAAACUGUCAUUUUGUUUAAUAUGAGCUAUCCUCAACGUCUAAUUCUAUUUGAGAGAAAAAAAAGUUUAAGUAUUGAUAGUUAACUAGUCCAGCAUACUGUUAUAAGUUAAUUCCAUAUGAGCUAGCCGAGGAACCUAAUAGAUCUACGAAUCGUGGCUCCAAUAAUUUGAGAUUAAUUGGCUAAACUCUUUUAGAUCGAGCUAAUCAAUGUCUGUUAACUAACAAAUCAUUCCACUAAAGUUUUGUAGUUGCACUCCCCUCACUAUAGAUAUAUUUGUGUCCAUUUGAUAUAACCAUGAUUAGUAAAUUUAUCAUUCACAAGUUGUUUGUAAUAUUGGUUGAGUCAAAAUAUUAUUUUACCUUGAAGAUUAAGUCUCACUAACCCACUAUUUAACACUUGGUUUAAUGUCCAACGACCUAUAAAUCAAAUCCCUCUUGGGCCAAUGAGAGGGUGUGACCCCUUGUUCAAGAUCUGGAUUGAGUUCCUAAGGAAACAAUGUAUCUACUAACCCUAUAGAUAGAAAUGAAUUUCAUCUUGCACCCUGUGUCUCCAGCAAUCCACUUGGUCUUACCCCUUGAAAUAUAUUGAGAGGGUUAUCACGUCAAUGAUGUUGAGCUCCCGCCACCUAUGCAGAUUUAAAAAUAAUCACGUGUGAACACGAGUUCAUAGUUAGCUCAAGAUUAAGUUAUCUAGAUCAUCAAUAAUCAAAGUAGUCAGUUUUAUACAAUCGAUGAUGUUAUAACGUAAAAAUGACUAUUUCAUGGUUUCAGUCUAAUGUAAACUAUUUUCAUAGGAUAUUCUUACUUUCAUGUCUUUAUAUGAACCAUUUAGGACCAAAUCGUUUGUACUAACUACAAAGCAUACCACAUUUAUAAUGUCUCCUAAAUUAGACAUCCAACUUUAUUCAUAUACUAUAGACCAUUUAGGUAUAUACUCAAACUUGAUCCACAUUUAUGUCUUUACAUAAAGUUCAAGUUUACUCAAGAUAACCUUGAGACCUUAAUUUAUUAUAGUCGAGAUUAUAAUAUUCAAUUUCACUAGUAAUUUCUUAAUAAUAAUUUUAUUGAAUAUGAUAUGAUUUUAAACUAUAAACUACAAAUUUUAGAACAUAAAUUUCAUGACAUUUUUAAAUAUAACAUAACGGAUCGAAAUAUUUACAAAAUGUAACCAAUCUUACCGUUGGGUUAUUUUUGGUCAGUUUCAUUUUAUAAUUUAACCAAGCAUGAAAUUAGGGGCAUUUUUGGAAAUAAAUAUAACUCUCUAUUUUAAAAAGGAAAAAGAAUAUAAAAAUAAGAAAACCCUAAUUGUCCAAUUCACCUUCUCUUCCGAGUUGCAGAACCUAUUCUCCACUAUCGUUAUCUUGCCGCCGCUCCUUUCUCCUUGUUACUCUCGGAAGCUUGCGAAAGAACUUCAGAGGUAUGUUUUCGCAUAUUGCUUCGGUUCUCAUUUGAUUCUUCUGCCAUUUUCCCUUUACAAUCCAUUCGAUUUUACUCCGUACGUUUUAAUGCGUGUAUCAUUGAUUGGCGCUUUGGUAACUCUUUUUUCAUUUUCCUCCUUAUAGGAAUUUGGGUUUUGAAUUGCGUAUCACCAGUAACGUUUUUUUUUUCUCUUGUUGUACAAUUCAGUGUUUUUAGAUCCGUGUUCUGUGAUUAACUUUGAGAGAGACAAAAUGGCUUCUCGUUUCUGGACCCAGGUAUUGCCUUCAAUCUAAACGUUCGUGUUAUUCGUAUUUGGGUUUUGAUUUUAAUAUGGUUUGUAAGUUUUAUUUGUUUGUUUCUGAAUUAUUAAACAGGGUGGUGGUAGUGGUUCUGAUUCUGAAGCGGAGGAGAGUGACUAUGGUGAAGAGCUUGAUGACAUUCAGGUUGAUUCCAACGACCAACCGAACAGAAGCAGAUAUCUGCAAGGGAAUGCCAGUGAUAGUGAAGAUUCUGAAGAUAAGAAGCGUACUGUUAGGUCGGCUAAAGAUAAGCGUUUUGAGGAGAUGUCUGCUACUGUCGAUCAGAUGAAAAAUGCUAUGAAGAUCAAUGAUUGGGUAAGCCUGCAGGAGAGUUUUGAUAAAAUAAAUAAGCAGCUUGAGAAAGUCAUGCGUGUUACUGAGUCUGAGAAGGUGCCGACUCUUUAUAUUAAAGCACUUGUGAUGCUAGAGGAUUUCUUAAAUGAAGCUAUGGCUAAUAAGGAAGCUAAGAAGAAAAUGAGUACUAGUAAUUCUAAGGCACUGAAUUCAAUGAAGCAGAAGCUAAAGAAGAACAAUAAGCAAUAUGAAGAGGUAAUUACCAAGUAUAGAGAAAAUCCUGAGGUUGAGGAAGAAAAGGCUGAUGAGAUGGAUGAUGAUGAUGAUGAUGAUGAUGAAGGAUCUGAAUAUGAGGAUGAUCCUUCUAAAAUUAUGUCUGAUUCAGAGCCAGAGCCAGAUAUAGACGAGGAAGAAGAUCUAGAUGAUCCAAGUCAAAACUGGGAGAAAAAGAAGAGCAAAAAAAACAAGCUCAUGGAUAAGCAGUUUAUGAAGGAUCCUAGUGAGAUCACAUGGGACACUGUCAACAAAAAGUUUAAGGAAGUUGUGGCUGCUCGAGGUAGGAAGGGAACUGGUAGAUUUGAGCAGGUUGAACAGCUUACAUUCUUAACAAAAGUUGCUAAGACUCCUGCACAAAAGCUUGAGAUUUUGUUCAGUGUUGUAUCUGCUCAAUUUGACGUGAAUCCAGGUCUCAGUGGGCAUAUGCCUAUCAGUGUGUGGAAGAAGUGUGUGCAAAACAUGCUUUCUAUAAUUGACAUUCUUGUGCAGAAUCCCAACAUUGUAGUGGAUGAUAUGGUAGAACCAGAUGAGAAUGAAAGCCAGAAGCCAGCUGACUAUAAGGGAACAAUUCGUGUUUGGGGAAACUUGGUUGCUUUUGUUGAGCGGAUUGACACUGAGUUUUUUAAGAGUUUGCAGUGUAUUGAUCCACAUACGCGUGAGUAUGUUGAAAGGCUCAGAGAUGAGCCAAUGUUUAUGGUUCUUGCUCAGAAUGUCCAAGGAUAUUUGGAACGAGUUGGGGAUUACAAAGCGGCUUCAAAAGUUGCCUUGAGGCGUGUUGAACUGAUUUAUUACAAACCACAAGAGGUUUAUGAUGCCAUGAGAAAGCUUGCAGAGCUGUCGGAAGAUGAUGGUGGAGAUGCAAGUGAUGAGGCUAAAGUGGUUGAGGAGAGUAGGGGCCCUGCUGCAUUUAUUGUCACUCCAGAGCUUGUACCUCGUAAACCCACCUUUCCAGAGAGUAGUAGGGCUUUUAUGGACAUUCUGGUAACCCUCAUAUACCAGUAUGGAGAUGAGCGCACUAAAGCACGAGCUAUGCUUUGUGAUAUUUACCACCAUGCUCUCUUAGAUGAAUUUUAUAUUUCUCGUGACUUGUUGCUGAUGAGUCACUUACAGGAUAGUAUUCAACACUUGGACAUCUCAACACAGAUCCUUUUCAAUAGGGCAAUGGCUCAACUUGGUUUGUGUGGCUUUCGGGUUGGUCUGAUCAGUGAAGGACAUGGCUGUGUUUCAGAAUUAUAUUCAGGUGGAAGGGUGAAGGAAUUGCUUGCACAAGGUGUCUCACAAAGCCGAUACCAUGAGAAGACUCCAGAACAGGUAUUCCUUCAUGCAAACCAUUUCCUUCAUUGUUGACUAACCUAUGGAUGCAUCUGUGGUGGUGUAUAUGAUGUCCAAAUGCUCGUGCUUGAAGUAGGACGUGUGUGUUAUCUUUUCUAAAAGAAUUUUAAUUUUUUAAAACAUUAAAAGAUGGUAUCUACAAAUGUAUUCCACUUGGUAGAUGCUUGUAUAAUAGUUUUACCCUGUUUUAUAGAUAUGAGAUCUAUGGAUCUGAUGUAUGUGUCUACCCAAUUUGAUUUGUUUUGCUGAAGGAAAUCUGUGAUACCUACACAGAUGGCUUAGGGAUUAGUUGUGGCUUCUGCAAUCUUCCCUUAACGCUAGGGAGGUUAGCCAACUUAAUCCUUAACGUUUUUAGCCCUUAGAAUGGAAUUUAUAUAUUCAGUCCAUUUUUUUUCAGUAAGCAUGGUUGAGUGAGCAUUCUAUGUUCAUUAACUUUACAAUUGUUUCUAGCACUUCUAUGAUGUAGUGAUGCAAGUACUACUUAUAAUGGUGCCCGUUUGAAGAAUAGAUGUCAGGAUGAGACUGUUCUUUUCUUCCUCUUUUUAUUUGCUGAGGUUGCGGGCGGGGAUGUUCUUGGUUUUAGAAUUGGAGCUGUUGUCUUGAAUGCUAACUUGUCACAGAGCUGAUGUCCAUGUGAAUCCAUAAGAGAUGUGCUCUUGUUUUGUUAGUGAACAAAAAUGAGUGGGGAGUUUGAUAUGUCAUAAUUUAGGGGCUCAUUUAUUGCUCAAAUUGUAAAUGUUGUUUGCUUCCAGUUGAGGGCUUUACUCAUAUAUUAGGCGUCAAACACAAUAUCUUGGUUAUCAUAAGAGCAUAUCUUAAGAAUAGUGACCAGUUUUAUUGUUUUCCUCCGUUAGCAAUUUUUUACAACUUUAACUGCUUAUCUUCUUUUUAACUACCGGUAUAUAUAUCAUAAAAAAUUGUUUGGAAUCAAGCUUCAAUUCAGCUUUUAGUUGAAACAUCAAUCUGCUUGGAAGAUUGAUCUUAUUUUAAAUAAAUUUAAAUGUAGCUUUAGGCUCCAUAACAUUGUUAUAUUUGAGCACUUCUGUUUUACAAAAUAUUUGUUUUUCUCAACCAAUAUCAGGAAAGGCUUGAAAGAAGAAGGCAGAUGCCAUACCACAUGCACAUAAAUCUUGAGCUUCUUGAGGCAGUGCAUUUAAUAAGUGCUAUGCUGCUGGAAGUACCCAACAUGGCAGGCAAUGUUCACGAUUCAAAGCGUAAAGUUAUCAGUAAGAACUUUAGACGGUUACUAGAGGUGAGUGAGAGACAGACAUUUACGGGUCCUCCUGAGAAUGUCAGAGAUCAUGUAAUGGCUGCUACCAGGGCACUUCGUAAGGGUGAUUUCCAGAAGGCUUAUGACGUCAUUGCAUCUUUAGAUGUAUGGAAGUUACUCAGGAGGUGUAAUGAAGUGCUGGAAAUGGUUAAAGGAAAGAUCAAGGAGGAGGCUCUGAGGACUUACCUUCUCACGUACUCCUCAUCCUACGAUUCUCUGAGUUCGGACCAACUCACCCAAAUGUUUGACCUUGCAGAGGGUCAAACACAUAGUAUCGUGAGCAAGAUGAUGAUUAAUGAGGAGCUCCAUGCAAGUUGGGAUCAGCCAAGUGGGUGCAUCAUCUUUCACGAUGUUACUCACACCCGGUUACAAGGUCUGGCAUUCCAAUUGGCUGAUAAGUUGUCAAUCCUUGCUGAAAGUAAUGAGAGAGCAGUUGAGGCAAGAAUUGGAGGAGGAUUAGAUUUACCAAUGAGGCGAAGGGACAACCAAGAAUAUGGUGCUGGAGGAGCUGCAGGUGGGAGUAGCAGGUGGCCAGAUAACAUGUCUUAUAAUCAAGGAAGGCAAGGCGGUCCUAGUUCGCGUGCAGGAUACAGCAGUGGUGGGCGAGGCCAAGGUGGGGGUGGUGGAUACUAUAGAGAUAGGAUGGGCCAGUCUCGAGGAGGCAAUUCAGGAUACCAAAGCACCCGUUAUCAAGAUGCUGCAUAUGGGUCGGGGAGAACUGCUUAUCAGUCGGGAUCUUCCAGAGGAUCCCAGAUGGAUGCUUCUGCUCGAAUGGUCAGUCUCAACAAAGGUGUUCAUGCUUAAAGAACGAUUCAGAGUUUUUACUGCUGUGUGCUCAAAGAAAAUAUGUGAUGGAGCAGUCCCACAUAAAUUUACGAGUAAGUUUCAAUUUAGCGUCGUCUGUUUUUUGAACUGAAAUCUAAUUAUCAAUGUGUUUUGAAAGGAGAGAUUGUAUCCUUUUUUUGACCUUUAAAUGUUGCUAAUUUCUAUCCGCAUGUUACCCGAGUAAAUUUGGGCAUUCUUUCUAUUGAGCUCCCCACUUCCCUUGGAUUUCUUCCUUUUUUCGAUGAUGAAGAACUUUUGUUUGUUCUAAGAGCUUCAAAUGUUGAAGUGUAGCGUAGAUUGUGGUACUCAGUCAUGGAUCGUUAGGUAUGCUUCCGCUUCUUACCGCCCACUCUCAGCAGAACAAUCUACUGUCAAACGCUUUGGCGAUUGGUUUUUGUUUUUCUUCCUUCAUUUUCUCCAUUUUCCCUUUGUGAUGUCUUCUUCCUUUUCCUUAGGAAAGAAUUGAACUCCCUCACUUUUAGUGCUCAAUAAUGUUGGUUCGUUAGACUCGAAACAAAAGGAGAAAAUGAAUGGAGAAUGUUGGUUUUGGUUUCCUGAUAUUUUUCUCUUUUAUGGCAUUGUAGUUGGUAAGUGUUGUUGAAGGAAAAAGCUGGAGCGAUAUGCAAAAGGAAAGAGAUUUAAAAAGAAAAAGAAGAUACGUGUUUUUUAAUUUAAUAAUAGGAUAUAAAAUGUAAUAUAUUUUGCAAAAUAAAAAAUAAAUAAAUUUUUUGUGAAUAUUUAUUUAGUGAGCUAAAUUUUAAUAUUUGCUAAUUUAUGUUGUCAAAGAUAAAUUUGCUAUAAACAAAUUAAACUAAUAUCAUUCUUACUUUAGUGUCAAAGAAAAUCAAUAGAGUUAAUGAAUUAAUGAUUAAAUUAGGGAUUAAAACGUUCCUUUUAGUCUUAAUACCUUAUUUUUAUGCUUUUAAAAUGUAUAUUUUGUGCUUGUUUGUACCUUUAUUCUUAUGUUUAUUUCAUUUAUAAAUGAUUAAAAAUAUAAAAAGGACUAAAAUAAAUGAAAGUUGAAAAUACAUAAACUAUUCAUUCAAGAUUCUAAGAUUCUUGAUUAUCAAAGAUUAUUACAAUUCAUAAACAAUACAUAUAAUACAAAUAACCCAAACGUACGCUUCAAAGGUAAUAUAAAGAGAUGUGUAUGGGGUAAGGGGAAAAACUAGGGGUAGCUUCUCCCUUCCUUUUAUUACCUUCUCUUUCUAAUUUGUCUAUUAACUAAGAAAAAAGGUUUAAGGCUUUCGUUUUCCACACCAUUUUAAAAGGCAGAGGAGAUUAAUAAAAAUUGCCUAAUCAGCUAAUUUGAAUUAUUUAGGUCUCUUUUUUAUAACAAUUUCUUUUCUUUUUUUGAAAAAUAAACUUAUUUUCUCUCCAUAUCUUACAAUAAUUAACAUCUUUAUUAAUUUUUGAGUCACUUAAAAAAAAAACGAAAAUAAUUUACCUUUUUUUCUCAAAUUUUGACUUCACUUUUUAAACCAUUGGUAGAAUAUAGAUAACAGAUGAAGAAAGUUUGAGAUAAAAGUAGUGUUUGUAAAAAACAAAAUGGUUAUCAAAUGGAACUACAACUAUGUAAUUUUAUUAUUUGUAGUUUAAGAACUAUUUGAAACUAAAAUAUUUUUUAAAAGUAAAUGUUUGUUUCAUACUUGAGAAAAUAAAUAUUAUCUUCAAACUUAAAAAAAUGUCCUUUCAUUUGUUUUAUAAGAAAAAUUCUUAUGAAUUUAGUUCUUUUACCUCUUUUAUAAAAAUUACUUUAGUCCUUCUUGAAUCUUGUUCUCUUAUUAACUCUUAAAAGUGAAUUAAACAAAUCUCUUAAAAGUGAAUUAAACAAAAACCUAUAUCUAAAAUUUACUUAUCUUUAAUUUUGAAAUUUUGACUGAAAUUUUAAAAACAUAAGUACAAAGCAAGACUUUGAGAAGUAUAAGAGAUGUUUGUGGACUUGAUUUUAAAAAAUUAAAGACCAAAAAUUGAAAACAAAAUAGUUAAUAAAAAAAAAUUAAAAAGGAUAAUUGCAAUGGAAUUUUCAAGAUUUAAUGUCUAUUAAAUGUAUAACUAACCAUUUUUUCAAGUUACAAAUAUCACAAACUAUAUUGAUCAACUCAAGGAUAGACUCUGGCGGGGUAAUUUAGAACGUUUAUGUUAAAAAUUUGUUUUCCUUUUUUCAUAUUUGGCUUGAAACAAAUCUUUAAUUUAACAAGAUUAAAACUAGGCUAAUUAUUUUAAACCAUAAGAAUUUUAAAAAUAUUUACAAAAUAUAGUAAAAUAUUAAUAAAAGAAACUAAGAAAAUUAUUUUAAAUAAUAAAAAAAAUUUAAAACAUUACAACUAUAAUAAAAUCUAACAAUCUAUUUGCAAUAGCAUGAUAGAUAAAGAUAAGAGACUAUCAGUUACAGUAGAUAAAUGGAUAUUUUACAAUUAUUUUAAUUCAUUUUACUAUUUUUUUUAAAAAAAACAACUCAUAUUAAAUAAAUAAAUAUAUGUAUGUGCAUACGAAAGUAAUUAAAAAUAUUGUUCCAAUUAUACAUAAUUCUAUUAAAUGGGAAAUCAGUGACAUAAAAGGUCACAUAUCAUCUUUAUUCCGAAACUUGGAUGUGGAAAUAUUCAAGGCUUUGUUCAAAAAGGGUUAUUAAAGAACUGUUUAGACAGCAAAUAUAAAAUUUGAUAGACCUACAAAAUAUGUACAAGUUCUCUUUUGGGUAUAAGUACUCUUAUGGGUAAUCGUUGUCGUUGGUGCAGACUGCAUGCUUUCUUUUUAAGGAGUGCUGCAAAAGCCUUAGACCAAAAAUACUUGAAUUUGAAGGCCGUUUCUAAGUAUUUAUAAACUAUCCAUUAUAUGCUCUCUUCUUAUGUUCAUCAAUUCAAUAUUCUUCUUUUCUUUUUCUUUCUAUAUAAUUAGUGUGGGCUAAUUUCUAUAAUAAUCUAUCCCCAUUUACAUAUGUUCGUUUUGCACUUUCACAAUCCUCAAUGAAAUUUUGAUUUUCCCUUUAACAUCUCUAAGUUAUGUAUUGUCAAUAUCACAUAUGCAAAGGAACUACCAAUCUUAUUAACACCCUUAGUAUUGCUUAUUUUUCAGUUAAUCUACUAAGUUAUGCUCAGAUUAAGAAGCCAAAAUAGAAAUUCAUUGAUAAGAAAAAACAUGAUGUAUGAUGAACUACAAAAAGAAAUAUAAUAAAUUUCAUCACAUCUUCAGCAAUUUCGUUUACCAAAUUAGACAUUCCAAAAGAAAAAGAAAAAAAAGGAAAAAAAAGAUCAUCCAAAACUGAUCGUUCUAAAUAAUGCCCAGAUGCUAUAAAUAAUUCAACAUGAAUCUACAUGAAUUGUUUUUUUAAACAACAUAAGAAAAGGAAAUACAAAACUCUUCCGCGUACGCGAUUACUCUCAACUCUUCAGGGAAUUUCAAGUUACUAACUAGAAUUUGUAAGCAAUGAUAAAAUUUCAUGAAAUAGAAAGAAAAAAAACCUAUGCUUAGGUAUAUGAUAGACUGACCUUAGUGAAGAAUCGGUUGGAUAUCCAGAUAUAAACCUUCUGUUUUGAUAUGAAUAAAUGGCAAAACAAUUUUCAGAUUGAAGAACAGAACACUUUUGUCGCCAAAGUUUUCCUCAGGAAUUAAGCAGCAUUCUUUCUGCUUCUAAAGUUCUCCUUCAUUGAUGUGAAUUUUUUCUUGCAUUGGUUCACCGUUUUGCCAGGUACGGCGGCAGCAACCCGCUCCCAUCUCUGGUUGGUCUCCUUUGGGAAUGUUUUUAGAGCUUGGACUAGUGCUCUUUCUUGUACAGCUGACCAAUCGUCUUGCUCUGAACUAGAGGAUACUCCAUUUGCAGAUGGAUUGCUAGGAGUUUGGUUGUUUACAUUUUGUCCUACCGAGGACAUGUCCAGAUUGCCAUUAAUUGCCACAUUGUCUUCGGGUUUUUUAGAGGAUACACCUUCUAACUCUUCUCUAGUUGAAAGCGGAGAUGCAAUGGACUGUGCCGGUUUCCUUUUCUCGAGAAAUGAGUCGAAAGCCUUGGCAGAGUCAGGUUUCUGCAAGAGGAUCGUUUUGGUUGCCUUCAAAAUUUCUUCAACUGAUCUCUCUGUACCAAUGUACUCUGAGAUAACCUCCCACCUACGGGAAGUUCCUUUAGGAUACUUCUGCAUUCCUUUCCUUAAGAGCUCAAUUUCAUCUUUGCUCCAAGGCCUCUCCUUCUUCUGAAGGCUGCCGCUUAGUGAGGCAGUGGCAUUAGCAGUUGUAGAACCAUUCUGCUCUUCCGUCUUCUUGCAUUCCUGAUGCUUUGUAUCUGAACUAUUGCAUUCCUGAGCAUCUCUAAGAACCUUCGCAAGCUCCAUUCCUUUUUUGCCUUCCAUUUUAUCACAAAUAUUUCGCAGCCGCUCAAUGUCAAGAGAAGAACAGAGAUUUUCCACAUCUUCCGCAGAAAGAUCAAGCAAAGACUGAGAUAUCGCAGGCCCAGAAAGCGUUCUAAGGCGAGUCCGUUCUUUUCGUAGGAGUUUCUUCUCCUUCUCUUUCAACUUUUUCUGCUGUUGAGCCAGUUCUGCAGCACGUUUCUCCUCUUCCUCCUUUCUACGUUUCUCCUCUUCAGCAAGCCUAACAGCUUCCUCUUCCUGUAACUUCUUUGCCAAAAAUUUUGCUUCCUUCUUCCUCUGUUUUUCAGCUUUCUCUUCUUCUUUUCUUCUUUGGAUUCUAGGGUCUCGUUUGUAUGCAUUAUCCACGAGUGUACGAAUCCUAGCAUAUUCUUCCUUUCUGGCCUUUUCUGAAAGUUUAGCAUUCUGUCUCUCCAUCCACCUCUUAUGGUCCCGAGACUCUGCUUGCUCAAGAUCAAAUUCAUCAGCGUGUGGGAACUCUCUCCAACUUUUAAAGGCAUACCAAAAGUUGUAGAAAUCAUCAACUACUUUCAAUGGAGUUUUAUCAUCGCCUAAUGAUGGAACAGAUUGGUUAACAGACCAACGCCCAUUCCUCAUAAAAGCUGGACCAAACACCUUAAAGAAAUCUUGUGGAGCACAAUCAGUAGGAAUCUCAUCAUCAAACUCAUCUGUUGAGUCAUAAAUUCUUCUUUUGACAGGAUCAAUCAACACUUCAUACGCUUCUUGAAUAGAUUUAAAGUGACUUUCUAUUUCAUCCUUCUUUGCUUGUUUUGCAGCUUCAGUUUCCUCAGCAAGAAGAAGCGCAGCUUGUUUGUCAGGAUGAUACUUCAAAGCAGUUUCUCGAUAACUUUUUCUUAUCUGUUCCUCAGUCGCUAGAUAUCUUAAAUGACUCAAACCCAACAACGCAUAAUGAUCUUGUUGUGUGCUUCCACCAGAUUUCUUUUUACCUUUGCUGCUGUACGAAUCAAAUGAUGGAGCAUACUUCUGUUCUGUAUCAUCAGCCGCCUGCUCAUUCUCAUCGCUCACUUCCUCGUCCUCCCAACCAAGGAGUUUAAGGGCAGCAUUAUGGAAAGAAUGGCCAGCAGGUUCAUAUUUCAACGCCUUGAUUGGAAGACAAUUUGAGGCAACAUAAAUUGGUUGUCCAUCGACAAUCUCCUGUGAAUAGGUUAGAAGACGCAAAUUGGCCUGGACAGUCAUGGCAUCAAAAGAAACCACCUAACCAGGAUAAUAUUUUCUGGAAUUUUUCUUCAACACAAUAAAUGUUGUAUCUCCAAACUGCACAAACAAGGAAACAUCAAAAAGAGACUUGAAGGAAAACCAAAUCCAAGAAAUAAGGAAGAUGCAAAAGGGCACAAACAGUCCUGUGGUUGAUUCAUGGAAUAUCAUAGAAAUUCAACACGAAUGAAGUUUCAAGAUUAACGGCAAGAUGCAGAUCAAAACCGUCUCAGCAUAACCACUUGAUAGCUUCACCAGUUCAAUCCAUUAAGUAAACUAUGUAAUCCACGCGUUCGCUACUAAAUCAAGUUUCGUAGAAAACCCUAACCCACUCGCCAUCAUCUCGUAACGCACAACAAUGACGACAGCCAGAAUUGAUUAACUAAAGUCCCUUCUUCCCGUGCAUAAAAAAACAACGGGAACACCAAAAAGACACAAGAAAGACUGGAUUUACCCUCUCAAAAAAAAAAUGUAAAUAAUAUAAACGAACGAAUCUAAGUUUCUCACUUUCGUAUUGCAAUACGAUCUUUCCUCACAGUUAUUCCCAAUCAAACGCUCUGUUUUAAAGAACUACACGAUCAUUCGACAACGAAGAAGAUGGUGAAGUCAUCAUUACAGACAAGCAAACAAACACAGGAAAAUCGCGAGAAAAAGAGAAAUUUGUAGGAAACCAAAAUAGAAAAACUGAGACAUAAACAAUAAAACAGAAAUUUACAUGAAGAUGAAGAGAUUUCCGAGCUCACGCCGGCAGCUGAAAAGCACUUCCGGUUAGCCUCUGUUCGUCCGCUAAGCUCCGAUUUUUUUCAGCCAAAAACUACAGGCGUGAGGUUUUCAGGUAUUUAUAGUGCGCUAAAUCUUGCGGACGACCUCAACUCCUUCUCAUGUUUAUAUUUAGAAAAGUAACUCUUAUAAACCAUAUUCAUAAAAAUACUCCUCUUAGCUGUUUUUUUUCCUAAACUAUUUCCUUUCUAAAAGGAAAAAAAAUGGAACAAAUAAACGUCGUCGUUCCAAACGAGCUUAUGAACAUAAAUAUAUUUAAACUUACAAUUAGAGAAGUAUUACACUAACAACAUCUCAAUCCAAUAUUUUUAAAUAUUGAUGAGAUUUUUUUUUUUAAAGAAAAGAUUGAUAAGAUGUUAACAUUUUUUUCGUACAACAAAUUUGAAGUAUGAGAUUGGAUUUUUUACCUACAAUAUCACUAGGUUAAACUUAUUGUUCGCACGAGGUUUUUAAAUAAUGCAUUUUGUGGAGUAUUCUAACUAACAUGUUUCGUGAAGUUAAACUUGUGUUGAUGUUGUGUGUUCAAUACUUACUUUGACACAUUAAUGUUCCACAAAACUUGUUAUUUUUCUAUGUUUGUUUGGUCAAUCAAUUAUGUUAGGUUAAGUUGGAUCAUUAUAGUUUUGUAACCUAGGUUGGAAUAUUUUUCAUGAUUGAGUUUUAACAUUUUAUUUACAUCGUUUAAAAUCUUUUGUUGUUGUAUUAGUAAUUCAACAUAUUAAUUUACUUAGAUGUGUUUAAUUUAUAAAUGUAAGCAUUUUCUUUUGCUACGAGUUAGAAUCUACUAAAGUUCAAUUCGACUCAAAACACUUCAAUUGUAUAGAAUUUUUUUAGGUCAAGUUAGAGAAAAAUUCUAACGCAUGCUUAAGGUCUAGGAAUCUAAAACUGGCUCAAAGCACAUGUUUUAUUGUUCCCAAUUUUCAAGUAACUUACUUCUGACGUCAGUAAUAUAAACAUAUGCAAAGGUGAAAGACAACUUCUUACUCAAAUUGACAUUGGUUCAAUCAAAUUGUCACUUAGGUUUAGAGUAUGUUUAGGGUUUGAUCAAGUUCACACGUUAAAAUUUGGAAUCAACCAUAAAUAUUGGACCAUUGACAUAAUCACCAUUAAACUCGAUUGUUUUAAAAGAACAUAAUUACUAUCGACCUUUAAGUUUAAGUAUCCAAAAAAACAUCUAAACUAAGAUACUUUGGUCCAACUUAAAUAACAAAGUUUGAAUAUGUUAAUACUAACUUGAAUAGCUAAAACUUUAAUAACAUACCUAUUCAUGAACUUCUAAACUCAUGUAUUUGAAUUUAAAAAAUUCAAUUUUUCGAAUUAAAAUAAUUGUAUUUGAAUUUAAAAAAUUCCAUUUUUCGUAUGAAAAAUAGCUGGUGUUUAAAAUUAUCGAAUAUGUAUAUAAAAAUGGUUAAAUAUGUAUGAGAUUUGGUUUAAUUGACUUUAAAUUUGAUAAUAUAAAUAUUAAGUCAAGCUAUAUUUACUUUAACGUGCACCAAAAAACUAUAUUAAACAUGUAAUUAAAAAGUAUUAGAUAUAUACACAUGAAAAUCUGGCCUCAUCCAAAAUUUAAUUUCAAAAUUUUCAAAUAGAAAACAACAGAUUUAAUUUAAUAAGUAAAAAUUUAACUAUUAUAAUUUGCAGCUUAGUCCAUCAUAAAAAAGAUUAUUAAGGUUUAAUUGAACUUAAUUACACGUUAAGUUUAAAUUUGUUUAUAUUCUAUACCAACUAAAUUACACAAUAAAAGUUUGGUUGAAAAACUUAAUGAGGUAGAUUUUAACGUUAUAGAAACUAAUGUGUGUUUGGAUUACAUUUUCAAUAGUUUAAUUUAAAAAAUAAUGAUGUAUUUUGACUACAUUUUGUGUUUAAUUUUAAAAUUAAGUUAUUUAAAAAAAAGAUGUGUUUGGAAGCCACACAAAAAUAGAUUUUUAAGUUUAUUUUAAACAUUUUUUUUUUAAAAUAUAAGUUCAAACAAAAAUGAGCUUUUUUCUUUUGUAAAUCAAUCCAAACUGAUCCACUAUUUUGAAAAAAAUAACUGUUUGGAAGCCACUUAAAAUCCUAAUGGAUCCCCUGUUUUGAAAAAUACUUAAGGGAACGUUUGAGUAAAAGAUUAUUACUAUUGGAUUGGGGUUAUGGUAACCCAACCGGCCCUUGUUUUAGGUUUAUCAUAACCCAUCUUCUCCCUCUCUCUUCCCUCUCUCUCUUCCUUCUCAAUCCAUCUUCAACCCUCCAUAAUCCUACUUUUUCAAUUAUCCAUAAUCGUACAUUUUCAAUUCCCCUUAGUUUUACCAUUUCAUUUUUUUUAAAAAAAACUUGUUCUUUUAUUUAUCAAAUGCCAUUUGUUUUUUAAUUAAUUUAAUAAUCUUAAAAAAAUUUUGUUUUUAAUUUAUUUUAUUUACAAAAUAAAUUUUAAAUAAAUAUUAAUUGCGAUUAGUUUAUGCAUUUAGUACUCGUAUUUAAUUUAAUUUAUUUUAUUUUAUGUCUUUUAUUUGUUUUUCUUCUUUUAUUUGUUUUUUACCUUUUCAAAUAUUUUAUUUUAAAACUAAUCUAUAUGUAUCUAAACUAUUUCGGAUAAAUUUGAGUUAAAUAAAUUUCUAAAAAUGAAUUUUAUUAAACUUAUAGAAUAUCAAAACAAAAUCAAAUAAGGCAAUUUAAUAUUAAAUUAACUAAUUUUAGAAUUCUUAAACCAACCUAAAAAAUGUAUAACAAAUAUUUUUUUGGAAGUAUUUAAACUUUAAAUGUAUAAGAAUUUUCUUUUUAAAAAAAUCAAUUUAAUGGUGAGAUUUGAUUUAAGAUUUAUUUGAAUUAAAUUUUGAAUCUAAUUUUUUACCAAAUUAUGUUAUAUUUUUUCAAAAUGUACUUUUUUUUUCUCUUUCUUUUUCUUAUUUUUAUAUAUUUCAUUCAUUUAUUAUAAUUUUUUUAUCAUUUUUGUUGCUCCUGGAACAACAAUCCUUUAAUUUAAAAAGAUGAGAAAAAAAAAACAUAAUAUUAAGGUAAGAAAACUGAGAAUGUUUUAUCCUUAAAAGAAAAAUAGUAAUUUAUUCAACCGAAACGAUUACUUAAAAAAAAGUUAAUAUUAUAUUUAAAUAAAUUAAAAAAAAUUGUGUUACGAAAACUAUAAUGAUUUGGUAAAUUAAAUAUACAAAAUUUGUGUAUUGGAGUUAGAAUAUGAUUUUUUUUAAAAAAUUAAUAAUUUAUUUGCACGUAACAAUUACGUCCAAGAAAUUUGUGUAUUAGAUUUAGAAUACAAAUUUCUUUAAAAAAUCAAUAAAUUAUUUGCACAUGACGACAACGUAAAAAAUGUUGGAAAUAGACGUCACGUUUAAAUAAAUUAUUGAAAAUUGUUUUACGAAAAUAGAAUAAUUUAGUAAAUUAAAUAUACAAAAUUUUGGUUGGAUUUAGAAUAUGAAUUUUUUUAAAAAAUGUAUAAAAAAUAAAUUUCAUAACACUACAUACAUAAUCAUUCCCUCAAACACAUGUUAUCACAACCCUUCAUAUAUAACCUUUACCCCAAACACAUUUUAUCAUAAUCAUCUCAUAACUCUUUCUACAUAACCUUUCCCCCAAACACAUAUUAUCAUAACACUUAGGUUUAUCAUAACACUAAUUUUAUUAUAACACUAAUCAUUUAUAACUCAACCCUUUCCCCAAAGACAUCCUAAGUGUUUGGAAGUCACUUAAAAUAGAUUUUUAUAUGUAUUUUAAACUAUUUUUUAAAAAAAAGUUUAAAAAGAAAAUGAGUUUUAAAAAAAAGAGUUUCUUAAACUUUUUUCUUAAUUCAAUCCAAACCGACUCUAAAUUCUUAGUCGAUAAUCAUUACUAUAUAGAUUGUCGUCUCUUUUUUAUUUUAAUAAUACUUUUUAAAGAAAAUUUUUAAUUUACACCCUUCUCAGUUUAAACUCAAAAAUCGUAAUAGUAUUAAAUUAGGAAUUUUCAUAAAUAUAUAAAUUUAAAUGUAUCAAUUUAUACUUUUAUUCAGAUUUAGUUUGCAAAUAACAAGUUAUGCAGUUUUUUUUCUAUUAAACUUAUAAAUGGUUACAAUUGAAUUGAUUUAUAAUCUUUAUUCGAAUUGUAUUGGAAGAUGGUCAAUACCUCGAUUUUCAUGCAUGGGUAGACUUCUUUAAAAUGCCUUUUUUUUUUCCUUAAAAGGAAUGACAAUUAUAAUUUGAAUGGACAAACUUUAAUAAAAGAUUUAAAUCAAUUAAGUUUAGAGUUUAAUUAAUAAAAUCUCAAAUUUUUUUAUUAAAUAAAAUGACAAUUUGUUUGAGAGAACACUCUUCUUUGCUCUAUCAUGUUAUAAUAAGAUAUUGAUUUCUUUUGGUCUAUCAUUUAUAUGCAAACAAAUAUCACAAAAGUACAUAUAAACAAAUUAAUUUAAAUUGGACUGGGUAUCUAGAAUUUCAAAAAAAGAAUCCAAAGACAGCUAACUGAAAAAAAAAUCCAAUUCAAUACAAAAUUAAAACUAAUCUUUUACAAUAAAUUGUAAAACACAUUAAAAUUUUCAGAUUCUAUAAAUAAUAGAUACUAAUAUACUCUACGAGUGAUGUUGGUGGAUAUUAAUAGAAAUGCAUUCGUUUGUAUCAUUAAUAGAAUCCAAAAUUUUGCUAUAACUUACAAUAUUUUAAUUUAUUUGCUAUUUUAAAAAUGUCCCUUUGAUAAUUUGAACAUUGUAGUAAUAUAGAAAAUGAUUAAAAAUAGCAAUUUUGACAAAAUACGUACAACAUAUAGCAAAUAAUAGACAUUGAUAUGAUUUAUCAAUAACAUUGAUAGACAAUAAUAGAUGUAACUCUAUCAGUUUUUACAAUGGAUAUAAAUCAAAAUUUUGAUAUAACUUAUAAAUAUUUUAAUUUAUUUUAUUAUUUUUUAAAACGAACAUUCUAUAUUUUAAUUUAUUUUGAAAUGGAAAAUAACAGUUAAAUGAACAUUCUAAUAUUUUAAUUUAUUUUAAAAUGGAAAAUAACAGUUAAAUAAUUUUUGAGAUAAAAUUCUUAAUUUCAGUGGGUAAGAAUUUUCCAAAAAAAGAGAAAAAGAGUGAGUAAAAUAGGAGGAGCUCCGCGUCUGGAACUGUUGGGCUGAAACUGACCAAAACUUUUCGUUUUCAUCAUAUUCCCAAUCCCAUUUACGGCUUCAUAAAUUUGGUUUUCUUUCGAAUUUUCAAUUCGCCACCAAGGUUUCUCUCACUUGCUCUCCGCGGGUUUUUCAUUCUCCUGUUAAGGUUUUGCCUAUUUCUUUUUCUUUUCAUAUUGUAAUGAUCAAUUACUACGUUUUUAUUUGUGUUCUAUGAAGUCUGCUAUGAGUUGUUGUCUGAUUUUCAGUCGUCUAUGAAAUUGGUCAUCGGUUUCAGUUAUCGUGUGUUCGUCUGCGUCUGAUUUUCAUAUUUGUUUGAUGGGGUUUCUCUGCCUUAUUCGUAUUCAAUGGCGUUCUCAUUCUUUGCAAAAAAAAUUAUGAAGUACAGAUUUAAUGAAGUGGAAAACGUAUUUUGAAAAUUGAAGGAAUUAACAGAGAGAUGAAAUUUGCCUACUAGUGGAAGCGGUGGAGGUCAUUGCAGUAGGCUGAGGAGAAAAAGGGGGCGGGUAUAAGAGUUUAAGGUCAUAUAGUUGACAAAUUUGGCGAUCGUUCCCACAAAGUUCGAAAAAGAGGAAUCAGAUAAACCUGGAAUUCUAAGGUUCUUUUGUUUAGCAAAGAGAGAAGGAAGGGGGUCGUGAGCGAGAGAAAAUGGGCAAAGGACCAUUUUCUUUUCGCCGGAGCAGUAGUCGCCGCCGCCCUAAGAAGGUGGUUCAGUCAUCACCAUCCUCAUCGCCACAGCUACCUCCGCAGAUUAGUACCAGUUCUCCUCCCAUUAACAACAAUGGGAAUGGCUUGGUUGGUGGUGGGGGUGGUGGGGCUGUGGGAAAAGUGAAGAAGAAGGCUGGAGGAUGUAGGCUGUGGAUGCGUCUUGACCGGUGGGGGCAAUCAGAGCUUUUAGAGUGGGACAAGAACGCUAUAAUCAGACGUGUUGGAAUUCCGGCCAGGGAUAUGAGGAUUCUUGGUCCUGUUUUCUCACACUCAUCUAAUAUACUCGGUAAGUUUUGAUUUUACGCUGCAACAAGUUUUGAGCUAUAUAUUUACUUUGUAGAAGUGCUGUUUGUUGCCUAAACUCUUAUAACUGAUUUUGGAAGUCAUAGCGAGGGGGAGUUAUAGGAAGCUAUAUAGCUCUUUUUCUAGUCUAUGAAAAAAGAAAGUGAAGUAUUUUUAGUUGGUUUUGUCUUUUUCAAUUGAGAGAGAAAGCUGAGGAGAAAACUAGAAUUUGAAGAGGUAAGAUUGUGUGUAUUUUUCGGUCUAUCCAUCACAGAGAAGGUCGUGUGUAUUUUUCUUGGCAUUUCAUCUUAAAUAGUUUGUUCAUGUUCUACAUUCAUUUUAAGAAACCAUAAAAAACAAAUAAUUUUUUAAUUCGUUUUUUAUUAUACAUGUGCUAUUUUCUUGAUUUGGUUGCUUCUUUUUACACUUCGUUUGUUGUUUUUCUUCUUGAGUUUAAAUUUGGGAACUACGAAGUCAGGUCGUAUUCAACAAUUCAUGUGUUCUCUCGUCAGAUGAAGUCUGGAAUUCCUUACUGGGUUCUCUUUGGUAUUCUUGCAGCCAGGGAAAAGGCAAUGGUUGUUAAUUUAGAGUUUAUAAAAGCUAUAGUUACUGCAGAAGAAGUCCUACUACUUGACCCUCUUCGCCAAGAGGUUAUUCCAUUUGUAGAUCAGCUAAGGAAGCUACUCGCGAAGACAGGCUCAUCUCAACUUGAAAAUGAUGGGAAUGUUUCGAGAGGAGGAAAGUGGUUGCCAGUUUCAGAGGCUGCUGAAGGUGAGCAGUAUGAGCUCCCAUUUGAGUUUCAGGUUCUGGAAAAUGCUUUGGAGGUAGUGUGCUUGUACUUAGAUUCCAGCGUGGCAGACCUUGAGAGGGAUGCUUAUCCAGUUCUGGAUGAACUGGCUAGGAAUGUCAGCACCAAGAAUUUAGAACGUGUGAGGAGUUUGAAAAGUAAUCUUACUCGUAUUCUUGCACGUGUUCAGAAGGUGUGCUGAAUUCUUAUUCUUUCUAGUUCUGCAAACUCUUUAAAAUGCUGAAUGAUUUUGUUUUCUGUUGAAAUAUUUUCCUCCUUUUUAAUUAAUUAUUAUACUCAGCUUGAGGUGUUUUCUAUGAUGUGUGUGUGUUGGGGUGGGUGUGUGUGGGGAGGGGGGAGGGGGAGGGGGAGGGUGAGGGGCAGAAAUGUUAUCAGGUAAUGUGAUGCAAGCUUAAUAACUGAUCGUUAAAGUAGCAACUGGAAAAAGGUUUUUCUCCCUUCCAAAGUUCCCGACCAUGAUCCUAAAUCCAGAUUCAUUUAGACUUGGUGAAACGUUUAUAGGUGGGAAUGUUUGAGGAUUUGUGCUUGCCAAUCUGUAUGCAAGUUGUAGAAUAUGUUACUUAGGAUUGUGAAUUGAUAUCUGUUUCUUUAAAACUCGUAGAUGCAAUUGGUGGCAUUGCCAAAUCUCAUGUAUAUUAACAUUUCAAUAUCUGGUGAAACUAAAAGAACCUCACCGUGUUUUCUGUUGAAUUCAAUGUCUAAGCAUAUAAUUCUAAUAAGUAUGUAUUUGUAGAACAUAGAGCUUUAAAUCCUCGGAUAAAUUUCCAACUCUAGGGAUUGAUAAGCUAUUAGAUGACCUUUGGGGCAACAAUGCUUAGUAAGCUGGAUAACAAUCAAAUCAUCUACUUAGGUUAAACCCCAAAAGAAAGCAUGAGGCUAAACUAAUAUUUUGAUAUAACUUCAUUUCCUAAUCCAGUAGCUUAAAGUUUUGGAUUGUUUGAUGAUUUAACUUAGUAUUAGAGCAUGGUGUGUUUUGUUUGAACUUUGUAAUGUUGUUUACUCCAUGAUUUAUGUUGAUUUUUACUUGUUGGGCUUUCUACUAAUUCCAUAACCCAUAAGUGAAGGAAAAUGUUAAAACUAUUGAUAUAAAUUAAAUUUACCAGCUUAAGCUUUUAGGUUGAUGAUGGGAUUCCAGCUAUUCCCACUUGUCGAUAUAAAAGGAUUGAAGGAUGCUUGAUAUUAAGAUGAAAAUAGCAAAAAAAAAGUUACAAAGACACUCUCUAACCGAAAUGCUCCGAGCCUCUCCGAUGGUUUCCUCUCCUUCUCCUGCUAUCCUAUCUUUCAAGAAUAAGACAGUGGGAUUUCAUACUCCAAAAACUAACUACCCCCUCCUCUCCUUUUCUCCCUUAUUUAUAUUCUCUUCCCCCCCACCUACCGUGGUCCCCCUUGGAUCGUGCGUCGCUCCACUCGUCUGUGGUCCCCACCUGCAGUUGGUUACAUAACCAACUCCCCUUCCUUCUUCUCUUUCCUAUUCUUUCUCCUACUGUAUUGGUGUAUGAUGGGUGGUCUAACAUUGCAUUCCUGGUCCAGUUUCACCUUGUCCUCAAGGUGGAAAUCGGGGAAGGAUUGCUGAAAGUCGUCAUAGCUUUCCCAAGUGGCUUCAUGAUGCGGUAGACCCUUCCAGCUCAUCAAAACUUCCCAUCCUCCUUUCUCGUUUUUUUGAUAACCGUAAAUCUCCUGCGGCACGGCCUUCCACUCGUGAUUUGCAGUAAAAAAUGGCAAGAGCUCUUCGCUAUUCGCACUCUCCCCAAAAGCCUUUUUUAACUGUGAGACAUGGAACACAGGAUGGAUUGUUGCUGCCGAUGGUAACUCCAGCCGAUAUGCCACCUGACCAAUUCUCUUCACUAUCUUAUACGGUCCGAAAUACUUUGGUGAUAGCUUCUCAUUUCUCUUCCUCCGCAGGGACACCUGCCUGUAUGGCCUAAUUUUUAAGAACACUUGUUCUCCUUCUUCAAAUUCGACAUGUCUCUUCAUGUCAGCAUAACUUUUCAUCUUGUCCUGAGCUAUGCGUAGGUGUUCCUUCAAAGCUCCCAAUGCUAUAUCUCUUUCCUUCAGUUGCUCAUCCAAGGUUGAGUUGGAAGUUUCCCGAUCCCCAUAAUAUACCAGGGCUGGUGGGGUUCUCCCAUAAACAGCUUGGAACGGUGACACGCCCAACGAUCUUUGGAAUGUGGUAUUAUACCAGUAUUCAGCCCAGGAUAACCACUUCAUCCACUCUUUCGGUUUUUCCCCGCAAAAGCAUCUUAGAUAAAUUUCGACCGACCUGUUGACCACCUCUGUCUAUCCGUCUGUCUGGGGGUGGUAGGCUGUACUUCGGUUUAACUUGGUACCCGCUAAACGAAAGAGUUCUUUCCAAAAAUGACUCAGAAAGAUCUUGUCCCGAUCAGAUACGAUUGACUGUGGGAACCCGUCUAGUCUUACCACUUCUUUAACGAACAACUCAGCUACCAUCUUUGCGUCAAAGGGAUGUUUAAGGCUGAGGAAAUGCGCAUAUUUGCUGAAGCGAUCCACCACUACGAAUAUGACAUCGCACCCCAUUGAUUUAGUCAGUCCUUCAAUAAAAUCCAUGGAUAUAUCCUCCCAUACUCUAUUUGGUAUUUCGAGGGGAGUCAAUAAUCCUGUUGGAGAUAAUGCUAAAGUCUUAUUCCGUUGGCACGUCAUACAUUCUUCGCAAUAUUUUUGCACUUCUGCCUUCAUUCCCACCUAAAACAGCUCUCCUGUCAUUCUUUUAUAUGUUCUUAAGAAUCCUGAAUGACCCCCUAGGACUGAAUCAUGAUAUGUGUGCAGAAUGGCUGGUCUUAAUGAAGAGUUCUUCGCGAUUACUAAUCUCCCUUUGUAUCUCAGUAUGCCUUGUUGCAGAGUGUAGUUCUUUACCUCUUCCUCCCUCUGAAUUCUGUCGAUGAUAUUCUUCAAAUAUUCAUCUUUGUCAACUUCCUCUCUUAUUACUUUGAUGUCUACCAAAGUGUGAGCGGUUAGUUGGUUGAGAUGGGCAGUUGGUGGUAUUCGUGAGAGGGCAUCUGCUGCCUUGUUUUCCAACCCUGGUUUGUACAUCACCUCAAAUGAGUACCCCAGCAGCUUUGCAAUCCACUUUUGAUAUUGCGGUUGGAUGACUCUCUGUUCCAGUAGGAAUUUUAGUGAUCGCUGAUCUGUUUUAACUAUGAACUUCCUCCCAAGGAGAUAGGGCCGCCAGCGUUGGACUGCCAUUACCACUGCCAUUAACUCCCUCUCAUAUACUGGUUUGGUCCGGUCGCGCAGUGCUAGUGUGUGGCUGUAAAACGCUACGGGUCUUUUGUUCUGCAUUAGUACUGCCCCAAUCCCAUAGCCUGAUGCGUCUGUCUCUACUUCAAAUGGCGCAUUGAAAUCGGGCAGAGCUAAUAUAGGCAGGGUCAUCAUUGCUCGUUGAAGCUUCUCAAACGCUUCCUAUGCUUCCUCAUUCCAUUUAAAUGCUCCAAGCUUCAGCAGCUGAGUCAGGGGUGCCGCUAUGGAUCCAUAAUGCUGUACAAAACGGCGGUAAUAACCCGUCAGCCCCAGAAACCCUCUAACCUCCCGAACGUUUGUUGGGAUUGGCCAUUGCUUGAUUGCUCUAAUUUUUUCAGGGUCGACUUCUACUCCUCUUCCCGACAAUACAUGUCCCAGAUACUCCACCCUUGAACCCGCAAAGCAGCAUUUCUUUCAGUUAGCAAAUAACUUAUGCUCCCUCAAGACUUCCAGCACUAGUUCAAUAUGUUGACAAUGCUCCUCUAGGUUCCUGCUAUACACCAGUAUAUCAUCAAAGAAAACUAAGACAAACUUCCUCAGAUACGACCUAAAAAUCGAGUUCAUUAGUGAUUGGAAGGUUGCUGGUGCGUUGGUGAGUCCAAACGGCAUUACCAAAAACUCAUAAUGUCCCUCGUGAGUUCUAAAGGCUGUUUUCUCUAUAUCUUGACUACACAUUCUCAGUUGAUGGUAACCGGCUUUCAAGUCUAUUUUAGAGAAUAAGUUGGCACCAUUUAACUCAUCAAACAGUUCUUCCACAACUGGGAUAGGGAACUUAUCUGGAAUCGUUAUGUUGUUGAGUGCCCUGUAAUCCACGCAGAAUCGCCAACUCCCAUCCUUUUUCUUGACCAGGAGAACGGGACUUGAGUAGGGGCUUGUGCUGGGGCGGAUGAUUCCUGAAGCCAUCAUUUCAUCCACCAAUUUUUCCAGUUCUUCUUUCUGCUGGAACGCGUACCGGUAGGGCCGGACGUUCACCGGGUCUGCUCCUUCCCUUAUAUGUAUAUGAUGUUCGAUAUCCCUGCUGGGAGGCAAUUCCUUAGGCCACUUGAAUACAUCCUCGUACUGUGUCAGGGUUGUCAAGAUGCUCUCAGGUUCGUUCUUGUUCUCUUCUGUUUCUAUCUUAGCUUGGCAUGCUUCCAGUGUUCUGCACUCAAUCAAAUAUCCCGUGUCCGUUUCAGUCCAUGAUUUGGUGAGAUUUUUUAGGCUCACUUGAGUUUUAGUUAAGCUUGGAUCCCCUUUUAGCACCACUUUUUUGUUGUCAUGGAAAAAGGACAUGGUUAAAUUCCUCCAGUCCAUCUCUGUCACUCCCAAGGAAUGUAACCAUUGCAUUCCAAGUAUCAGGUCUACCCCUCCCAGUUCCAAUGGUAGGAAAUUCUCCAUGACUGUCCACCCAUUGAAAUUCAACUCUACUUUUUCACACACCCCUUUGCCUUUGAUGGCUGUUCCUGAUCCCAGUAUUACUCCAUAGUUGGCAGUGUCUUUUGUGGAUAUUUUCAGUGUCCUGACUAGCCGGUCAGAUAUGAAGUUGUGGGUGGCUCCGCAGUCUACUAGCACGACAACCUCUUGGCUUUGGAUUGUGCCUCUUAUCUUCAUGGUCCCCGGAUUCGUCAAUCCCACUACUGAGUUAAUACAUAACUCCACUACCUCUCCAGGGUCGUUCUGCAGCUCCAUGGUUUUCAAUUCUUUUAGAUCAUACUCAUCUUCCUCAAUGAUUUCUUCCUCCACAUCGUCAGCUCUGACCACAAACAUCCGUAACUCUCGCAUUUCCUUCGCUUUGCAUUUGUGCCCGGAGUAAUACUUCUCAUCGCAUUUGAAACAGAGUCCCUUCUCUCUCUUGGCCUGGAAUUCCGCGUCUGAGAGCCGUUUAGAGGGUCCUUCUUUCUUAAUCUCCUUUGCCGGCGAUCCCCUCAGUGUAAUCGUCCGUAUUGGAAAUACCGUGUUCUCCUUAUUCCCUUGUUCCUUUAGACCGGAAUUUGCUUUGGGUGUAAAAUAGCUGCUAUUUGUGACUUUCGCUCCAGAAUAUCCAGGUAAAUUUGCUUCCCUCCUCAAGAUCUCUUGCUGUUCCACCAUCUGUGCAUAUCUCAUCAUCUCGGCUAAUCCCACGGGAUUGCAGAAUUCCAUCUCCACCUUAAUCCACGGUAACAGCCCUCCCAUGAAUGUCUCUUCCACAAUCUUUUCAGGAAUAUCCGAUAAUGGUGCCACCCACUUAUCGAAGAGGUUCCUAUAUUCCUCCACGCUUGUUUCCUGCUGAAUUCGUAAGAACCGGCCAUACAACGACCCUUCGCGGGAAGAUCGAAAUCGGAUCAGUAGUCGUUCCUUUAAAUUUAACCAACAAGUAAAUUUGUCUCUCUCCUCCUGCGAUCGAUACCAGUUGAGUGCGGGCCCUUCGAAGCUGAUUGUGGCAACCGUAAGUUUUUCAGAAUUCGUGAGUUUGUGUAUUUGAAAGUAUCUCUCUGCGCGAAACAACCAUGAAUCUGGGUCAUCUCCAUCGAAUACCGGCAUUUCAACUUUUUUGAAUUUGUUUCGAUCGUUGCUAUCCCCGUCGCCAUCUUCCUUCGUUUCCGUCGUCCCAUUUUUCGUUUCUUUACUUGCCGAACUCUCUCCCUCCGCCAUUUUUCCCGUCCAUGUUUCUUGUACUGACGACUCGAUUCCUUUUCCGCUAGCUAAUACCCGUUCCUUGGCCAUCGUUUCCAUGAAUAUCAUCACCAUUUGGUGUGUUUUCUCCACUUGGGCCUGCAGGUUUUCCAUGUUCUGCGACAUUACCGUAAGUUUCUCCUCCAUCACCGGAAUCUUGUUGAGUUCUUGUUCGUGUGUAUCCCUUCUCUCUUCACUUCUGGUUUGAACCAUGGCUUCCCCUUCUUUUCGGAUCGACGAGCUCUAAUACCAAGUUGAUGGGAUUCCAGCUAUUCCCACUUGUCGAUAUAAAAGGAUUGAAGGAUGCUUGAUAUUAAGAUGAAAAUAGCAAAAAAAAGUUACAAAGACACUCUCUAACCGAAAUGCUCCGAGCCUCUCCGAUGGUUUCCUCUCCCUCUCCUGCUAUCCUAUCUUUCAAGAAUAAGACAGUGGGAUUUCAUACUCCAAAAACUAACUACCCCCUCCUCUCCUUUUCUCCCUUAUUUAUAUUCUCUUCCCCCCCACCUACCGUGGUCCCCCUUGGAUCGUGCGUCGCUCCACUCGUCUGUGGUCCCCACCUGCAGUUGGUUACAUAACCAACUCCCCUUCCUUCUUCUCUUUCCUAUUCUUUCUCCUACUGUAUUGGCGUAUGAUGGGUGGCCUAACAAUUGAUUGAUAAUUUACCAGCUCAUGAAGAAGUCAAAACGAACAUUUUGGUCUAAUAAAAAAAUUGGGAUUGAGAGGCACCAAGUUGAGGGAUCUUGUUGAAGAUCUCACAUUGGAAAAAUCAAGGGUCUCACACUCCUUAUAUAAUAGAUUGGCUACUCCUUUUAAUGCUGGUUUUGGGUUGGAAUCCUUGUUAUCAAAUACGUCGACCCUCAAUUCUCAAGUGGGUUAUCACCCUCUUAAAUAGAAAAAAAGGCUAAACACCAAUUUGCCCAGUCCUAUCAAUUUUUUUCCCACUUGGAAUCAAAGGAACCCAUGCACUUUUUUAGAUAUAGGAAAGGAACAACUUUCACACACACACACACAUAUUGUAGUUUUCUUUGGGUGCACAAUGGGCAGUUCUUUUUGUAGUUUUACAAUUUUGAUAUAUAUGCUUAUUGGAAGUAUUUUCUACAACUUCUCUUAGCCUAUCAUCGAGGCUUUUCUGUCCCUCUUAUUUAAUCUUCUUAUCAUGAGAAAAUGGAACUCUUUAUCCAUCAAGUAAAUUGGACAAGUUGUAAUAUGAGAAAUCCCCUAGAAGACAAUUGGGUUUUAUCAAAAAAGGAUCCAAUUUAACAUAUAUCAUCGAAGUAUCACUCUUUUUCAUAUUUCAUUGAUUUAACCAAAUAUAGUAAAUCUUAUCCAAUAAGAAAACCGACAGAGAUGAUAUUGAAGACUACCUUUCGAGCCCCAUCCUAACUCUGCUGGAUUCUCCUUUUCCAUCUUCCUUUAUGAAUCUCUUGAAACACAAUUGUAUGAUUUUGUUUAAAACCCUCCACUGACAAACGAGCCUUUCUAUAUGGGGCAUCAUUUAAUUGCAUUGGCUCCUUUUUUGGAGACAACAGAUUCUGUAUUGUGGUUUUCCCUGUUGAGAAAAAGAGCAACAAACAUACAACGAAACAAAGGAAAUGCAUUAGAGAAAUCCAAUACUUGAAUGCUUAAUCUCUUGUGAGGAAAAAUCUGCAUCUUUGCUUAGAAAGGAGUCAUUACUGGCUUGAUCCCUUACAGCUUACAAGCUCUGUGCUCUCCCUCCAACAAGUUGGCCCAGAUAUGGCUUUUGUAUUGAUUGUUUAUUGGAUUGCCUGAUGAUGCUUUCGGAUUGGUCUUUCAAUUUUUUUUGUUGUGGCUAUGAUUGAUAUUUUCGAAUUGUUAUUAUGUUCAGGCUUGUCCUUAUUUGAGGGCGUCUUGCAUUGUCAAUCCAGCUUACAUUUUUCUAUUUUAUCACUCUUUUUUGUUGCCCCAUUCCUCUUGAUUUUUGGUGUAACUUUAUCUUCUACUAGAACUAGGGGUGUCCCUUUGGUUCACCUUGCUCUUUAUGAGGUUUUACUGGUGUAUCUCUUUGGAUAUUUCAUUUGUCAAUGAAAUUGUUUCUUAUAAAACAACGACAGAGAAGGAAAAGAAAUAGACUCAUAGCUUUUAUGAUGGCAGGUGCGGGACGAGAUAGAACAUCUAUUGGAUGAUAAUGAAGAUAUGGCACAACUAUAUUUGACAAGGAAAUGGAUGCAGAAUCAACAAUUCGAUGCUUUGAUGGGAGGAGGUGGGGCUUCCAACAGCACAACUGCUGUUGUUCCUCAUCUUCGUCGACUUAGUUCCAACAGGAGUGGCAGUGUGGUGACCAGCAAUCUUUUGGAUGAUAAUGACGUAGAGGACCUGGAGAUGUUGCUCGAGGCAUACUUUAUGCAGCUGGAUGGGACUCGUAACAGGAUAUUAUCGGUGAGAACUAAGUUUCUUCAUGAUAUAAUUUGAUUUAAUUCCAUAACGAGACAGCAACAGGAACAGUUUCUUUCCUCUUUGGUUUUAUUUUAUUCGGGUAAAGGGGUGGGGGCUUCUCGUGAUAAUAACAUAAGUCACUAGUUACCCAUUAUUUAUCUUUAUAGUUGAGUACUUGAGAAAUAAUCUAAUGUGUAAAUCUUUGGCAAUCCCAAUUAGGAGUCCCAUUUGAAUUAAUGAAGCUUCAGAGAGCCUUGAUAAUUAAUUUGCUCCCUCGUAAUAUAGAAGCUAAUGGCUGAUAUGUACAUAUAUCUAAAUGCAAAUUACAAUGUUUAUAGUUGUGGGGCUUGUGACUAUAGAUAGACUGUCAACUAUUAUGGGUUGACUUAGUAGUAACAAGGGAAAGUAAAAGGGUGAAAGGGUUAAGAGAUCAUGGAUUCAAUUCGUGGUGACCAUCUACAUUGGAUUUAAUAUCUUACAAGUUUUCUUGACACUCAAAUGCUUGACUCGGUCAAGCGGGUUAUUGUAAGGAUUCUACGUGAUUACUUAACUAUUUCUCCCUUACAAUGGCAUAAACAGAGGCAGCACUCUGUUAUCUUUAUUUAUAUAUAGCCAAAAUGAGUACACUAGACAUAAAGAUUUAAAAGAAACAAAAGAACAAUAAGGGCAAACCCAGCUUCCUCUUGGGAAAAACUGGAUAUACUCCUAGGCUAAGCAGCCGCCAACAUAAGGAUAAAAUAAAACCUAGCCUCCCCUAGACCUAAAAGACCUAUUUAUAUUCCUCCUCUCAUCUUUUUCCUAUUUCUGUGCUUGGGCCCCACACGCACGAUCUCCUCCCAUUCUUCCUUCAUCAUUAAUUAUUUGUCCAUUUACUUUCCUGCCCCUCCUUUGAUAUGUGUGAAUGAUUGGGGGUCUUACAAUACCCCGGGGUUCUAAGUUCACCUUGUCCUCAAGGUGAAAGUGAGGAAACUGUUGGUUCAAUAGGUAGACUGAUUCCCAUGUUGCUUCACUAUCUGGUAAGUUCUUCCACUUGACCAACCACUCAUUUCCUUCUAACUCCUUGUUCCACCGUAUUCCCAAUACGUUUUCGGCCACAAUUGUAAUUCAAAAUCCUCAGUUAGGAUGGACUGUUGUUGCUGGUCUACAUGUUGUUUCCCCAACUUCAGUUUCAAUUGAGAAACGUGGAAGACAUUGUGAAUGGCAGCCUUUGGCGGUAGUUUCAACCGAUAUGUGACCUCUCCUAUCUCCUCAAUAAUAUCAUACGGCCCAUAAAAUUUCGAGGAUAGCUUUUCACAUUUCUUUCUAGCUAAUGAUCUUUGUCGAUAGGGUCGUAGUUUCAAAUACACUUCGUCACCGAUUUUGAACUUGAGCUCCCUGCGAUUCCGGUCUGCCAUUUUCUUCAUUCUGUUUUGAGCUAUGCAUAAGUUUUCUUUCAAGGCAUUGAUUGCUAAGUCUCUCUCCUUCAACAUGACUUCUACGUCAUUGUUAGGAGAUUUCUUCCAUCCGUACGACAGCAAUGGAGGGGGAAUUCGUCCAAAGACCGAUUGGCAAGGAGUAGUUUUGGUGGACGCAUGGAAGGUUGUGUUAUACCAUAAUUCCGCCCAAGGAAUUAGUUUAUUCCAUUUCUUCGGUUGCUCAUUGCAAAAGCAUCUCAAAUAGGUUUCUAGGCAUCUGUUUACUCUCUCGGUUUGCCCAUCAGUUUGGGGAUGGAAAGCCGUGCUUCUCUUCAAAAUUGUGUCCAUGGUGGUGAACAACUCCUUCCAGAAAUUGCUAAGGAAGAUCUUAUCGCGGUCGGUAAUAAUGGAUUUGGGUAUUCCAUGUUUGCUGACCACUUUUUCCAAAAAAAUGGAAGUCACUUGCUUGGCUGUGUACGGGUGUUUAAGAGGCAAGAAAUAGGAGUACUUACUUAGGCGAUCGACGACUACCAUAAUCACGUUGUAUCCUCCUGCUAGUGGCAGACCUUCGAUGAAGUCCAUGGUCCAAUCCUCCAAUAUCUUGUCGGGGAUAGGAAUGGGUUGAAGAACUCCAGCAGGCUUGGUAGCUUCGAAUUUGUUGCGUUGACAUAUGUCACAUUCUUCCACAUAUCUCUUUACAUCAGCCUUCAUCCCCUUCCAAAAUAAUUCCCCACUCAUCCUUUUGUAGGUUCUCAAGAACCACGAGUGCCCUCCUAGUAUGGAAUCAUGAAACAUGUGUAGAAGUCUUGGAAUGAGGGAAGAAUUACGCGACAACACCAUCCUUCCCUUAUAUAACAACCUGCCAUUGUUCCAUUGGUAUUUUCCUCCUAGAUCCACCCCUCUUUUAAGUUCGGCAAUAAUUUUCUGAAGUUCUUGAUCUUUCUUGACUUCCUUCUCUAUCAGCUCUAUCUAUAUCAACGAUGCCCGUGGUUGUCAUUGUGUUUAACUCAACUGAUUGGUCCUUCCUUGAGAGAAUCCGCAACUUUAUUUUGCAGACCCGGUUGAUACAAAAUCACAAAGUCAUACCCCAAGAGUUUUGUGAGCCACUUUUGGAAUUGAGGCUGAACUUCCCUCUGUUCCAACAAAAAUUUCAGAUCCUUCUGAUCUGAAAUAAUCGUGAACUUUCUGCCAGGAGGUAAUGCCUCCAUUUUUGCAUUGAAAGGACAACCGCCAUCAAUUCCCUUUCAUAGAUCGACUUACCCUGGGCCCUUGGGGACAGUUUUUGACUGAAGAAUGCGAUUGAAUGACCAUCUUGUGAUAGAACUGCACCUAAACCUACUCCUGAAGCAUCAGUUUCGGUCGUGAAGGGCUGAGACCAAUCCGGCAAUGCUAACACGGGUAUGGUUGUCAUUGCUAGCUUCAGUUGAUCAAAAGCUGUCGUGGCUUCCUCAUUCCACUGGAAUGCAUUUUUCUGAAGUAGUUUAGUCAAGGGUGCAGCUAUCUCUCCAUAGCUUUUCACAAAUCUUCUAUAAUACCCAGUCAGUCCAAGGAAUCCCCUCAGCCCCGUUAUAUCUUUCGACCGUGGCCAAUUGACCAUACUACGAAGUUUUUCCUUGUCAGCCUCCACUCCUCUGCUGGAAAUCAAAUGUCCCAAAUAUUGAACUUGGGAAUGAGCAAUUACACAUUUAGUUCUAUUUGCAAACAACUUAUGGUCUCUCAAAAUAGCAAAUACCAUCCAUAAAUGUUUCAUAUGCUCAUCUAUGUCCACACUAUAAACUAGAAUGUCAUAAAAAAAAACCAGGACACACCUUCGAAGGAAUGGUUUGAACACCUCGUUCAUGAGAGAUUGGAAGGUGGCAGGAGCAUUCGUAAGACCGAAGGGCAUCACCAAGAACUCAUAAUGUCCUUUGUGCGUGCGAAAAGCUGUUUUCUCCACAUCUUCCUCCCUCAUCCUAAUCUGAUGGUAUUCAGAUUUAAGAUCUAACUUUGAGAAAACUGUCGCCCCAUGAAGUUCAUCUAAGAGUUCUUCAAUCACUCGGAUUGGAAAUUUGUCAGCCACGGUUACUUGAUUGAGUUUACGGUAGUCUACACAAAACCUCCAACCCCCAUCUUUUUUCUUCACCAAGAGGACCGGGCUCGAAUAUGGGUUGUGGCUUGGACGAAUAACCCCUGCAUGUAGCAUUUCUAACACCAAUUUUUCAAUCGCCUCUUUUUGUACAUGCCCAUACUUAUAUGGUCGAACAUUAAUCGGUUUCUGAUCGGGCAGGGUCAAAAUACGAUGGUCUAUGGUUCUCUUUGGAGGUAAACCUGUGGGCAGCCUAAAGAUGUCUGCAUAUUUGCUCGAGCAGUUGUUGAACCAUGGGUAAUCCUUCCUCCUCUCCUUUCACUUAUGCUUCUGUUUCUGAUUCGCCUUCACAAUCCACUUCAUAAUUUUGAAAUUCUAAGAGAAAUCCUUGGUCCCUAGAUUGCCAUGUUUUCUCUAAGGUUCUCAACGAACAUUUUGACUUUGUUAGAGAAGGGUCCCCUUUUAGGAUUAUUCUUCUACCCUUCGUCCAAAACGUCAUGGUUAGAGAUGGCCAGUGUACUUUCAUGGUCCCUGUCGAAUCUAACCAUUGCAUCCCUAACACCAAGUCUACCCUUCCUAAUUCUACCGCCAGGAAGUCCACUACGAUCGUUAACUCUUUCAACUUCACUUUUACCCUCUUACAAAUCCCUCUUCCUUCACAUCGGGUGCCAUUCCCAAUGGUAACUCCAAAUUGAGUCCCCGGGUCGAUGCUCAGUUGUAGUUCAUUUACCAACACUUGACUGAUGAAGUUAUUGGUGGCACCACUGUCAAUCAGGAUGAUUACUUCCUUUCCAUUCACAUGUCCUUUUAAUUUCAUAGUUCCCUUGGACGUAACACCCGUGAUCAACCUUUAACUCAAUAGGGGUAUCCUCCUUCAAUUCCAAUUGAUUCAGUUCUAUUACUUCGCCUGCCUCAUCCUCUGUAUUUAAUUCCCUUUCGUUGUCAUCUUCCUCAUUUAGUAUAAGGAGCAUCAACUCUCUUUUUUCUCUGCCUUUACAUCUAUGACCGGGGGAAUACUUUUCAUUACACCUGAAACAAAUCCCUUUAUCCAGCCUUGCUCUAAAUUCCGCAUCCGACAGCCUUUUAAUUGGGGGUCUUUUUUCUGGUAAUCACCUUUUAGUGGGUUAGUUAUCUGCUUCAUAACAAACUCUGUCUUCCUUGUUUCUACCUUCUCACUUUUUCCUUAAGUUUGCUACUGUUCUCACUUCUUUUGGGCUCAACUUUAUCAAUCUCUUCCAUCACUAGCUUUAAUGUAUAUUCCUAUCAUUCACCAGUUGAGCUUCCUUCGUACACUCCUCUAAAGUUUGAGGGUGUCUACUGAUUACUUCUGCUUGCAGUGCUGGCUCAAGACCCGUCAGAAACGCGUCCAGCAGAACACUUUCGGCCAUGUCAGGGAGGAGGGCUGAAUAUGUAACAAACUUCUUAACAUAAUCACUGUAUGACCCUUCUUGCUUGAUACAGAUUAAUCUUGCCCCCAAGCUCUGCUGUCCAGUAUCAUUGAAUAAAUCAAACAUCCUCUUCUUCAAAUCCUCCCAAGAUUCCACCCUCUUUGAGUGAUGACUCCACCUAAACCAGUCAACCUCUUCCUGUCCAAAACUAACGACUGCUACUUUGACCUUCUCAGCUUCCGGCAAGUUGUUUAUCUCAAAGAAAUGUUUCGCUUGGUAGGCCCAAGAUUCAGGGAUCACCCCUGUAAACAAUGGCAUUCCUAUUUUUUGUACUUACUUCGGUCUACGUUGCCUCCUCCAGACUCGGCUAUGGUUUAGGUAUCUUCCAGCUUUCCCAUCAGUUUCAACAUGGGGCCUUCCGUAGUCCCGGCUUCUUCUCUUUUUUUGGCGCCAUGGUUUUCUCUCAGCUCGUUCGUCAUUCGAUCCAUCGAUUUCUUCAUUUCCAGCAUCAUCUCCUUCAGACUCAUAAUUUCCUUUUCAGUUCCUUCUACCCGUUCUUCUAUUUGUCUCUGAGCCAUCAGAUGCGUGAUCAACCCCCAGUGUGGAGGCUUUGAUACCAAAUGUAAGGAUUCUACGUGAUUACUUAACUGUUUCUCCCUUAUAAUGGCAUAAACAGAGGCAGCACUCUGUUAUCUUUAUUUAUAUAUAGCCAGAAUGAGUACACUAGACAUAAGGAUUCAAAAGAAACAAAAGAACAAUAAAAACAAACCCAGCUUCCUCUUGGGAAAAACUGGAUAUACUCCUAGGCUAAGCAGCCGCCAACAUAAGGAUAAAAUAAAACCUAGCCUCCCCUAGACCUAAAAGACCUAUUUAUAUUCCUCCUCUCAUCUUUUUCCUAUUUCUGUGCCUGAGCCCCACACGCACGAUCCAACAUAAGGAUAAAAUAAAACCUAGCCUCCCCUAGACCUAAAAGACCUAUUUAUAUUCCUCCUCUCAUCUUUUUCCUAUUUCUGUGCCUGAGCCACACACGCACGAUCUCCUCCCAUUCUUCCUUCAUCAUUAAUUAUUUGUCCAUUUACUUUUCUGCCCCUCCUUUGAUAUGUGUGAAUGAUUGGGGGUCUUACAGUUAUCUUGUGAGAUUAGGUUAAGUGCAUGUAAGCUGGUUUGGACACUCACUGAUAUCAAAGGAAAAAAAAAACCAUUAGGUUAAGGAAGUAAUUAGUUUCAGCCUAUAGGCUAUAUUACUCUUGGUGAUAUAUAAUUAAAUUUGUCUUCAACCAUCGACGAAGCUUUUGGGUAAAUUGGUAGUUUAAUAUGGUAUCAGAGCAGGUGGUCUAGGGAGGUGUGUUCAAGCUUCUCCAUUGUCGUUUCCUCCCCAAUUAAAAUCGAUUUUCACUUGUUGGGCCUUUCAAAUAUUUCAAGCCCACAAGUAAAGGAGACUGUUGGUGAUAUAUAAUUAAAUUUUUCUUCAACCACUAGCUUAAGCUUUUGGGUGAAUUUGUGGUUUAAUAACUACCGAGUAGUAUUUUGGGAGUGAUUUUGGUUUCUCAUCCAAAAUUAUCAUGUGUGGGAAGAACAUAAAGAUGCUUUUAAUAAAAGUCAAACAGUAUCUAAAGUGCUUUGUACAAGGCAUUAAUCUUUCACUUGUAUCCCUUGUGUUUGAAAUUGGGAAGCAGUUCAGAUACACUUUCAAGAGUGUAAAGUGUCAAAGUAAUUAUUCAAGGCAAGUAGUGUUUUAAAAACCCCUCUUGGUAUGUGCUUAGGCGCUUGGUAGCGGAAGACGCCAUUUGUGAAGCCUCAAGGCUCAAAGUCCAGUUUCUUUUAAUCAUUAUUUGUAGAAAAUAGUAAGAACUAGUGUUUUCCAUCUUCAUUAUCUCCCCCAACUGUUGUCCUCAAAAAAAAAAAAAAAAAAAAGGAAGAAGAAGAAUCGUAUUUACUAAUGCAAAGUUUCAUAUGUUGAAUUUUUUCUUCAUAUUUAUUUUCACUUUAAGCUUUCUUUCUCUCUUGAGUUUUUUCAUUUUGAGAAUCAGUAUUGAGUUUAAGGCUUAAAUUAAUCUCAUUUUUAAAUGUGCAGGUUAGGGAGUACAUCGACGACACCGAAGAUUACGUCAACAUUCAACUUGACAACCAAAGAAAUGAACUCAUUCAGUUUCAGUUAACACUGACUAUUGCUUCAUUUGCCAUAGCUGUUGAAACCUUAAUCGCUGGGUUGUUUGGUAUGAACAUCCCUUGUACAUUGUACGAGAGAGAUGGGGUGUUCGGGUACUUUGUCGGAGGUACUUCAGCAGGGUGUUUGUUGCUUUUCCUGGUUAUUCUUGGGUAUGCAAAAUGGAAGAAGCUUCUUGGUUCAUGAUUUCACCUCUUGUUGUUUUUUAGUAAGAAAAUGAAUACAUCAGCCAUCACAGAAUGCCAUAACUUGAUAUUUUAAAGUCCAUAGAGGCCCUAAGUUAUAAGUGGCCCAUGUAUAAGAUAUCUCAAACAUAUUUUUACAUGGAAAUAUUUCACCAUUUGGUUUCUAUUUAAGCUUACAUUUUGGUUCUCUUGAAGUUUGUUCACUUCGGUCCAAUUUUAGUUUUUUUUUGUAUUUUCAAUCAAUCUUAAAUGUUGUUUCUCAAAAUUCGUUAAAUAAUAAUAUUAAUUAUCAUGUCAUCAACAAUAAGCUAUAAAUGGAGUUCAAACUUUAAAGUUAGAAUGACUAAAAUGAUACUUUCAUUAAAGUUUCUUGAAAAGAAAACAUCAAGCUACGGAAGAAUUUACACUUAAAAUAGAUCAAAUUAGUAAGGUUCGAAACCACCAUGUUUUAAAGUGAGUUUAAUUUAGUAGUAAUUAACGUGCACUAACUUUUUUUUUCAUUGAUCGAAAGUCGUCGUAGGUUUCAUAUAUUAUAUAUUUGUAAAAGGCUUUCCCUUUCAUCCUUUUGUAUUGUAUUUUAUAUGAAUCUUGUAUCACCUUCUCUAUGAGAGAUGAAUUGAAACUACCAUAUUAAAAUCAUUGGAUGAUUUUGUUGAUAAUUUUGAUUUUUUUCCAUUUCUAUAUUAAAAAAAUAGUAUCUACACAAACACUAUUGUUCACACGAGAUUUCGAAGAAUAAUAAUUGGUGGAAUUGAAAUUUGUAUAUUGAUGAAUAUUGUGAAAUUGAUGACUUUCUUUUGAAUACAAGAUAAAAACUUUAGAACUUUUUGGUCUUCGGUCUUGAGGAUGUUAUAAAAAUCAUUUAGAAUAUGACCAAUAGAUUUGUGAUUUUUUUUUUUUAUAAAAAUCACUUGAAAUAUGUUCGAUAGAUUUUUUUUUAUCAAUAAAUUUAAUAGGAUAAUUGAGACUUAAAAAAAUGAUAGACUUGGAAUAUUAUCAAUUCAUAAAAAAAAAAAAUGUAAAUUUGAGUGGAAGUUUUAAUUUCUUUUAAAAACUUAUGUUAAUCUAAAGUUGAAUUGCCCCAAACUAAAAUGUGAAAAGUUUUGCUGAAUUAUUUUUGGAGGAAUAUUCUUCUUUUUAUUCUUGAAUUUUAUUCUUUUUGGCUUUUUGUUUGGUUAAAAGUUGGAUUUAAUUAUAGGAAUGAUAUGAGGUGGAUAUGGUUUCAAUAUUUUUUUUAUAAUUAUGUCAUUUUUUGUUUUGUUUGGAAUGAAAAAAGAGAAUAGGAGAAGAGGGAGGAAUUCUCCCCUAAAAAUUCAAUUUCUAUCUAACUACGUACCGUGUUUGUUGAGAAGGUUGGAAGAUUUGAUUUCCCAUUUUUUCUAUAAAUAGAGAAGAAUAAGGGAUUUUUUAAAAUAAAUGACUAUUAUGCACUGUUUCUGUGAUCCACACAAUAAUGAAUUGAAAAGAAAGAGAAGAAAAGGAAAGCGGGAAUGGGAGAAGAGAGAGAGAGCUGCUGAAGAAAAGAAAAUAAGAAAAAACAUUUUUUUAUAAAAAUAUGAUUCCUUCUUUUUCUUUUUUCUCUUUUCUAUUUUUCUUUUCUUUUCUUUCUCAUAUUUUGGUUUUUUUCUUUCUUCAUUUUUGUAACGACCCAGAAAAGUCGAAGUAAAUAGAUAAAAUUUAUUUAAAACAAUCGUAUCAAAGACCCUAUUCUAAACCAAAUAAAAUUUUUAAAGUACUGUUUAUUUAAAAAAUAAAACAACAUGUUCUUAACUAAAACUCAUUUUAAAUCCUUAAAACUAACUUGAAGAAAUUUUUUGAAGAAUGACGAUCGCAUCGGAAGAGGGAAGAGUACCCUACAUCAUAACAGUAGUCUCGUGUGAUCGUAGGAUGCACAUAAGCAGUCUAAUGCCCUCACUAAUGCCUUUACAGUUUGCCCUCACUAAUGCCUUUGAGUUUUGGUCCACCAUAUUGAGUUUUGGUCCACCAUAUUUUGCAAGGAGUUUCCAGCUUUUUUGGAGUUUGCAAUCAUCUCCUCCGAACAGACAACGAUGUAAGGUUUAGGUUUUCUUGUACAAUUGUCUUUCUUUUGUCAUAUGUAUGGCUUGAUUCAACAACAUCACGAUUUGUCAUAUGUAUGACUUGAUUCAACAACAUCACGAUUCUUGAGAGAUGCAAUCUCAUUAUCCCUUUCUUCAAGGACUUUCAUGAGCAUGUUCUUCUUUUCAAGCUAAAUCCUUAUGAAGUGUUGACACGAACUUGUACAUCUUGAAUUUCAAUUCAACCAAAGUAUUUAUAGAGAAAUUUCAUGAGUUUAGGUGGAUUGAGCCUAUUUGCUUGUUCCACAAAUAAGUGGCAAAUGUCUCUAUUUAUAGAAAAAUUUCAUGAUCCAUCUAUUUCUUGGGCUUGAGCUUGGGCCUAUAUGUUUAUUAGAUUUGGGCUUAAUUUGGUUGGAUUAGGAUAAGUAAACUUAAUUAUCAAAAUUGAAUGAAAAUAUAAUUAUAACAACAUUUGUCACAUGACAAUUUAAUUAUUGGCCAAAUUUCUUACCACUGUCCGUCCAUGUAGAUUUUAAUUUAUUUCUUAAUACAUUUUAUGAUUUCAAAACAAUAAUUAAAACACAUUACACUUUUACCUGUCAAAUCAAUUUUCUUAAAAAAUAAAAUAUUACACUUUAUUGUGAAUAGACAAGGGAUAAAAACACCCACACACAGAAAAAGAAAAUAGUAGUUUAAAUAGUUGUUCCAAAUGUAUAAUAUAUUAUAUAUUAUAUAUUUUAGUUUUUAAAUACAACAAAAUAAAUUGAAUAUUUAUAAAUAUAACAAAUUUGUUUUUAUAAAAUGAUGGACGCUAAUAAUUAAACAUCUAUUACCACUAAUAGUAAAAUUUUGAAUAGAUGUAAAAAAAAAUCCCUUCAAACAAUUACUCUAUUUUAAUCUCAUAAAAAUAACAAAGUAAUCCAUACAUAAAAAUCCGAUUUAAACUUGAAAUACACCAUCUAAUGGCAAAUCAUUACCCACAUAAAAUAUUGAAAUUUUACAAGUUUUUUUAUGAAUGUGCUAAAAUAUUUUUUUUUUAUCAAAAUAUAUAUUGUAAUUUUUUUCUUUUCAAAAAUUAAAUUUAUAAAAAUCACCUUCACCCAUAAAAUUAUCUUGUAAAAUUAAUUGAAAAACAUAAAUUUGAAAAACAAAAGAAUGAAAAUGAAAUUAUUAUCAAAUUAGAUCAAGUGAUGUUGUGAGAUUAGUUUGAGUUGAGAAGCAAACGCACUCCUAUUUGAUUAAAGAAUUUAUGAACACGAAGAUUAAAAAACUCAAGAUCGACCACCUCCUCAACAAAUAGGCAUAUGCGACAUAUCUCUAGUUUUUUUUUUUUUUGAUGGGCACCAUGAGAUCCAACUUUAUUUAGGGAACAUAUUUAGUUGUUUCCUGCAACUUGGCAAAUGGAAUCUUUAUAUAUAGUAUUAUUGUUAUAUUUUUCUUAUGUGGGUGUCUCUAAAUGAUCCUAAUAAUGUGUAUCAAUUCCUACUUCAAUAUUUAAAUAUCUGUUCUCUCAUAUUACCAACAAACAGUAGAACAUGUUUUCUCCUUUUUUUUAUUUAUUUCUUUUCUUUUGGAAUUGCUCUGCACGUACAGAGCUUUUCCUUUUUAAAAAAACAUUUUCUUUUUGUUUGUUUUAAAAAGCACAUGAGAAUUUGGAAAAUAAAAAAGUAAAAACACAAAAUAACCCAUUGGAGAAUCAAGAAAUUGUGAUGGGAAGGGAAUAUAUAACUUAUUCAAUUAACCAUAAACUAGUGAUUAGUAUUUGAUCCAUAUUUAAGAAGCUGAAGAUUGAAGAAUGCUUAUAUGAACUUGUUUUGGGAUAUGAUUUAAGUUAAGUUGAUAUCUAACUAAUUAAUUAACAAGUUCUACCUAACUAGAACUAUAUUACUGUAUAUGGUUAGAUUAACUAAAGUUGUAUGUUAAAGAGUUAGAAGUACUUCGAUUACUCUAAUAGAAUGUAGUUGUUUGGGACCUUGUGUUGAGAUAUGAUGUAUGACCGUUGAUGUUUAUAUAUUUAUGGAGUUCAUAUAUGUAUGUGUUUAGGGUAAGAAGUUGUUUUGUUUGAGUUUACAUGCUUGUGUUUGAGAUGUUGAGAUGAAUUCAUAUGUUGUGAGUAUCUGGGAUCAGUAUCGUUUUCUUUUUUUUUGGUAUAUAAAUAAUAUAUUUUUUUAUGAUUAAUGUUUUCGUUUGAAAAUCCCUAUAAAGUCAUUUUUUUUAUAAUAAUAAAAGUUUCAAGUCAACAAACAAUGAAUGUCCAAUUUUUUUUAAUGCACAAUUGAAAAGCUAAGCUACACCAAAUUUAAAAGAAAAAAAAAGAUGGAAAUUUGCCAAAAAUAUGCCAAAAAUAGAGGAAUAAGUGAAUUUUGGAAUUGAUUUUGAAAUAUUUGACUUUUAGGACAAAUUGAGAGUGAAAUGUCUAAAUUACCCUUAAAUAUUUUACCCAUUCUCUUCAACGUAAAACAAUACGCAAAGAAGAAGGAAAAACACAUUCGCACGUUCUUCUCCUAUGUGAAAAAGUUGUGAACUUUUCCGCUUCUACUUUGGUGCCGUUCACCCUCUCCUCUAGUGAACGUUUCACGGACUGUGUUGUGUUUUAAUAAACCUGAAAAAGGUUUUAGGUUUUUAGUUUUUUUGUUAUUUUUUCCUUCAUACUAUGUUGUGUUAUAUAUAUAUAUAUACACAUAUAAUAUGUUAAUUUUAAGUGUAUAAACCUAAUAUAAUUUUUAAUUGUUUCAAGUUGAUUUAAAGUUGUUUUAAAGAAUGUCAGCAAGUUAUUUUGUUUUUCUUUUUCAUCUCGCAAACAUCUCGCAAAUUCUUAAGUUCAAAUGAAAAUGAAUUAUAUAUUCGUUCUUAUGUGAUUUAGGGUGCUUUUAACUACUGUUUUUGUAUGUUGCAAUCUCAUAAACAUCUUGCAACUGCCAAACUUUAAAUGUCCAAGGCUGAAUUAGUCAUAUACUUAUUUAUGGUGCGACUAUGUAUGUUUUAUUUAGUUUUUAGCGACUGUUUUUUAAUCUCGCAAAAUAAGUCAUACACUUAAUUUUUUUAUGUGAUAUGUCAACUUCUAGCUUUAAAUCAAAUUUUGUAGGAACUAAAAAGUUUAAGGUGGUUUAAGGAUGUCACAUGUUUGGAUUUUAGUGCGUUAAGGUGGUGCAUGGGAUGAGGGGCGAAGAAAAUAUGAAGGAGGUAUGUUAAAAGCCAUUGUUGUCAAUAAAUAAAUAACACACAAAUAUUUACAGGUAGAAUUAUUUGACCUUGCAAAAGUUGAUCCUAUAGAGUUGACAUAACGAUAAGAUGCAUAUAUGAGAUAAAAGUGGAAAACGAAGCUUCUCCAUUUGAAUUAAGCAAUUAUUGUGAUUUGAAGUUUUAUAUUUUUAGUGAAAAUCUAUUGGAGGUCCCCCUAUACGGAGCCUAGAAGCAUUCAAAGCGAGAAAAUGUUAAACAAAGAUUGCAAUUUCAUAUAUGGGAGCAACCAAUUUCGUAACUUAAACUCUCAUUCUCCAAUUGCAAUGGAUACAUUAGAUGGGAAUGAAAGUUAUAUUGGUGAAGUUCAAGUUGGCUCGUGUGCAUGAUAACACGAUACGGACUACUUUAGCUAUAUGAAAGUCAUAUGAGUCAUAUGAUUAAAAAGAUGAUACUUUUACAUGGGAGUCAGUUGAGAUGACCAAUGAAUCGCUUGACAUCCCACAACAUAGAGAUGCUUCUACAAAAGAUUGCAAAGGAAACGCUAAAGUUCACUACAACUCCUCUAGCCGAAGGUUGAAGAUAAAAAGGAGUGAUUGGUCUGAAGAAAGCUCUAGAAGUGAGGAGUUGGAUGUAGGACAAAUAUUUUUUUGGAAGAGAGAUUUGUCAAUGAGAUUAAGUGUCUUGGCAAUGGAAAAACGUAUUAGUAAGGAUAAUUUUAGAAACUAAGCAAUAAAAUUAGCUAGAACAUGGAACUUAACAUAUGAGAAAUUUACCAAGUAUCAAACAACUAAACUCAAUACAAAGAUCAAAGGAGCAUUAACAGUUUCUCAAAGCAAGACUUUGAUUCCUAACAUUUUUUUUUUAAGUUCAAUGUGUUUUUAAUAUGGUGGACAUCAUGACCUUCAAUUCUUGAACAUUUGAUUUUAGACUUGUAAGUUCAUUUUGAACAACUGUUACUCGAUCCUGGAGUUUCUGAACAACCUCUUUCAUCUUAGACUUCAACUUCUUUUUCUUACUCUUCUUUAAGUCACCUUCGUCAUUACUAACUUCUCUUGCUCUUUUUGAACCACCGUUCUUCGCAGGAACAAUGUUAGACGAGUGAGUUUGUCACAAAGUUUGCCUGAAGAAAUUCUCAACUGCUCCUCUUCAGGUGUCAUCUCAAUGGCCACCUUAACUAUGCACUAGAAAGUGAAAAUGCAAAUGUAUUUAGGUAAAAAAAAAAGACACAAAGUCAUGCAUUCCUUAAUUUAGUUACUAUUGGUUGCUACUUACCAUUGGCGAGUCAAACACUUGACUCAGUUGGACAUGGGACUUCGGUGAUAGUUGGCACACCCACCUCAACAUUCGUGGUAUGACAUCAUUUUUUAAUUUAUCUACACCACAUCUAAUGAUAGUUGGGACUCAUAUGCCCAAACAAGUUUAGGAAGUGCCUUGGGAUAUAUAUAUAUAUAUAUAUAUAUAUAUAUAUAUAUAUAUAUAUAUAUAUAUAUAUAUAUAUAUAUAUAUAUAUAUAUAUAUAUAGCAUAUAUGCAUGCGAAAAUCCCAUGAUAGUAUAUUUUGUCUUAGUUCACUUCUUCUUUCCCUUGACUUGUUGCAUGUCCAAGGCUCUUUUUAAGGCAUUAAGCAGGCAUCCAAAAACAAUCAUUCCCCAAUCAUAAUUGUUAAAUGUGUUCCAAUCAUAUGCAAUUUUUAAAAAAUUCCUGUCCACUUUGGUUUGCUUAUUUUUUCCUAAAAAAGAUAGCUCUAUAAAGUACACCAAAGCUAAUUUAAUCAUGUCAUCGUCAUCUCCCUCGUAUUCCAAAAGUAUGUCCACUAAGUUGCUUACAUAAAUAGACUUUUUGUCUUUGAAGAACUUGUCCAACAAUCUAAUAUUCCUAAACAACUGAAUAGACUCCAUUUUAGGACCCCAUAAACUCAUUACGAUGUUAAACUCUCUCCCACCCAAAAGUACACACAACUCCCCUAGCAAAAAACUUAUAUGAUCCUUCCCCUCAUCUUCCACCUCCCUUAACAAUAAGUAGUGGAUGGAUGACUUAUUAAAGACAAUAUUAAGAUAAAAAAGUGGCCAAACUUUGUUUUCCUAAAUAAGGUUAACUGAUCUAGUUUUAGUUUAGCCUUAAUAUUACUUGUUGUAUUUUCUAAAUGAGACAAAGAACUAACUAAAACCUAGAAAUGAUGAGAAAGAUCAAUCUUGUACAUGAGUUCCUCAGUUGAUGUUGAUGUCAUAACUGAAGCCCGAACAAAAAAGGAACAAAUAAAAUAUAAUUGCAUAAGAGACUCUCUAAACAUGCAUGCAAAUAUAAGGGCCUAAGACUUACUAAACAUGUAUAGGAUCACUCUAAAUGACUUAAGGAGGUAGCAAUUUCAUUUUGAAACCCAUAGUGAAAGUUUGAAAUGUGCGAGAUAGAUGCGAGAUACGUGCAAGAUAAUAUAUAAGGGUCUAAUAAACUUACUAAACAUGCAUAAAAUCACUCUAAAUGGCUUAGAAAGGGUAGAAAAUUUUGAAACUCAUACUGAAAUUUUGAAACUCAUACUGAAAUUUUGAAGUGUGCGAGGUAAAAUAUAAAAGCCUAAUAAACUUACUAAACAUGCAUAGAAUUGCUCUAAAUGACUUAGGAAGAGUAGCAAUUUUAUUUUGUAACUCGUAGUGAAAUUUUGAAAUGUGCGAGAUAAAACAUAAGAGCCUAAUAAACUUACUAAACACACAUAGAAUCACUCUAAAUGACUUAGGAAUGUUAGCAAUUUCAUUUUGAAACUCAUAAUGACAUAAGUAUAUAAGAGGCUUACUAAACCGAAUUGCUUGCACUUCUAAACAUAUAUUGUAACACCUUGAAUGAUUCUUAGACAUAUAUAAACGUUGCAUUUUUCUUUAAAGAAUCUUUCUCAUCCAAGUAAAUACUAAGAACAUGUAACAAAAUUUCUACUAAUAAGGUUAAUAAGGUUGCUUAACGUCUCUUUCAGAAGCUCUAAAAUAAUGUUGCAACUUAUAGGAUAAAUUGGCAUUGAAAUGUCCAAGGAGUGCAAAACUACUGACAUAUUAUGAUGAGGCAAUUCAAGCAAAAAGAAAGACCAAUCCAUAAAAUCAUAGGCUAGAAGGGAUUAAAGGAAAGUUCAAUUAGCUUUAGUGGAAUCAAGAUCAAGCUUAUCCAACAACAAGUUUAUAAGAUUACUAGUAAGAGGGAAGCCUACCAUUCAAAAGAUUCAACACAUAUAGUCCAAACUACAACUUCAUAUCUUCCACCUUUAGUAAAGAAAUUGAUCCUAUUCAAUGCUACCUAGUUUCAAUUUACAAAAGAUCCUAUUGAAUGCUAACUAGUUUCAAUUUCCCAACAAUAAACACCCAACAACUGUCACAUAUUUAUAUAAAUUUAUAAAAAUAGUACAUAGAAGAGGAAAUCAUCUAUUGAAAUUUGACGAAGAAAAGUCGCGAGGAGAGGUUUCAACUGCCACAAGAAAACAAUAAACGUUAAUGUCCCAACAAAAACUAAAACUGCAAUGGUGAACGUUGAUCGUAAGAGACAACGUUCAACGAAUCAACAAAAACUGAACAUUCACCGUGAGACGUUUAGGUCCCAACGAAAACUGCAAUGGAGCGAUGAAUGACACCGGAGUAGAAACGCACUAGAGAGUUCAAAUAUUUUGAGGAAGAGGAGAAGAACACGAAAACUGCAACGGAGCGACGAAUGGGACCGGAGAAGCAAAGAAUGACAUUGGAGUAGAAGCGGACGCAAAGACUGCAAUAGAGCGACAAAUGACACUGGAGUAGAAGCGCGCAGAAAAGUUCAAAUAUUUUGAGGAAAAGGAGAAGUACGCGAAGACUAUGAUGGAGCAAUGAACGACAUUGGAAUAGAAGCGCGCGAGAAAGUUGAAAAAUUUCGAGAGGAGGAGAAGAACAUGAAAUGUUUAUUAUUACUAUUUUCUUAACUUCGAAGAGAAGAGAAUGUAAAAUUAGAUAAGGGUAGUUUAAACAUUUCACUCCUAAUUUGUCCUAAAAGUGAAUUCGAUUGUUAUGCAUAUGUGGUGUAGGUUCAUCUCUCUUGACUAAUUUAGUUAAAACAAAAGGAUUCCUCAGAAUCCGAACGACCGUUUCUAUUCUCAUGAAGCUUUCAUCUUGAGUGUGUUGAAGAAGGAGGCUAGAGAAGGAGUACUGACACCUCUAUUCAUCUUUAAUUCCUAACCAAUAUGUGUUGGAUUUGGGGUUUAUUAUUCAGUACCUUUAUAAUGUGGUUGAGCCAAUUAUUCACCUUGUAAACUUGUUGAGAUUAUUAACAAAAAAGAAAAAAAAAAAGAAGAAGAAGAAAAUAACUGCAAGCAAAAUAUUUAUUAAACUAAACAUAUACAUAUAUAUGCAUAUGCAUGUACACAAAUGAGUUGUUUUGAAUCUUGUUUCUUUUUUUUCAAUUCAAUAGUCACUUUCUUAUUUAUUUUUAUGGUUCAGAUGUGUAUAUAAAUGUGAGAAAGGUUUCGAUUUAUUUUAAAUUAUGACAUUUUAGAAGACGUGGAAAAGAGGAGAAUUGAGAAAAGUUUUAUACAGACUUUAGAGAAAAAAAAAGGGAGAUUAAAGUGUACCAGAAGAAGAGAAUAUAUCAAGAUAGUACAAAAAAGGUGAAGGAAAAAAAAUAGAUGAGAAAUGAGAAAAAUAUUAAAGAGAUUUUUUAAACUUCUAACACAAAUUUAUAAAAAAAACUAACAUGUAAAAGAAUCGACACAUCUAAGUUAAAAGGGUAUUAAUGAAAAUUUUGAAAAUCUAGAGAUAAUUUUAAAAUAAAAUACAAAAUUUCAAAAGAAUAUUUUCUAUAGUUUAACGUAAAAAAUAAUAACAUACCAAUACAGUAGCUAGAAAAAAAAAAGAUUAAAAUGUAUUCAUGAAGUUAGUGGUCACCAUGGAUCAAAUCCAUGACCUCUUAGUUAAUUUUUUAACUUUUACUGCUAGGCAAAUUUAUGAUAUAUAGUUAAAAUACUAUUUUUGUUUAAUAAAAACUAUAUGUUGACACUUGUUUGGUGUUGUUAUUUUUCAAGUCACAACACAUAUUUUUGACAUAUAAAUGAUGGAUAUAAAUAAAUUAAAUACACGAUUCAACUUAUACCCACAUAUGUUCAGAAAUAUUUUUUUUAUUGAUAAUAAAAAAUGUAAGUUACAUUCUCGGUAAAGGUUUUACAAUAAUCCAAAAGAUAAAUUAGUUGUAAUACAUGUAUGUGUGAUCUAAUCUAAUAAAACUAACUCAUAAAUGGACUUGAUCGAUCUCAUUGUCCACAGAUUCUUCACCUACCUGCAAAUUCGGUGUGCUCCUUCAAACAGCGGACACAGAGCUUUUAAGAGAUAGGGAAAAUCCUGACAAGCAUUUGCAAGAGAGGGAGAAACGUCGUCGGAGAGCGUUUGCGAGAGAGAAAGACAGCGGCGACAUGGGAUAAAGUAAGGGCUUUUUUUCUGUCGUGGUUCGCAAGAGGAAUGAAAGUUUUGAAUUAUUAUUGUUUAAUCAGAAAGCAUACGAAUGAAGAAAAACAUUGAUUUUUUAUUAGAGUAAUUUUUAAUGACACAUAAUUUAUGUCGUUAAUUUACGACACGAAAAUUUUGUCAAGUACACUCAGUUUGUGUCAAGAAAACUCAGUUUGUGUCAAGAAAACUCAGUUUGUUUCAAGAAAACUCAGUUUGUUUCAAGAAAACUUAGUUUGUGUCACGAAAAAUUUCACAUUUUAUUUUUAACAACAUAUUUUAUUCCCUCCCGUCCAUUUUUUCUUGAUUUCAAGUGUCAUUAAAACUCAUAUUUCUAAAUAAAUUUAUUUGACAGCAGUGGCUAGAUUGGUGGGUUCGACAACGAAGGCUUGUUGUGGCGUUAACAAUGACAGUGAUUGAAGUGUGUAAUUGACGGUGGCGGUUGGCAGAAAAUUGAAAGGUAAGGUUCUUCACAACGACGUGGUAGUCCAUUUGGUUCGACGAUAACUUUUUUUUUGCUUUUUUGGUGGAGAGAGAAAAAAAAUUGCGUUAAGGCUUCCUUCAACAACGUUUUUUCUUGAGAGAAAAUUUGAAGUUUUUAUUUAGUUUUAAUUGUGUGAGGGAGAGAAAUUAAAAAAUUUUGAAAUUUGGGAUUUUUUCAUUUGAAUUUUUUUUUAAUGACAUGAAAAAUUUGUCGUUACUUAACAUUCAAAAAUUGUGUCAAAAUAAAUUAAAUUGUGUCAAGAAAUAAUCCGUAUUUUUAUUUUCAACGAUACGAUUUACCUCACUCCACCAUUUUUUUAAAAUUUUCAAAGACACAAUAUCUUGAUUAGUAGUGCCAUUAAAACCCAUUUUUCUAGCUAGUAAUGUAAAGAAACUCUUUCAAUAAAAUUUCUCGGUCUCUCUGUUGAGUGCGUCACUGAGAUAAUGUGUUUUUUUAUUAUAAAUUUGAAAAUAAAGUGAUGUAGCAAAUGAUCGAAAGGCCCUUGAAAUACCAACUGUUUGAUAUUCUCACAAAAUGCGCUAAACCCUCAAAACUUUUUUCAUUUCGACCGAGAACUAAGCGAGAACACUCCAAAAAUCUUUCAAAUUUACCUGAUUCUUCCUUUCCCAAAUUUGAAGAAGUCAUCCUCAAACUCAAACUGGUCAAGUUGAGUUACUUUGUUUUUAGUUUUUUAGUUUAUGUUUUUAGAUUUUUAGUUUGAUCAAAUUUGAGGCGGAUGAGAAAUUUGAUGUAGUUAUUAUUGAGAUUUUAAGUUAAUAUUGGUUUAUGUUAUUGUUUAUCGUGGGCUCCUUUUAAGAAUCUCGGCUUUUUCAUGAAUCUUGGUAAGUGGAGAUGAUGAAUCUCGAUUGAGAUGCAUGAAUUGUGCUCUAGAUUUGUUGAAGAAGUCCCGAGAUUAGAUGAGUUUCAUAUGCAUUAUGUAGGGUACUCUCGUGGUCGAUUAUGCCUCAGUUUGGGAUCGAGAUUAUCACAUAGAAUGCAUGCAAAACCCUAACCUCGUGGCAUCCUAGUGUAAUGUAGCCAAAGUUAAUGUACUCUCCUAGUGUAAUGUAAUCUCGAUUGAGAAUGCUCAGAGAUUAACCCAUAGAAUACUUAUUUUGAUCAAUUUUUUGUGUUUUACAGAUGCCUCUUGUGACCAAAAUCAAUUCAAAGGACUUUUUCCUUGCAAACUUGACAUGUUGUUCACAUCUAUUGAAAACCGUGUCGAGUAUAAAAAAUAAGUUAACACCCAAGUAACUUCACAUGUUUAGGAAAACCAUCUUUGGAUACUUCUGGAAAGUGAAGUUGGUGUUCAAUGAACCUGAUCUCUACCAUUAUAUUUUGUUAAGAGAGAUCGAGGAGGGAUGAGAGAACACAAUUAGUUUCAAGUUAUUAGGUGAGAAGGUCUCUUUGAGAAGGAGGACUUCGACAUAAUAAUGGGGUUAAGGCCUAGACGUGAUAGGACUUCAUUAAAUAUUUGAAAACUGGAUCGAAUUGACAAACAGAACCGAAUCGAAAUCGAAUCAAAACUGAUUGCAGUUCAAAGUUAAUAUUGGUUUAUGCAGUUCGGUUUGGUUUAAUGUUUUAAACCGAUUAUAAAUCGAACUAAAUUGCUUCAUUUAUAAUAAAUUAAAUAAACUAAAAAAAUAUGCAUAAAGGUUUUGUUUCUAAAACUCGGUUAAAUAUGUUGAUUUGAGAUCCACUGAGAUUCAAAAUAGAAAGGGGUCUUUUUAUAGAACUCGGUGCUUUGGUGGCCUAAGAUUCUUUGGAAUUUAAAUCGAAACCAAACCGCAUAUGCGGUUCAAUUUUAAUUUGGUUUGACACAAACAUGCGAUUCGGUUCCGUUUCAUAUUAGAUUUUUUUUUUUACAUUUCGUGGUUCGGUGCGGUUUCAAUUUGAAACCAAACCGAAUCGAAUUGUGAACACCUCUAUCAGCUAUGACUAGGGUGAGUUGGUAUGGACCAAGACCUUUGCAAGUUUGAAUGGGACACUUCAUGGAAAAGUAGCCUUACACAAGAAGAAACCUGCCAAUAACACACAAGUCCCCAGAGUCGUAUAACCUCUACGAUUUUCCUUUGUUUUUUAGAUUUGCGAUUAUAUGCUUACUUUGUUUUAUUGAUUUUAUUAGUUACAUGCUCACUGUGUUUUAUUUAUUUUAUUAGUUAUAUGCUUAUGUUAACAAUAUCACUGUAUAUGUAGAUCUGGGCCUACGAGACAGUGUCAUCGAUCAGUAGGCGGAUUGCUCAUAGGGACUCAUCAUUUGCGAUACCGAGCAUCAGUGUAGUUGCUCACACUCAUCUGGGUUGAAGGUGAUUAAGUCCUAGGUUUUCGAGUUGCAAAUGGUAAUCAUCUGUGAUACCGAUCUGUUGAGAUUUAUGUCUUAAAACUCGUAUAUUGUAAAUAUAAUUCAUUGACCUUUAUUAAUAAAGUGUUAUUAUUGUAAUAAUUAUUAUUGAUUAUAAUAUUAGUUUUGUCUUAAUAAUCCAAAUCUAAUAAACUAACAUCCUAAGCUGUUUAAUGAGUCUUGAACAGUAUGUAGAGACAUACAUAUAUCAAUGUUUGAGAUCAACUUAAAGAGUCUAUAGUAUAGGGAUAAGACUAGGCACCUUAUCCUAGUAACACUAUGAAUACGACUCACUUUAUAUUUGAUACAAAUGUAAUGAUCCAAAGCGUAUGUGUAGUUGACAUGCGAGUGAGGGUAUCCUAUGCAAUCAGAUUGCAUAAGAUCGGAUUGCGAAAUAGUAACCACUAGAUGUAACUCCGUUAACUAGUUAGGUUUCUAUUUCACUAGGAUGAUCUAGGUAACUUAGUCUUAAUCUUGAGUGUAUUAUGAACUCCUGCUUGCGAGGGAUUGUCCUUUGAUUUGUACGGGUGAGAGUGACUAGAUCACUUACUCAAGAAGCUUAUCAUUUUGGGGACAAGACCGAGUGAGGAGUUGAGAACAUAAUUACACAAGAUGAAAUUCACUCAUUUCUUACUUUAGGGUAAGUAGAUGAGUGUUCCCUUACAUGGUGACUUCAGGUAUUGAACAAAGGGCCCUACCCUCUCUGUGGCACGAGAGGGGUUUCUGUUUAUUGGUAAGACCAUAAACAAGUUGUUCAUUAGAGGAACACUGAUAUUUAAGGAUUAAAGGUAACUUAGGCGUAAAACGGUAAAUUGACCAAACUGGUGUUACAAACACUCGUGAAAUACUAACUUACUAUUAUUGGUCUAUAUCCGUAGACACAUAAAUAUAUCUACAAUAAGAAGAGUUUAACUGUAAGUCUUUAGUGGAGUGUACACACAGUUAACAAAUAUUCAUUAAUGUGGUUAAUGAGUUUAGUCAAUUAAUCGCAGAUCAUUGUAGCUUCUGAUCUGUAGGUCCAUUAGCCCCAUUCCUAGUUCGUAAAGGAUAAUGAGAUUUAUUUAUAUUGGUUGUAAUUUGAAAUGUUCAAAUUUACUUUGGAAAUUAAUUUAAUAUAUAGUGAUACAUUAUACUAUAAAGCUUAUCAAACUUUAUUAUAAAAUUUAAUUUUGGAUAUGAUUCAAAAUUAAUUUAUGAGAGAUAAAAUAUUUGAACAAGUUCAAAUAUUAAUUUAAUGUGAAUUAGAUUCAUAUUAAAAUUAUUGGUUAUGAGAUAAACUUAUAUUUGAAUAUGAUUUAAAUUUAAUUUAAGUUAAAUAUAAGAUUUUUAAUUUAGAUAUUAAUUAAUUGAAGAAAUAAUUAAUAGUUUAAUUUUAUUUAAUUAAAUUUGAUUUAAUUAAAUCUAUAAAAUAUUUUAGAGAUAUUCAUUCAAAUCUUAAAUAAAUAUUUGAGUGAAAUUUUAAUUAAUUAUAUUAAUAUAAAUAUAUAAGAUAUUAGAAAUAUAUUUAUUCAAAUAAGAUUUGAAUAAAAUAUUAAUGAAAUAUGAUUUAAUUAAUUAUAUUAAUAUUAAGAAACAGUUAUAAAUACCUCUAAACUUUUUCCAUCCCAAUUGGUUUCCGCAAAUCAAUCUCAUCUCAAAGAAUAGAAAAGUUUCUAACAGGUGGUGUCCCAGUUCGGUGGUUUGCAGAUUCAGAGACAUCAAUAAAGUAAGUUCUUUGUAUCUUUUAAAUAAAAAGAUUGCUUAGUUUUUAUUUAGAAUUUUGAUUCUAAAUUUUUGUCAAUGUACUCGUAUUUUGGGAUUCCGAAAUUAAAUUGAGUAAUGGUUCUGUAAAAUCUUCCGCUACCAUAGGGCUUUUACCCUUUCAUGAGCAUCAUGCAGUAGAGUUGCUCACACUCAUCUGGGUUGAAGGUGAUUGAGUCCCAGGUCUUCGAGUCGCAAAUUGUAUGUUAUGAUUCAUCUUAUUCCUCCACAUUCACUAUAGUAUUCUAGGGUUUAGUCUCUUAAUUAGUACCGGUUGAUGUUCCAUUUUUAAGCCUGAAUACAUGAGAUUGAAUGUACGAAUGAGGAGUGUGCUUAUCUCAAUCAACAUCUUAAAAUUCCGAUGAUGGAAGGUUACUAGAAAGACCCUCAUGUCUCUCCUCCUAAGCAGUUCGAGGAUGCCUUGCCACACACUCACGUCGACAAUCCCCUUCACGUGGACCAUCCCUCUCCUUCUCCCCAUCACAUGGACCAUCCCUCUCCUUCUUCUAUCCAGCCUGAUCCCUAGACGACGUGUGAUUGCAGCCAAUAUGUAUGUCACAUGGAAGGUGGAUUAGAUCAGAUGGAGGACUCCUCACAACAAAUAGAGUCAUCUGUGUCAGCUGAGUUGUUGUCCAUUUUAGCUAAGUUAUAGACCCUAAAAAAGCUUCUGAUGCCAUUGGUUAAGGUAUUAUUGUCAAUUACUUGGAACACUUUAUUAUUUUGCCUUAGUUAAGUAUUAGUUGUCACUUAUGCAAGGCUACUGCUUCUUUAAUAGGAUAAGGCAGUUGACUCCCAACCAUGCUACGACGGUGGUAAAGGUACGUCGUUCAAUGCACCAGAGUCUUAGACUUUUGUUGGCGAUGCAUUUGUGGAUGUUCCUGCUCUGGACAUUGAUGACCAGCUUGCUGACGAGGAGAAGGGGACAUCCAUCAGUGGCGACCUCGAGGAUGGUAUCAUACCCAUCUACAUACCAUCAGGGGGCCAGGAUGUGCUAGUACUGCUUCCUUAACCCAUGCUAAAGUCGAAGGAUGAGGUAAAUGGUUUCAAACUCUGCAUUCCUUUAUAUGGUUAGUUUAGUAAUAAUAAAACUAACUAAUAAACUGAAUUAUGAAUUGUACAGCCCAUUGAGUUUGACAUGAAGGUCAUCUCGCCUUCUGGUUUUUUCAAAUGUCGUACCUAAGGAUAAGACGACAAGGAAGAGAGGUAUACCGUGAAAAUUGCAUUCCUUAAUUUUCGAACAAGGACAAGGGGCUAAGAGAAGAAAAAGGGGUGCGCCCCUACAAAUUAUAAUUACCAUCUGCAAGAUCCUCGUGAAGUUCAAUAAGUAAUUCUUGGCAUACCUCGUGGACCCUCGAAGAGCUACGAAGUUGCGAAAGAUAGUUAGAUUCUCAAGGGUGCUUCUGUGGUUUAUGAACCUCCUAACCCUGCAUACAUUCACAGACGACAACGUAUGUACUUCAAAUUUGGUAUGUUUUUCAUUACGUAUUUCAUCAUCUGAUACUAAUUAGUUGUUUCUCACCAUUUGCAGACAAUUGAAACAUUGUUCUUGUUCACCUAUAAGAAGUUACAGGUUAAUUCGAUCCCUCACACGUCAAGAAAUGAUUCACUACGGCUGGCCAUGCCAUCACGGUAUGUUUAAACAACUUUCGGUUCAAUUAUUAUUCUUAACUUGUUAAUAAUUUGUGUUUUGGUUCACCCAACGUUUUAGAAUUUUCUAAGGCGUAACUCAGGUCUGUACGAGGAAAUUAAAAGGGACACUCGCCUAGUUGACGUUCAGUACACUUGGGUUAAAGACGCUAUCGUAUUGAAAUACGUGAUGGGCGAGUUAUCGGAUUGUGACAAGGCAUGAAUGGAUAUGGACUUCAUAUACAUGCCUUACAACAUCAGGGGAUGCCAUUGGAUUUUGAUCGUGCUUGGCAUGAUCAAGAGACAAAUCAACGUUUGGGAUUCAUUUAUUGAUUUGACGUUAGCGAACCUUGAUAACAAACUCGACAACAUGAGGUGCGUUGUCCCUACUUUGAUGUAGCACGUUGAUGUGUUCACAGUGAAGCCGAAUUUACCUUCGACAUCAUGGAAGGUAUAUCGUGUGAUUGAUGCACCCCAACAAAUGACAACGAGUGAUUUUGAGAUUUAUUGUUGUAAAUUUUUUUAACACGAUGUAACCACUUCUUCUUUAAAACCCUAAACUAAAAAAUAUCCCUCUAUUUCAUCAACAAUUGACCUUUUUUUAUUGAUGCCUAUCUAUGCUUAGAGAAAUUGUAAUACGAUUCACAAAUUACUUUUAUAUAUUGAAAUCGUGUGAGCUGGAUGAUUUAGAAAUUGACUUCGUUUAGGUUAAAGAACUUCUAGUAAGGUUGACAAAUAUCAUUUACAUAUUGAAAUUUCGUUUUUCUUAAAUUUAUUAUUGCAAUUGCUACCUAAUAUUAAAUUCAUUCUUCCAAUCAAUGACCUGAUUUAUGGGCUAGCACAUAAUAAAUGUCUUGUAAUUAGUCUCAGUUCUAUCACAUAAUGUUUUGAAAUGCAUGUUUCUCGAUGCAAUGGUCGCCCGAGAUACAUUGAGAUCCAUUACCAAUUGCUUUAGAGUACAUAACUAGGGGCAUCAUCAACUCAAGAUACCCCAAAUUUUAAAUAAGGAUUUUACAGAAGUGAUAUCUUGAGGCAUCGUUUGCUUGAGAUGCAUUGAGUUCUAAAUAAGAGAUUAACUCAGGACAUUGUUGUUAUGAGAUACCCCAAGUUUAAAAUAAGGAAUUCAUAUAAUACAUAAUCGGUGCACAUUUGGCCCAAGAGGCACCAAGUUCUAAAACAUACUUCUAAAUAUUUUAUGAAUUUCAGUUUAAUCUUGCCCGAAGUCGUGCCCAAGAAACUUAGGACUCGAGCAUUUUCUGUCUUGCUCGGUGGAUUCCAUAACGAGAUUUACACUGAAUUGACGAAAAUAACCUCAAUCGACCUAGUUUAACUCAACAAUAACUAAAUUAGAGCACCGAAACUACAGAGUUGUCCAUGCACUCAAGAUUUCAAACGAAAAACCUAAAAACAUAAACUAAAAACUAAGAUAAAAUCUAUGGAAUCGUUUAAAGUAAUUCACCUUGACCAAUUUCAGUUCGAGGAUAACUUCUUCAAAUUUUGGGAUGCAAGAAUCAGAGGGAAAUUGAUUUGUUUUAGAAAUUCUAGGGAAAAAUGAUAAAAGUGUUUACGGUUCAUGAUUCUGUGAGGAUAUCAAACAAUUUGGAAUUCCAGGAGUGUUUCGGUCAUUUGCUAUAUCUCUUUAUUUUUAAAUUUUUAAUAAUAAACGUAUUAUCUCAUUGACGCAUUCGACUGAGAGAGAUCGAGAAAUUUCAUCGAAAGAGAUUUUUAAAAUUUGAAAAAAAUCUCGAAGCCGGUAUGAGAUUGAUUGAGAAAAACAAAAUUACAAAUUUUAUAAAACAAUGUUACUUUUUAAAUAU